This 126239-nucleotide long non-coding RNA is filed under the name Nicotiana tabacum (common tobacco). RNAcentral describes it as "long non-coding RNA (NTAB_LNC018073)". The stretch from base 90792 to 90875 matches the Rfam family "tRNA". Lineage: Eukaryota; Viridiplantae; Streptophyta; Magnoliopsida; Solanales; Solanaceae. The record is from RNAcentral.
GUGUGUGUGUGUGUGUGUUUUAGUUCAAAAUUAAUGACUAAUAUUUAAUUGACUAUAGCAAGACUCUAACCAUGGUUAAAAUAAUUAAUUUCUUCCAUAUUUUUGCUCUCAAAUAUUUUUACAAUCUCACAAUUUUUUAGCUUUACAUUAUCUCUUUCCUAAAAAUAUACUACUUUGAACAAUGACUACAUUUUAUUGAUCUUUUUUGUUUGGUUCAUAAUUUAUUAAUCUCAUUGAAUGUGCUUGACCUUACUUUAAACAAAGACUAUAAUAAUUCAAAAGGAAUUACGAGCACAAUAAUUAUAAUUAUUAAACUCAAAACAAAUUUCCCAUCCAAAACGAACUUACUUCAUUAAGAUACAAAAAAAUUUGCGAAACUAUGACUAUUAAAAAGAAAUGAAGAGAAGUGUGAUAUGAUUGGAGUUUGCCAUCGGCUAAGCAUGUCUAUAUGUGAAACGAUUUCAUCACACCUUAUUAUUUUUUCUAAAUUUGUUUCUCGUUUUCAUGAGAGAAAAAUCUUGAACUGAAACUAAUUUUUCAAAAAUUAUUUAAAUAUUUUCUUGCACUACUACUAAUUUAUAGUAAUAUAUAAGUCAAAUUAAUGUUCUAAUCACUAUAGGAAUUUAGGAAAGAGAGAAAAGUUUCUAAUAUAUUUAUAAAAAUAUAAUGUGAAGUUAGAAUUGUGGGACUGCAAAUUUGGGAGCAACAACGUGAAAGGAAGUAAUUAUUCUAACCAUAAUUAGGGUCUUGCUUUAGUCAACUAAAUCUUAAUUUUUAAUUUUAAACUAUGACAUGUGUCUCAAUCCAAGUAAAAACUUGAGAAAAUGGAGACAAUGAGAAAUGGAGAGGAUUCUCAUCCAUUUUUUGUGAUAUUGCAAUUACAAGAUUUGGUUCUCUACUAAUUCAAUGAGCCAAACUUUGAGAAGAUAUCUAUAUAUGACAUGAGAAGUACGAGAAUCAUCACGAGAAAAAAAAAAGUUCCAUUACCACUUAAUUUGAUUUUUAUUGUAAUUCAUAUCUAAAGGUUAUGUUAUUGUUUAAUAAAAAUCAAAUAUGUUAAGUGACUUAAUUUUAAUAUCAUUGGUAUAGAGAAACACAACUAUGAGUGUGAAUACCCAAUUUUUGCACUAUUUUAACACCUCGUAAAUUUAUUAGUAUUUUGUUAUUUUAAUUAUUUAUUUAUUUUUUCCAAAUUUUGUGUCUUUAAUUGCGUGUUUCCUAUCAUAAAAAAUACAAAGAAAAAAAAUAGUUCUUUCUUCAUUAUGUAUUUUAGAAGUUAACUAAUUGUUCAAUAAGUGAAUUAAUCUAGUUAAUUGAUCAUUUGAAUAAGUUAUUUAAUUAAUUUAUUUGUUUGUGUAAAUUAGUUUAAUAAGUAGGGUUAAGGAAGAAAUUGGGCUAAAUUUGAAAGAGAAAGUGGCCAAGAGUGCAAGAUAAGGGGCUGCCACUAAAAGGGUCUGAAACGGCGUAGUUUUGCCUCAAAACUAUGUCGUUUCAUUAAGUGACCCAAGAUCAAAUCUCACCCAUUGAUUACCCCUUGAUCUAAUGGUCCAUAUUUGAUCUCUCAAAAGGUAUUUAAAGCCUCAAAAAUCUGAAAUUUGCCCUCAUUUCCCCCAUAAUUCUUUUCUUUUUCGUCUCUCUUCUCUCUCUCUCUCUCUCUCUCUCUCUCUCUCUCUCUCUCUCUCUCUCUCUCUCUCUCUCUCUCUCUCUCCUCUUUCUCCUCUGUGCCGCUCCACCUACCGCCCUGCUCCGCCGCUGGAAAUUGCCCACCGGCGGAGGCCCGCCUCCAAUCCGCCCCAAAAUUUUACCAUCCUAUCCUCUUACUCUCCUCUUUCCAAAUAUCCAAACCAAAACCUCCAAACACCCCUCAAACUCUAUGGAUUUUAGAUCUAAGAACCUUAGCCACCACCCAUUUUGCCCAAAUUCGUACGAUUCAUGGCAUCUCCACCCCAUGACACAUACAUAAACGAAUAGACCUCCACGAGACGUAUAUUUUCAUGUCAAUUUCCACCCCAAACGCCCCCACUACCCUACCGCCCGCUCACACUGCCACCACCACCCAAUGCCAUGAACCUCUGUUUUUGCUAUUAUAGACUCAAAGGCCUUCGUUUCUUUUUGGCAAGAUGCUAAAACCCUUUCGUUUUAGCGUUUGCCCGAAAGAAACGUGCGUUUAAUAGUCGGACAACCCCCUCUUGGCAUCUCUGGAGUUUUCUCAUGGCUCGAAUAGUUUCAAGCACGAUCGUUAGGUAUAAUCGUCAUCUCUUUAAUCAAUUUCUGAUUUUUUUAUGAUUAAUAGGUUGGUUUCUGAUUUUUGAUUUUUCUGUUUGGUUUUUUGUUGUUAAUUAGAGUUUCAAGUUAGGUUUAUUUAAUUAGUUAUCUCUAUUUAGUUUAGUCGUUUGUUAGACUAUUAUUGAUUAAACGUAAUUUUUAGUGUAUUAGUUAAAUCAUUUACUUAGUUAAUCGAUUGUUUAGUAUUUGAACGUCGUCGUCCGAUUGUUAACGAUGCCCUUUAUGUUUUGAGCAGUAGUUUGUGAAUUCAGUUGUUUGUUCUAUGUUUAGUUUGCACAAAUUAAUUUGCUUUAAUCUAGUUAGUUUGAGUUUGAGUUCCAUUUAAAGUCUUAUUUCUAUUUUGUCAAUUCUUAGUUAUUUGAGAUUGAUUUGGUUCAAAAUCAAUAGGGUGAUAUUGAUGUCGUUAAAAUCUGAAGUUUAGAUGGGUUUGAUAAUGAAUUAGGGUACUAGUGGCGUACUUUAUACUAGCAGGGUGGCUGAAGUGACAUUUUUUCUCAUUGCUUCUCACAUAGUAGAUUUUUAGGGUGUCCUUUCACUUUUUGGACAACCUUUGAACAGUGUUUAGCACACAAAGUCAGUCCUUUUGGACAGACUUUUGGUGAACCAAAAUUUGUCCAAAAAGUGACUUUAUUUGCCUAUUUAAGGGGCUGUUCUUUCCUCACUUCAAACACACUCUAUCACACAUUUGUUGGACAUCAGCUUAUACAUUCAAAAAAGAACACAAAACUAGAGAGUUUUUUUUAGUGAAUUUCCUGAGAGUAAAGAAUCUUACUAAAUGUAAGGCCCCAUAAAAUUUUGCAAAAGAAAAAAAUGUUUCGUGGUGCCGAAUGGUUUUUACGUGUUAAGGAUUAAGGCUCGGACUUUUUGGGUUGAAAAAUGCACAAGUAAGUAAAGGAAAAAUUUUGCCUGAAAAGUGCGUUUAUGCGGUCCAUUAUGCGACCGCAUAAUCACUCUGCGGGCCGCAUAAUGGCCGCAGAAGUGAGCAGGAAAGGGGCCAUUCUGACAGGAGCUAUGCGGUCGACUAUGCGACCGCAUAACUGUUAUGCGGUGCAUUAUGCGACCGCAUACGCAAAGAGAUUUUUGAUCAUUUUUGUCAGCAAUUAUGCGACCAUUAUGCGGUCCGCAUAUCCAUUAUAUGCGACCGCAGAACCGUUUCAGAACUUUAUUUUUGGGUUUUUAAAAUCCGAUCCUACUUUGUUAAAUACACUCUUUGGGUCAUUUUUGAACUAAAAUAUGAUAUGUUAGAGUGAGAGAGAGUACCCUAGAGUGAGAAGGUGUUCUUCAAUAAUUGUUCUUCAAUUUUUGCCCAAGUUUUGGAAGAUUAAGAAGGGAAACUCACUAGGUCUUCAUCCUAGAGGUAAGAGUCUACACCCUAACCCUCACUUUCGAAUUUUAUGUAGAAAUGGACAAUUAGCAAGAUAAUUUCUGGGCAGGAGGGUUGUUUAUUUACAUGCAUGUGUUAUAAAAGAGUGUAGGAAGAUUGUUGAGCUAAAAAUGAUAAAGAUUGGGUUGUGGGAUGAUGGAAUUCUCCAUAAAAGGACCCUGAAACCUUAAUGCACACUUAGUGUUUGAUAAAAUGCUCAAAUGAGUUAGGACCAUGAUCAUCUUCCUGAUUUUGAUUCAAUUUAUCAUAUUUCUACAAUAGAUUGAAGUUGCUAAGAAUUUCGGAACAUUUAGAGUGUAAGGAAGCUCAAGUAAGGUAUGUUGGCUAAACUUUCUCUCUUGAAAUAGAUAUCCAUAAUGUUUCUGUAAGAUCAAGUAUGAUUGGUUCAAGAUUCCUAACUUCUAUAUUCCGGGUUAUUCCCUAUAAACUUGUUUAUUCCGACUGAGCCUUAUGUCGAAAGAUAGAUGUUCAAAGUAUGGUUUGCGUAUUAAAAUGGUGUGGCUUUGAGUCGUGUUUUAAAAGAAAACUAGUAUACCAAUUGGGUGAGAAAAACUCGAUAUGCUUAAGACUCAUAAUUGCUCAUAUGUGUAACUAAACUCUGGAUUGGAAAUGUAUUAUUGUUGAUAACCUAUAAAGGUGGUUGGAAAUAAAAUAAUUGAAUUGGGGGAUAUAGUGUGUGGCCAACGUGCCAAGAAUUUAAGUUACGACUGUGGCUAGUAGUGCAAAUGAUUUGAGAGAAUGAAAUAAAGAAUAUGAAAUGAGCCUCGACUCAAUUGUUUAAAAACGAUUUCGAAAAUAGAAUUUUCUAAAAGCUUUUGUACUCAAUUCAUGCCCAUAAGUGGCUGCUUUAACUAAUGCUUUGCUUCAUAAAUAUAUACAGUGUGAUUCGAGUUCUAUAUACUCAUGUGUUGAAAUUGUAUAUUGUCAUUUCUGGGAAGAGUAUUGCAAGAGUAAAUGUUGUAUUGAUUGUUUAUGAUUUUUUAUGUGUGUUUCUAUUGUUGGUUGGUAUGCUUCAUUCUUUGGGAAGAAACCAUUUGUGUUUAAAGUUGCCAUUACAAAUGAAUUUGAAGUAUAUGAUUUUUGAAAUAUUCUAUAUGUUGGUAUUUGAUGGCGAUCUUUGAAAUUGAAAGAGGUGAAAGUAUGGAAUAUCAAAUACGGCCAUCGUGCCAGGAAUAAAAAAUCUUGUAAAUGGCCCAAUGUGCCAAGAAAAUAUUGUCGUUGUGAAUGACUGAAAAUACUAAUGAGAAUUUAUACAAUGUGAAAAUGUUGAGGUGAGUAAAAUUGUAUUUAUGUUACCUUUGUGUGCAAAUCAAAUCAAAAAUAUUUUUUGGAGCAUGAUUAGCAAAACCGAGGAAGGGUGGUUCAUAAGGCCCAUACCUGAAACUACACGUGCCGGUGUAGGGGUGGAUUGUGAUUAUUUUCCUUAUUUGGGAUGAAAUUGGAACCUUUGGGAAAUUGUGAUAUUAUUUCCCUUAAUUGGGAUGAAACUGGAACCUUUGUGGAUUGAAAAAAGUCAACCCACACGGCAUAUGUGGGAAGACGGCCUAGCUGAUCGGGUGGAGAUCAGACGCCAUGUUGCACACAUGGUGGUACUACUCUUGCUAACAACUUUCUUUCGCAUCACCUGUCAAACCACAUUGUCCGUGGGGAGAUGGCCUAGCCGAUCGGACUCCGUGCUAACAAAGACGGUGGUAUAUCGGUGCUAAUGAUCUCCCAACCAAAAAUUAUAUAUGAAGUUCGUAUUUUAAAAAUUAUUAUAUUUUAAGUGGACAUUUGGAUAUUGUUGAUUGUGACUUGUUGUUUCUAUGUGUUGCCUUUUCUUAUAUGAGCAUUCUAUUUUGAAAGAGAAUUUUUAGCUAUAUAUACUAGUGCUAUUCGACAGUACUAACGUCCCUUUUGCCGGGGGCACUGCAUCUUUAAUGGAUGCAGGUGGUUCUUUAGCAGGCGACAUUGAUCAGUGACAGCAGUACACUAUUUUCAGCUGAUUUGGUGAGCCCCACUUCAUUUUGGGGUCAUGUAUCUUUUGUUUCUCAUGUACUGUAUUUUGAGGUAUAGUCGGGGCCUUAUUGCCGGUAUUUUUAUAUUACUCUUCUAUUAUAUUUAGAGGCUCCGUAGACAGGUUGUGGGUUGUGGUUGAAGUUGUGAAUUGAACUAGAAAUGUUGGUAUUUGGAAAUCAUGUUUUUCAUUAAUUCUAUAAAUUUGUAAUGUUUUGAAAAUUAUGAAUGAAGCUGCUAAUGGGAAUGAAAAGGAAGUUGUUAAUAAAAUCUUUUCAGUGAUUGAUUAAUGGAGUACAUCUCCUCUUUAUUCACGGAUGAGUUUGGGUAGAAGAAAAUCUAACAGACUUGCUCGGCCGGGUUCUCUCGGUUGAGCGCCGGUCGCGCUCCCCGAGUUUGGGGCGUAACACUAAAUAUAAAGUUUUGGAGUCGUUUUUGGUUUCUUUCUCCUUCGGAAGUUGCUGAGUUUCUGGGUUUGAUUACUGCUGAGUUUUUCACUGUUUUUACUGCUGUUGCUGUUUCAUUUGGCUGGAGUUUGGCUUGUUGGUUCCCUGCUCUGCUGUUUUUCUUCUAGUUUCUGCCAACUAGGUAUUUUUCCAACUCUAUAGUUUAGUUCUUAGUUGCAUAAAGUUAUGGCAACGUUGUAUUGAUGUGAUAUAACAGUUUUCUUUAUAUUUGUGUUGAUCUUUUGCUCAUAAAUGGAUGAAUGAAUGUUCUAGUUUUCUUUUAGUGAUUUUUCUUUAAGUUUGACAUAACCUUUGUUCCCCUACAUUUUCAUUUGUACUUGCAGAGUUAUGUGCAAAUAAGUUCAAAUACAUGUUAAAGUGUGUAAGUAGAUAAAGCAUUUUAUUUAUUUAUUUAUUUAUUUAUUUAUUUGUUCAAAUAUAAGAAUGGAUAUUUAGAAGUUCCUCCUUAGUUUUAAUAUUUUUGAAAGGUUGUUAAAAACAUGUUUUAGCUUGAAAAGUUGUGUAUCAUUGUUGAGGUAGUAUUCAUGUUAGAGUGAAUUGGGUAGUAAAAUUAAGUUUGUUUAGAAAGAAUGCUCUUCCAUAUAUAUUUUAAGGAUUUCCGGGUUGGAUAGUAAGUUAUCAAGUUAAGCUUUUACAUGUGACUUCUAAUUGUUUAUAUGAUAAAUUAAAAAAUAUCUUCUUUUUUUUCUUAAUUUGUCUUAGUAAAUACAAAUGUUUAAGUUUGGAAAGAUAAGGUAUUGGAUUGUUAAGCAGUAUGGGUUUUGGGGUUGGGUUCGAGAAAUCACUUUUGGGCUAAAUAAUUUCUAGCAGCCCAACACCAAUAAAAUCCAACAACUGAUCCAUUUUUUUUAAUAAUAUAGCUGCCCCAUUCUUUAUUAAAUCGGGGGAUUUGCAGCCAUACCCUAUAUUUGUGCCACCUUUUAACAUGUACCUUAUUUUUAAAAAUUAUUGAUUUGGUACCCGGUUGGCAAAACAUCCGUAAUAAUAUGACCAUUAUACCCAUGACAAAACAUAUAAAAGAUGCAUCACGCAUAAAUCACUUUACGGUUCUCCUCCAUCACUCCGUCCCUCCUCGGAUCUUCUCUCGCAUCUGCCAUAAUCACGAAACCAGAAAAUUGAACCAGAUUCAAAUUCCAAAUUCAAAAUUAUAAAAUACAUUGUAAGUAUUGCAAAUUAUCUUCAGAAUUCAAAUUAGUUUUUGAAAUUGUAUGAUCUUCAUGAAUUCAUCAUGCUUUUUAAGUUUUAAUUCAAUCAACCCAUAUAUUUUAAUCACACAUGCAUGGAGUUAUAGAAUAAAUUUGUUUCUGGAUACUGUUAAAUGCAGGACACAUAAGCAUUCAACAGUUUUGUCAUGAGGACAAAUAUGCUGAAGUUUUUGGUUUGUUUGCUAGAACAUGAUACUAAACAAGCUGAGUUUUUACAUAAUUUACUAAACCUUCACACCAAAAUGCUGAAAUCUUUGUCUUGCAGUAUAAAAAAGCUGAAAUUUUUUAGUUCAUUUGCUAAUACUUCAGCACUAAAAUAUGCUGAAUUUUUAUCCUGGAUUCAAUAGUUUUGUCAUGAGCUUUUUCCGAAACUUCAGCAGAAGAUGCUGAAGUUGUUUAGUUCAUUUGUAAAAAUUUCAGGACAAACCUGCUGAAGUUUUCCUCCUGCAUUAUGUAAUUUCCUAGUGAAUUUANNNNNNNNNNNNNNNNNNNNNNNNNNNNNNNNNNNNNNNNNNNNNNNNNNNNNNNNNNNNNNNNNNNNNNNNNNNNNNNNNNNNNNNNNNNNNNNNNNNNNNNNNNNNNNNNNNNNNNNNNNNNNNNNNNNNNNNNNNNNNNNNNNNNNNNNNNNNNNNNNNNNNNNNNNNNNNNNNNNNNNNNNNNNNNNNNNNNNNNNNNNNNNNNNNNNNNNNNNNNNNNNNNNNNNNNNNNNNNNNNNNNNNNNNNNNNNNNNNNNNNNNNNNNNNNNNNNNNNNNNNNNNNNNNNNNNNNNNNNNNNNNNNNNNNNNNNNNNNNNNNNNNNNNNNNNNNNNNNNNNNNNNNNNNNNNNNNNNNNNNNNNNNNNNNNNNNNNNNNNNNNNNNNNNNNNNNNNNNNNNNNNNNNNNNNNNNNNNNNNNNNNNNNNNNNNNNNNNNNNNNNNNNNNNNNNNNNNNNNNNNNNNNNNNNNNNNNNNNNNNNNNNNNNNNNNNNNNNNNNNNNNNNNNNNNNNNNNNNNNNNNNNNNNNNNNNNNNNNNNNNNNNNNNNNNNNNNNNNNNNNNNNNNNNNNNNNNNNNNNNNNNNNNNNNNNNNNNNNNNNNNNNNNNNNNNNNNNNNNNNNNNNNNNNNNNNNNNNNNNNNNNNNNNNNNNNNNNNNNNNNNNNNNNNNNNNNNNNNNNNNNNNNNNNNNNNNNNNNNNNNNNNNNNNNNNNNNNNNNNNNNNNNNNNNNNNNNNNNNNNNNNNNNNNNNNNNNNNNNNNNNNNNNNNNNNNNNNNNNNNNNNNNNNNNNNNNNNNNNNNNNNNNNNNNNNNNNNNNNNNNNNNNNNNNNNNNNNNNNNNNNNNNNNNNNNNNNNNNNNNNNNNNNNNNNNNNNNNNNNNNNNNNNCUUUCACACCAAAACGCAAAAGUCUUUGUCUUGCAGUAUAAACAAGCUGAAAUUUUUUAGUUCAUUUGUUAAUACUUCAGCAUUCAAUAUGCUGAAGUUUUGUCCUGGAUUCAAUAGUUUUGUCAUGAGCUUUUUCAGAAACUUCAGCAGAAGAUGCUGAAGUUGUUUAGUUAAUUUGUAAAAACUUCAGGACGAAACUGCUAAAGUUUUUCUCCUGCACUAUGUAAUUUUCUCCUGCAUGCUGAAGUUAAAUUUCGUUCAUGCUUAAGUUUUGUCCAGCAUUAAACAACUUUUUCAUGAGCUUUUUUUCGAAAACUUCAGAAUAAACAAGCUGAAGUUAUUUAGUUCAUGUGCUAAAACUUCAGACUGAACAUGCUGAAGAUAAAACUUCAUGCUAAUAUGCUAAUAUUUAUUUCAUGUGCUAAUAUGCUGAAGUUAUUUAGUUCAUGUGCUAAAACUUCAGUCUACAGAUGCUGAAGUUAUUUAGUUCAUGUGCUAAAACUUCAGACUGAACAUACUGAAGUUUUUUUGUUUAUUUUCUAACACUUCACACUAAACAUGCAGAAGUUAAAACUUCAUGCUAAUAUGCUAAUAUUUAGUUCAUGUGCUAAUAUGCUGAAGUUAUUUAGUUCACGUGCUAAAACUUCAGUCUACAGAUGCUGAAGUUAUUUAGUUCUCCCUAUUAUGUCAAUUUUCUCCUUUUCUUUACCACGAUUUCUCUUUUGUUUUGUAAAAAAAAAAAAAAAAAAGCUUUUUUUCCCUUAAAUAAAUGGGCCAGAAUAACCCUUAACUUGGUUUAGCCCAAGCUCUCCAUGAUAGCCCAUUUAAGACUCCAUUAGAAGCAAAGCCCAAGAUUAGAGAAAUGUAUAUAAUUUAUUUUUACCGACUAGUCAAUUUUAUAUUUUUCCCAAAAGAUUAGCUCCAGCAUCAUAGAAUUCUGAAUUCACGGUAACGCAUUUCUUUCUCUUAGUACUUGGUAGCACAUGCUAAUAUUAUGCAUCUACUGUUUUUACCUUUCGUGAAAAAAGAAAAAAGAUUUUCUGAUUUUUCUUAUUUCUCUAAAUUAGGAGGAGCCAAAUAAAAACAAUAACACUUAAGUGCAUCUGACGUAAUAAAGGGAUUAUCAUACCAGAUCCCAUAAUUAAGACUUGAUUGAUAGAUUUUGUUUACCCUAAAAAAUGAAUAACAAUUAAAUUUGUAAGUGGUUUUAAGGAUAUGCAGAUUAAUUCGAUACAAACGAUAAAUUGCGUUAUAUUAAACAAAUAAAGAUAUAGUAAAUUUAAACCACGCGAUAAUUCCAGCCUUGAUGAAAUAUUCACCCUCGAUCCGGACUCACAAUGGCCAGGACUGAUGAACGAGAAUAAGAGCUUUCAAUCACAAUGAAAAUAAUAGUAUUUUGCUUUGGGAUACAUGUUACAAUAUGUUCAAUGAAUAAUUAGACUCCCCUUUAUAUAGUAGAGGAGUUUUACCCUAAGUACAAUUCUAUAGAAGGUAAAAAUCUCCCGUUUAACUGAUUACUGGUUUCUCGUCGGUACAUGCCGAGAUCUGUGCCGUGAUACCCGGUUGGUCGCGAUUAUUACGGCCUUCCGUUAAUCGUGUUCGAUUGCCCAAUAAUGCUCUCCGAAGUCUCCUGGGAUUUGGACCGAUCCCGGGGUCAUGGCCUCGAUAUACUUGAGGGCGGGCGUCGUGCCCCCGAUGCGUGACUCGAUGAGUCCCUUACCUCGAUUCCGGUUCCUUGUCAUCGCGUACCUUACUCGAUUUAUUUUAUCAGGAACCGGGCCGGCUUAUGGGUCCGGUUUUACUCGUAUACAGAUAGUCCCCUCGUUUCUCGGAGAGUAAGUUUUACGGAAACGACGAGGAACGACACGAGUUCUUCGAUCUCUUCUUCAACACGCUGCGACACAAAACGAUUAAGAAAUCGAAACGUCCAGUCAGUCGUGUCAUUAUGACCUCAAAUGCAUGUCGGCCAUCGGUUGGCUGCCCCUGGACGUGAAACGUCAUGGAAACCCUAUAAAUAUCCCCUUCUUCGUUUAUUUUUCACUUUACGUCCUAACAUCUACAUCGUGCCUUUAGGAUUUCAUUACCCCUUUUUAUACUUUAGCAUUUUUACCUUUGUUACUCAAGAUUUCUCAGUACGUUGCAAAUUUUUUACUCAUCCUCUACUCAAGCCAACACAUCUGAGCUUUUAACUUUCACCAUUUCUCUAUCUUUUUCAAGUUUUUUCAGAUAACAAUGGUAAAAACCUACAAAUCUGUUCCCCAAAAGGUCGCUUCUACCUCCCAACCGACUGCCGAAAUUAACAAAACCGCUCCCGAUGUGGUCGACUUUGAGAGGUCAUCCACUAACGUGGCUACCGAUGAACCGGCUGCUGAACCUCCCUGAAGAUGUUCAUUCCCGGGGGUUGUUCGGUUGCUAACGACUUCAAGGCUGAGAAGCCCUCUUCGGUGCAGGGUCGGCGUGAGGAGGCAUCGAGAUAUAUUUGCUCAAUCACCGAAGAUGACCUUCUCGCAGUCCGAAAGGACUGCAACUGGGCUGACAAGGACAUAGUGGUCCCCAACUCUGAGGAGGCCAUUACUAUACAUAUUGAGGGAUACCUAAGUGUUUACACUUAUCUCUUCACACUCGGCCCGGUGGACCCAGUCAUUAUAGACUUCUACAGGAGGUACGAGGUAUGCCUCGGUCAGAUCCACCCAUCGUUGUGGAGGAUCGUAAUCCUCCUUUAGUUUUUUGUGAACAAGAUCGACUCAUAUCGGCUCACCAUGGAUCAUCAACUACGUCUGUAUAGUCCCCGAAUCUUCUGAGGGGGACUGAUAAAGCUCGUGCGCCGGGCUAGUAAAGCCUCAUUUUCAAGCAUCGGGUAAGGACCUUGGACUUGAUUUCGGCCGAAUUUAGGCCAUUCCUCGAGAAGUGGAAUGCAUAACAUAAGUACAACUUUCCUUUAAAUGUUGAUUUCAUGUUCAUCUCCCUUUUCCUCAUUGGUAUUCGUAGCGGUGCAGCUGUUGCUCGAGUCCCAAAUGCUAUCCUUCGGUUGAAGGAGUGGAUCGAAGGCAUUGUUUCACAGAUGCCCUACUCCAAGCACUCAUGGCGCAAACUCUCUAAAAGCCGUUGGGAGGCCCGUUCCCAUGGUAAGAUCUCUUUCCCGAAUAAGUUGCGUUAUGCUUCUUCUUCUAGCAUCACGUUCUUAUUGCUUUUAUUUCCUUUUUGCAGAUUUGCCUAAGUCCGUUGAGCUUAGACCUCUGGUCGGGGACGAGGACUUGCCCGCUAAUUCUUCUGCUUCGGGGCAGCCCAGAGCCACAACAGGAGAUAAGAAAAGGAAUAGGUCCUCGAGUUCCUUGAGCUCGGAGAAAAAGAAACCACGGAGAAGGUUGGUCCAUAAGCCAAAGGAAAGCUCUGGCUCCCAAGUGCCUAACUUGAACUCAAUCUUCCACCUCAGGGACGAGCCUGAGGAGGACGAGCUCUUUGUGCCCCACGAGCUGUCUGUCUCCGAGGAAUGGAUGGCAGCCGAGGGGGAAAUAAUGGAGGAUAAUCCCCCCCCCCCAAGUUCAUGAGGCUGGUACAGAAGUGAGGGCCGAGAUCUCUCGAGACGCCGGUUCCCGCCCCACCGGGUGUUAUAGAUAUUUCGGGAUUGCCCUCGUUCACAGAGUCUAUGUUCGAUAAAGCCCGAGCGACGAAGGAGCGAUCCAAUGAAGGGGUUCAUGGAGCGGAUGAUCCCCUCUGAUGCUUCUUUGAUGGUGUAGACUCAACUGCUUUGGAAGACUUUAUCGGGUUGGGUGACUUAGAGGUGCCGAGGAAAAGUUCAUCCUCUGAGGUUGGUGGGUUAAACUAAAGCCCGAGGUUGAUCAAUUGGUUCCCUGCUCCGAUCAUAGAUCCUGCGCGGAAGCGAUCAGUUAUUAUCACCAUCCUGGAGGAUGCCCUGGUUAUUUCUGCCCCUGUCGGGGUGGCUAGCUACCUUCGGUGCCUGGUAAAUGAAGAAGACCAGACAAAAAUGAACGAGGUGGAUGCGCCAUGCUUGUUCAAUGAAGCACAACCAUCGGGGUCUUCUCCACCCUCGGAUCUGCCGGAAUCCUCAGAGCCUUCCUCGUCCUUGGGAUAUGCCGACUUCUUGCCCUCGGCCUCGAGCCUCUUAACGUUUCUUAUCUCGGCUGAUAAGUCGAAACUCCGGGCAUGAACUUCUUCGAGAGCCUCCCUUCCAGACUACCACUUCACGUAAUCGACAAUAACUUUCAGGAGGUCCUGAGCUACCUACUUUGUACUGGGCCACCAUCUCUUCAACAUCGGCCCUGGUUAUUUCUGUCACUGACUUGGCCGCUUUAAGCUCCUUGGCAAGUGUAUCCCGUUCGGCAAUGGCCGAGCCCUGUUGAGACUGGAGGUCUUUGAUUUUUUGGGACCGAGCCUGAGCUUUCUCCCUCGCCGCUCGAAGUUGGGCCUCCACCGAGGCCAGCUGCUCCCGGGGAGUCUCCUUUUUCGAAUCCAAUCGGUUCAUUUUUCCCUUCCAUUAUUCGGCCAUGGCCUUGACCUCGUCCAUCUCCGCUCGAAGCUGGUCGACCAGAUCAACCUUCUAUUGGACCUACGGUUCUGACCGUUAGUCACCAUGUCUAACUCAUCAUCACUAACUUCAAAGAUCUUUAACCGUUACACCAGGUUGGCAUGUUCUUUCUGAGCCGCGUCCAACUCGGCUCGAAGGUUCCUAACUUCUCCUUCACGUUGCUCGCUGAGAAGCUUAUACAUAUCUCUCUUCUCAGCAAGCUCUUUGACCUCGGCCUCGAGUUGGCUAAGCUCAUCCCGGUACCGGAGAAAGGUUUCAUGAUGAAUCACCGAGGCCUGCAAAAUAUGAAAAAGAGAAGGAAUUAGAGUCAUCAAAAACCCAAAUUCAAAGAUAAAAGAGUGUGACAACACCUCACCCGGUUCAUCGCAUGACGAGGCGGUCUCCGGCGAAGAUUAGGCUUAGGUGCCUUGUAGAUUUUUCUUUGUUUUUGUAUAUUUUGUUGAGGCCAUUUGGCCUUUGUAAAGAUNNNNNNNNNNNNNNNNNNNNNNNNNGCAUGUAGUAAUAAGGUCUUGUUCGGACGUUCGAACAAGGCUUGUUCUCGAUGUGAUUUUGUUUAGAACUCAUGGGGGCUUGGUAUAACCGUAAGCUUUCCCUAAAGUGCUUACUUAGAAGUUUUUAAAUUAUAAUUUUGUCGAGGGUAGCCUUUGAACCGGUUUAGUAAUUUUGAAGGCCUUAUGUUUUAGUUUCGGGUUUCAAAUGUCUCCGAGCCGUUUCUAGGAUGGCCGUAGCCUUUUAAGUUCGGGUAUUGCCCAAUAGGAUUAUUACCCCAGGCUUCGAUUCCCGAGCCAUCCGGGCUUGCCCAGUACGAGAGCUCCCGAAUGAGGAUGGCCGUGACUUUUAAAGUUCGGGCACUGCCUAAUAGGUUUUUGUGUCUUUGGGCUUCAACAGCCCGAGCGGUCCAAGUUUGCCUUGGACGACAGUCCCCGAGUGAGGAGAUCUCUUGGAUCCGGAUAGAGGUGGCGCUUGGGCUCGAUGUCCUUAAGGAACAAAAUGUAGUAGUUUUUAAGAGACAAAAUAUGUACUGCAAGGUAAAAGUUUUCUUUCAUUUCUGUGCGCAACAUACAAGAUGGAAAAUGUGUACAAGCUUCGUGUUAUGGCUUAAGUGAUCUAUGUGGGCACGACUUAUUUGACCGUUUAGCCCUUACAAUAAAUCCUAUCCACCAAGCCCAGACUGUUCGAACACAAAGUUUCCUACCUUGCUAAAAUCAUUAUCAAGAGUGAUGGCCCCCAGUAUUCGAGGCUGAUCAUAGAGAGGGCUUGGAUAUUGUUGAUGUGACCCUCGACUCUAGUUCAUAGCUGGUAUUCAAUUCUAAGUUAGCACAAUCUAGUGUUGCCUCGUUAAAAACCUUACCGGAUAACCCAUUUGGGACAAAACCGGUUCAAGGGAAAAAGAGUGCAACGCGUGCUUUCAGGCUUAAUAGCUGCAUCAUUCUUUGGCCAUUGCCUGCAAGUUUUAGUUCAAUAUGUAAUAUAUGUAAAGAAAAGAAUGAAUGGGGUCGUACCUUAGCAGUAGUACCGUUUUAAGUGGGUCACGUUCUAGUUGUUCGGCAGUUGCUCACCGUUUCUUGCUUCGAAUUUGUAUGAUCCUUUGUAGGGGAUCUCGAUAAUUCGAUAUGGACCUUCCCAAUUCGGUCCUAGCAUGCCUUCGUUCGGGUUCCGGUGUUUAGUGUCAAUUUUCUUAACACCAGGUCUCCGAUAUUGAAGUGUCGGAGGUUGGCUCUCUGGUUGUAAUACCUUUCGAUCCGUUGUUUUUAGGCGGCCAGCUGGACGAGGGCGGUCUCGCGCCUCUCGUCUAACAAUUCUAGGCUCGUGCACAUGUCCUCAUCGUUUGACUCUUCGAUCGCGUAUCGGAACCUAAAACUCGAUUCCCUUACUUCGACUGGUAUUAGAGCCUCGGCACCGUAGACCAACGAGAACGGGAUAGCCCCGGUACUAGAUUUGGAGGUCGUUCGAUAUGCCCAUAGGACUUCGGGUAAAAUUUCUUUGCAUUUCCCUUUGAUGUCGGCCAACCUCUUCUUAUGAUUUUGGAGUAUGGUUUUGUUCGUAGACUCUGCCUGCCCAUAAGAACAAAAAUUAAGAAAUUUGAAAGAAUCUAAACAUGAAUUGAACAUACCAGUAAUGAAUAAUGCAGGGAAGAAUAUAGGGUGAUGAGGUGAAUGCGAGAUGAUUGAAUCAAUUUGAGUGCACUGUGUUUGUUUUGGUGUCAACUAGUCAGAGUGUGUAAAGUUUUGAACAGUGGUUAAAGGUCACUACUUAUAGUUGGCCGAUUUUAGAGCAAGGAUUAGCAGCUGAGUGCGGCCGCACAAUUUUGUGUAUGGUCCGCACUCUUUACCUGUCACCUGCUUCCCUCUUUGUCGAUCUGCCGUCCGCACAAUUCUGAGUGCGGCCGCAUAUUUUUUGUGCGGCCACAGAUCGGCCAUUUCUCAGCAAUUCAAACUUCAGAGCGUUUGCAAUUUUGUGAUCUCUAGUUGUGCGGUCGGAUAAUGAAUUGUGCGGCCGCAGACUCCUUUCUGUUGUGGCCAUCAAGAUUGUGUGGUUUUAUUGUGUGGUCCGCACUUUUUUCCAUACUUAGCAUUUUUCCUGAUCCCACUUCCCGCAAAACACACAUAUUCCUGCAACAUACUUCAAAACCAGUUAGCACAAAACAAGACCUAUCUAAAAAAAGAAGAAAAAUAAAAAUGAAAAUAACUAUGGGUUGCCUCCCAAGAAGCGUGCCUGAUUUAACGUCACGGCACGACGCAUAUUACCAUCAAUUACUUGAAAUGAAUCAAUGCCAUAACGUGGCCAUCAUCAUCUUUUCCCAAAUAAUGCUUCACCCUGUGACCAUUGACUCUAAACACUUCAUCAUUUUUAUUCUUCAAGUCUAAUGCACCAAAGGGUGUCACACUCACAACCUCAAAUGGGCCACUCCAUUUAGACUUCAACUUUCCCGGAAACAUCUGUAACCGAGAAUUGAACAAUAACACAAGAUCACCUUCUUUGAACUCCUUGUUCCGAAUGACUUUUCAUGGAGGUACUUCAUCUUCUCCUUGUAUAAGGAAGAACUUGUAUAUGCAUGGUACCGAAAUUCAUCAAGCUCAUUCAAUUGGGCCACCCUUAAGUUGGCGGCGACAUCCCACUCAAGAUUUAGCUUCUUCAAUGCCCACAUAGCCUUGUGCUCAAGUUCCACCGGAAGGUAACAAGCUUUCUCGAACACUAACCGGUAUGAAGACAUCCCAAUCGGUGUUUUGUAAGCCGUCCUAUAAGCCUAUAAAACAUCAUCAAGUUUCUUUGACCAAUUCGUCCCGUUGGCAUUCACUGUUUUUGACAAAAUACUCUUGAUCUCCCGGUUGGAGACUUCCACUUGUCCGCUUGCUUUUGGGUGAUAGGGGGUCUUGACUUUGUGAGUGACACCAUACUUGGUGAGUAAGGUAUCAAAAGCUUUGUUGCAAAAGUGCGAUACCCCAUCACUUAUAAUGGCCCUUGGAGUACCAAAUCUUGUAAAGAUGUUCUUUUUCAAAAAUGCCACCACACUUCGAGAUUCGUUAUUGGGUAGAGCAACAACCUCAACCCACUUUGACACAUAGUCCAUAGCUACCAAAAUGUAGGUAUUUCCACAAGAGCUUACGAACGGUCCCAUGAAAUCAAUGUCCCACACAUCAAAAAUGUAAAUUUCCAAGAUGGUGGUGAGGGGCAUCUCAUUUUCUUAGAAAUCCCACUUGCUCUUUGACAUUCAUCACAAUGCUUGACUAGAUCACUUGCAUUCUUGUAGAGAGUAGGCCAAUAGAAUCCACAACUCAACACUUUCGUCGUCAUUCUCGCUCCACCAUGGUGACCACCAUAUGGUGAAGAGUGGCAAGCACCAAGAAUUUCCACUUGUUCCUCCUCCGGCACACAUCUUUGAAUCACGUCGUCGAUACAAAUCUGGAAGAGGUACGGUUCAUCCUAAUAGUAGUCAAGGCAAUCCCGUUUGAGUUUCUUCCUUUGGUUUGAAGAGAACUCAUUCGGUAUAAUACCACUCACAAGAUAAUUUGCUAAGUCAGAGAACCAUGGAAUCUUGGUCAUUGAAAUAGCUAUAAGUUGCUCGUCGAGAAAGGAGACAUUGAUUUCAAGGCCAUCAUGUGGCCUCCCCUCCUCCUCCAAUCGAUACAAGUGGUCUGCCACUUGGUUUUCAUUGCCUUUGCGGUCUUGGAUUUCUAGAUCAAACUCUUGCAAUAAAAGCACCCAUCUCAUUAACCACACCUUUGAAUCUUUAUUUCUCAUCAGGUACCGAAGUGCCACAUGAUCCGUGUGGACAAUCACCUUUGUACCUAUUAAGUAAGGGCGAAACUUAUCCAUAGCAAAAACAAUAGCAAGGAGCUCUUUUUCGGUCACCGUGUAAUUGAUUUGGGCAUCGUUCAUGGUCUUACUAGAGUAGUAGAUCGGAUGGAAGAUUUUGUUGAUAUGUUUCCCCAAAGCUGCUCUGACCACCACAUCACUUGCAUCACACAUGAGCUCAAAAGGUAAGCUCCAAUCCGGAGCGGUGAUAAUGGGAGUAGUUGUCAAUUUGGACUUGAGCAAUUCAAAUGCCUUCAUGCAAUCCUCGUUGAAAUGGAAUUUGGCACAUUUCUCCAAUAGCUUACACAAGGGGUUCACCACUUUGGAAAAAUCCUUGAUGAAACGGCGGUAGAUCCCUCCAUGACCCAAGAAACUCCUCACUCCCUUCACGGAUGUUGGGGUGAAAGUUUAGAAAUCACCUCUAUUUUGGCCUUGUCGACCUCAGUACUAUUCUUUGAAAUUUUGUGUCCAAGUACAAUGCCUUCAUCGACCAUGAAGUGACAUUUCUUCCAAUUGAGUACCAAGUUCGUCUCUUCACAUCUUGCCAAGAUCUUAUUUAAAUUUUUCAAGCAAUCAUCAAAAGAAUUCCCGACCACUGAAAAGUCAUCCAUGAAGACCUCAAGGAAAUCCUCCACCAUGUUCAUGAAGAUAGCCAUCAUACACCAUUGAAAAGUCGUCAGUGCAUUGCAUAAACCAAAUGGCAUCCGCGAGAAUGCGAAAGUACCAUAGGGACAUGUGAAAGUAGUCUUCUCUUGAUCCUCCGGUGCAAUAAGAAUUUGAUUGUAUUCGGAAUACCCAUCAAGGAAACAAUAGAAAGCACGACCGGCCAACCUAUCACGCAUUUGAUCAAGGAAGGGAAGUGAAAAAUGAUCCUUCCUUGUGACUUUGUUGAGCUUGCGAUAGUCCAUACACACUCUCCAUCCGGUCACCGUUCUUGUAGGAAUCAACUCGUUCUUGUCAUUAGUGACCACCGUCAUGCCCCCUUUGUUUGGGACACAUUGCACCGGAGAGGUCCACAAACUAUGGGAAAUAGGGUAAACAACCCCGACAUCCAACCACUUUAUGAUCUCCUUUUUGACUACCUCUUGCAUUGCUUCAUUUAGUCUUCUUUGAUGUUCAACGGAGGGUUUAGCAUCCUCCUCCAAAAUAAUCUUGUGCAUGCAAAAGGCGGGGUUUAUACCCCGAAUAUCCGCCAAUGUCCAUCUGAUAGCUUUCUUCCUCUUUUGUAGCACCACAAAUGUGGAGUCUACCUGCACUUUAGUCAAAUAAGAGGAAAGAAUAAUCGGUAAAGUAGAACAAGGGCCAAGGAAUUCAUACCGGAGAUAUGGAGGCAAUGGCUUUAACUCCAAAGUGGGAGGCUCCUCGAUUGAGGGUUUUGUUGGAGGAGUCUUCUAAUUUUCAAGAUCCAAGGACAAUUUGCGAGGUUCAUAAGUGUAAAACCCCAUUCCUUGCAAUGGAUUCACACAUUCCACAUAGCCAUCCUUCUCAUCAUCGUCAAGGUUGAGAAAAACAGCCUCCAAAGUAUCAUCCACAUUCAUCAUGGCACUAGUAUCAUCAAUAAUCACAUCGGUCACCAAGUCCACAAACGAACAAACUUCAUUGCUAUUCGGUUGCCUCAUAGAUUUGCACACAUGGAAAACCACAUUUUCAUCACCCACCCGGAAAGUGAGCUCACAUGCUUCCACAUCAACAAGAGCCUUCCCCGUAGCAAGGAAAGGUCUCCCUAGAAUAAUAGGCACCUCAUAGUCUACUUCACAAUCAAGAAUCACAAAGUCCGCCAGGAAGAUAAAUUUAUCAACACGAACCAACACAUCAUCAAUAAUACCCAAUGGUCUCUUUAUAGGAUGAUCCGCCAUUUGUAACCUCAUAGAUGUAGGUCUUGGUUUUCCAAUUCUCAAAGUCUUGAAAACCGAAUAGGGCAUCAAAUUGAUACUUGCCCCAAGAUCACAAAGAGCUUUUGCAAAGUCGGCGCUUCCAAUAGUACAAGGGAUUGUGAAAUUGCCGGGAACUUUUAAUUUAGGAUCCAUUGAGUGCACAAUUGCACUCACUUGCUGUGUCAUCUUUAUAGUCUCACAACUCAUCGACAUCUUCUUUAUCACCAAAUCCUUCAUGAACUUUGCAUAACCGGGAAUUUUCUCCAAAGCCUCAACUAAUGGCACGUUAAUAGAUAGGCUUUUCAUCAUGUCAAUGAACUUUUUGAAUUGAUUCUCGCCAUUUUGCUUGGCAAGCCUUUGAGGGUAUGGAGGAGGAGGCCUUGGCAUUGGUGUCUUUGCCUUUGGCACUACCGGUUUCAGUAUGUCUAUAAUGUGCUCCCUAGACGGGUUCACUUCCUCUUGAGUCUCCUCCACAUUGUCAUCAAUAUCAAUUCUUACUUCAUCAUUGUCUUGCACCAAAUUGUUUGGAAUCUUAUCUUCUUGAAUCACCUGUUCAUCAUCCAUAAUUUUUCUUUGACUUAAGGUGGUUGCAUCCCCACUUUUUUCACUCCUUGUAGUCAUGUCCAUGGCAUGUACUGUGUUGUUCCUACCAUUUGGGUUCACCACCGUGUCACUUGAUAGUGCCCCCUUAGGACGAGUGUUCAAAGCUUGCGAGAUUUGUCUCAAUUGAACUUCCAAAUUGCGAAUUGAAGUAUUGUAAGAGGCUAGUUGAGCAUCGGAGUCGGCAUUCUUCUUCAUCAUUUAUUUGAUAAUGUUCUCAAUUCGCCCCAUCUCAUUGUUGGAAGAGCAAGGACCAUGGGAAGGAUAAGGAGGUGGGUUGAUUGUUGUUGAUACAUCGGGGGCCUUUGAAAGCCCGACCCCCGAUUCCCUUAGUUAUUGUUCCAUCCCCCUUGGUUGCUGUCUCCCCAAUAUCCUUGACUAUUUCCACCCCAAUUUCUUUGGUUGUUUUGACCAUUCCAAUUUCCUUGAUUAUUUUUAUUAUUCCAAUUACCUUGGUUGUUACCACCACUCUAAUUGCCUUGGUUGUUUGAGUUCCAAUUCCCUUGAUUACCUUGAGAUCGCCAUUGUUGUUGAUUCGGGUCUUGAGAGUUGUUUCUUUUCCCUUGGAAGUUGUUCACAUAUUGUACUUCCUCCUCUUGUUCAUUGUAAGAUUUAUCUUGGUCAAACCCACUAUCUUCUUGCAUAUAUUGUUCCGCACGGUUUUGCACUUGUUGACCCUUUUGCCUUCUCUUGUUUACCAUCAUAUUGACACCCUCCAUUGCAUUUACUUGCUUAGGACCUUGAACUUGUUGAAGUUGAGAUUUGGCAAAUUGAUUUAUUGUAGUGGUCAACUCGGCAAUUGCUUGCCCAUGAUCAUGCAAUUCUUUAUGUAGGUGAAUCAUAUUUGGAUCACCUUGAGGAACAUUUGCUCUACUUUGCCAUGCAGAUGAAGUAUCUGCCAUCUCAUCUAAGAUCUCACGAGCUUUGGCAUAUGGUGUUGUCAUGGAAUUUCCACCGGCAAGUUGAUUGACCACGCAUUGAUUGGUAGUAUUGACCCCCCCCAUAGAAAGUUUGUUGAAUCAUAGCUUUCGUCAUGUCAUUGUUUGGGCACUCUUUCACCAUAGUUCGGUANNNNNNNNNNNNNNNNNNNNNNNNNNNNNNNNNNNNNNNNNNNNNNNNNNNNNNNNNNNNNNNNNNNNNNNNNNNNNNNNNNNNNNNNNNNNNNNNNNNNNNNNNNNNNNNNNNNNNNNNNNNNNNNNNNNNNNNNNNNNNNNNNNNNNNNNNNNNNNNNNNNNNNNNNNNNNNNNNNNNNNNNNNNNNNNNNNNNNNNNNNNNNNNNNNNNNNNNNNNNNNNNNNNNNNNNNNNNNNNNNNNNNNNNNNNNNNNNNNNNNNNNNNNNNNNNNNNNNNNNNNNNNNNNNNNNNNNNNNNNNNNNNNNNNNNNNNNNNNNNNNNNNNNNNNNNNNNNNNNNNNNNNNNNNNNNNNNNNNNNNNNNNNNNNNNNNNNNNNNNNNNNNNNNNNNNNNNNNNNNNNNNNNNNNNNNNNNNNNNNNNNNNNNNNNNNNNNNNNNNNNNNNNNNNNNNNNNNNNNNNNNNNNNNNNNNNNNNNNNNNNNNNNNNNNNNNNNNNNNNNNNNNNNNNNNNNNNNNNNNNNNNNNNNNNNNNNNNNNNNNNNNNNNNNNNNNNNNNNNNNNNNNNNNNNNNNNNNNNNNNNNNNNNNNNNNNNNNNNNNNNNNNNNNNNNNNNNNNNNNNNNNNNNNNNNNNNNNNNNNNNNNNNNNNNNNNNNNNNNNNNNNNNNNNNNNNNNNNNNNNNNNNNNNNNNNNNNNNNNNNNNNNNNNNNNNNNNNNNNNNNNNNNNNNNNNNNNNNNNNNNNNNNNNNNNNNNNNNNNNNNNNNNNNNNNNNNNNNNNNNNNNNNNNNNNNNNNNNNNNNNNNNNNNNNNNNNNNNNNNNNNNNNNNNNNNNNNNNNNNNNNNNNNNNNNNNNNNNNNNNNNNNNNNNNNNNNNNNNNNNNNNNNNNNNNNNNNNNNNNNNNNNNNNNNNNNNNNNNNNNNNNNNNNNNNNNNNNNNNNNNNNNNNNNNNNNNNNNNNNNNNNNNNNNNNNNNNNNNNNNNNNNNNNNNNNNNNNNNNNNNNNNNNNNNNNNNNNNNNNNNNNNNNNNNNNNNNNNNNNNNNNNNNNNNNNNNNNNNNNNNNNNNNNNNNNNNNNNNNNNNNNNNNNNNNNNNNNNNNNNNNNNNNNNNNNNNNNNNNNNNNNNNNNNNNNNNNNNNNNNNNNNNNNNNNNNNNNNNNNNNNNNNNNNNNNNNNNNNNNNNNNNNNNNNNNNNNNNNNNNNNNNNNNNNNNNNNNNNNNNNNNNNNNNNNNNNNNNNNNNNNNNNNNNNNNNNNNNNNNNNNNNNNNNNNNNNNNNNNNNNNNNNNNNNNNNNNNNNNNNNNNNNNNNNNNNNNNNNNNNNNNNNNNNNNNNNNNNNNNNNNNNNNNNNNNNNNNNNNNNNNNNNNNNNNNNNNNNNNNNNNNNNNNNNNNNNNNNNNNNNNNNNNNNNNNNNNNNNNNNNNNNNNNNNNNNNNNNNNNNNNNNNNNNNNNNNNNNNNNNNNNNNNNNNNNNNNNNNNNNNNNNNNNNNNNNNNNNNNNNNNNNNNNNNNNNNNNNNNNNNNNNNNNNNNNNNNNNNNNNNNNNNNNNNNNNNNNNNNNNNNNNNNNNNNNNNNNNNNNNNNNNNNNNNNNNNNNNNNNNNNNNNNNNNNNNNNNNNNNNNNNNNNNNNNNNNNNNNNNNNNNNNNNNNNNNNNNNNNNNNCUCAAGUAGAGACCAAGUCAAAUAGGCUUGAACCAAUAUUUGCAACCAUUAAUUCUACAAUUAUAGCAAGAACUAGGCUAAAUAAUACACACCCAACCAUAAACAAAUCCUAAAUCAAACACCCAUUAGGUUCCCACACUAGGGUUGGGUCACCCUAGCUAGAAAUUUAGCUACUCAUAGUGGAUAUUGAAGAAAAUAAAGAAGAAAAGAUGAUAAAACUCAUAUUGAAUGAUUAAUAGUUGAAAAUCCAAUAUAAAAUCAACAAUAUAAACUAAAGUUGCCUAAAAGAGUAAAGAAAAACGGCUAUAGACUGUUGGUAUUCAAAACUUAACCUAAUUUCGUAAAAAACGUCUAUUUAUACAUAGUUUAAAUUUUCGUACAAAAUUUCCCUUUCGGAGGUUCUGCGGCCGCACAAUUCUUUGUGCGGUCCGCACUUUGCUUCACCUCUUGACAGGAUUUAGAUCUGCGGCCGCACAAUUCUAUACUGCGGCCGCGUCUCUUGAGUUCUGCUGAUCGCACAAUUCUAGGUGCGGCCACACAAUUAUAGUGCGGUCCGCAGUUCUUGCUGGGCUUGGAGUUAGAAGUCUCUAAACCUUGACUUCUGCGGCCGCACAAUUAUAUUGUGGUCCGCACCUUGAAUUGCAGCUCUGUUAAUUCUUCUUCAUGUUUUGUGGCCGCACACAAAAUUCUGCAGUUCGCACUUUAGCUUUUUGUGCUUGAUUUUUGUCCUUGUUCAAAAGUACUCCUCUUGAGUUUGAUUUCAUCGUCAUGGCUCAUUUUCGAAUACUCCUGCAAGUAAGCAUAUUUAAUCAGUUUUCGGGAAUACCUUUAAACAUUUUUGAACUAAAACAAAAGUCAAAAGGCGCAAAUAAGUAAUCAAAAUCCCCACUUAUCAACAUGCACUGAUGAUUCAUCAUCCCGGGGAGCUGCUACAUUCGAUCUUGUCACCCUGUCCAUUCAUGAAAUGGGGAAUGGAUAUCGUUGGCCUCCUGCCAUGGGCACCCGGUAAGGCUCAAUUUAUAUUUGAUAUGACUGACUAUAUUUCUAAAUGGGUGGAAGCUUAGGCAUUUGAGAAAGUCAGGGAGAAAUAAGUUAAUGACUUCAUUUGGGACCACAUAAUAUUCCGGUUCAGAAUGUCGGCCGAGAUCGUGUGCGACAAUGGGAAGUAGUUAUUUUAAGGCUUAAAUGUCAAAAUUAAUCAUCAUGUGUGCUUAAAAUAGUGUGGGUAAUUUCAUACUUAUUAAUUGGGGGAUGGGUAAACUGUGCAUCAUGUUUAAUUUGCCAAUACCAUGUCUAAAUUGUGCAAAAAUUGAAAACAAAACCUAAAUUUAGUGCCUUCUAAUUUUAAAUUAUGCGGCCGCACAAGAAAUUGUGUGGUCCGCAGAUCCUUAGGCGAGGUUAAAGUCUAUGCAUUGAUUGUACGGACCGCACUCAAAAUUAUGCGGUCCACAGAAACUGAACUACGACCGCAGAAACAUAUGUGCGGCCACAGAUCAAAACUUCAAAGAAUUGGUAUUUCUGGGCCUUGAAUUGUACGGCCGCACUCAGAAUUGUGUGGACCGCACUUCAAUUGUGUGGCCGCACUUCCAACAUUGUGCGGUUCGCACAAGCCAUUCUGCGGUCGCACUCAAAAUUUUGCGGUCCGCACUUAACCCGCAUGCCCAUUGUUUUGUCUGAAACUGUUUUAUAGUUUAUGUUUGAGCUUUAACUGACUCAUGUUACUAUGUAUUGCAGAAAAUGGUUAGAUCAAGAGGACGUGGUGAUACUUACAAAUUGAGGGGUGAACCCUCCCGAGGCCGAGGCAGGGGUACCCUACCACUCUCCGUGCAAAGAGUGUUAUCUAAAAAGGCAACUGCAGGGUGAGGUAGAGCUGCAGAGCCUUCUGAGUCAAGUUUUUAUGCCUCGUCUAGGGAAGCAUCGGAGGGCGACUCAGUGCAAAGGCAGCAUGUUGUGCAAUCACAGCCACAACUGCCCCAGGAUAGAUACCGACUGAGAAAUGAGCCUACCUUUUCUGAGAGUACUUCUGAGGGGUCGGAAGGGAACAACCAGGCUUCGGAGUCCUCAUCUACUCAUGCCCCCGCCGCUCCAGUCACAGUUGAUGAUGAUGAUGAUAAUCUGUAUGACGGACGUACGAGAGGGGGGGUGAUACCAGAGUUGCAGGCCUAGAGAGGUCAAAGAAGAAGGAAGUUUGGGAAGAUAGGUUUGUGAGCCUGACAACAUUCAAUAGGUUCCAAUAGUGGUGGCCCCAUAGAUCGCUCACACUUGAGUGUCAGUUCCUGUUGAAAGACUUAGAUAGGCACAAUCCAAAUGUGUUAAGAUAAUUUCGGGAAAGAAAAUAGUGGAAGUGGUUCACGAAAAGCGUAUUGGAUGCCAAGGAGCACUUAGUCCGGGAGUUCUACGCCAAUGUGACACACAUCAAAAAGGGGACUAAGGUGACUAAGUUGUGGAACUUGAAAGUACAAUUUGAUCAGAGAACCCUGAACACUUAUUUAGGGCUUGAGGAUAUGGAGCUGGUGCAAUAUUUAGAGAAGUUUGCACUGGGUGAUGCAGCUCGCCCUUGGCUAGCUGAGAUACUAGCAGCUCCAGGACCACCACCACCAUGGAUCACAACAGGGGUUCCCAUUCUGCAGAAUACCCUCAACUUUGAAGCAACAGGGUGGCAAACAUUUGUAUGCAAUCGCAUAGACCCAAGCCGGAAUGAAAACAAUCUCCCAAUCCCUCGGGAAGUCCUAGUUGCUUCCAUUAUGGCCGGGUACCCAAUCAAUGUGGGUGCCAUCAUCUCGGCCAACAUGUCUCUAGUUGUCAGGCAGGGUGAAAGCUCUUAUCCGUAUCCCAACACUAUCACGGAGUAUCUCACAGAUGCGGGGGUGGAGUCUAAGAGCUUUGAUAUGAAGGUUAGGGCUAAGCAUCCCUUCUCCUCGUACUCUCUGAAGGACCCAAGGAAUUCAAAGAACAAGGGUAAGUCGACUACUAUCGUAGGCCAGUCUGAUGAGCCGUCGAUGGUAGUUGCAGAUUCUGCUGCUAUACCUUCUACAGCUUCCAUGCCUUCCACAGUAGCCGGGCCUUCCACUGAGACAGCUACCAUGCCACCGCCUCCAUCUUCAGGGCCAUCAGCAUCAGUAUCAGUGCCUUCCUCAUCCACUUAUCCACUCACUACGCUGCGAGUCUCCCAGACACUUGCGAGUCUCCCAGACACUUGCGAGUCUCAACAACUGGAUGUUGACAGCUAAUGCAAAGCUGUUCGACCUAUAAAGUGUUAUUGCAGCAUAGUAUUCUACCCCAUCACCCCAGGUUCCUCAGUCAGUGGAGGAAAUAUUGAAGAAGAUAUUGGAUAAUUAGAAGAACAUCAUGGAUACCUUGGUGGCACAUGGGAGCAAUUGAGGAGCUAGGUAAACAAGUGAAAAAGAUGAGAAAAUCCCAGGCCUCGAGAAAAUCAGUGGACAAGUUGAGAUGUGAAGUCACCAAGAUACUAGCAGCUGGUGAUCUUCCCUUUGACUUACUGAUGGAGACAGAUCCAUCAGUACCAGCAGACCCAACAACACCAUCACUACCAGUGGCACCAGCUGGUCAGUCUGAGGAGCCAGACCUCAUUGUCCACAUGGAUGAGGCGGUGCUACAGAUGUUCACUAACCCAGCUACUCCCCGAGCAAAGGAUGAUGAAAUCCGAUUGGAGGAUCCUGAGGGAGGUGAUGCUGCUAUGGACACUGAGACCACAUAGGGAGUCCUCUCUACUCUUUCCCUUUCUUAUUUUGAUUUUUGUUAAGCAUUGAGGACAAUUCUUAUUCUUAUUCAGGGGGGUGGUCUACUUUGAUUUAAUAUGACAUUUGACAUUGACCCGUAAUAACUGAUAACAUUCUCUUUUUAUUCUUACUUUCAUUAUGUACAUAUUCUUCUCUCUAUUGAUGUAUAUAUUCUCUUUCCCUUUCUCAGUUUGUAUAUUCAUUUAUGCUUUCAGCAGUUUACUUCAUAGCUUCUUUAUUUUGUUUUCUCAGUAGUCAAUGUUUAGUCUAAUAGCUUCUUUUUAAUUUAGUAAUUUCUUUUCAUGUUUAAGAGAUCAAUAAGCCUUUGGUUUUCUUAAUUCCACGGUUCUUUCCAAAGGUGGUUUUUGUGUGAACCGGGUGACUCUUCCCAACGAUGGAUAGCGUGAUAACUUUCUUAAGGGAUUGAGUCUGUUUUUGAUGUUUCGGUAAUAACAAUAGUAAUAAUGAAUAAGAGGACCUAAUUGAGUCAAACUAUAAGAGUCAAGCAUGCUUCGUUUGGUACCAACACACUUAANNNNNNNNNNNNNNNNNNNNNNNNNNNNNNNNNNNNNNNNNNNNNNNNNNNNNNNNNNNNNNNNNNNNNNNNNNNNNNNNNNNNNNNNNNNNNNNNNNNNNNNNNNNNNNNNNNNNNNNNNNNNNNNNNNNNNNNNNNNNNNNNNNNNNNNNNNNNNNNNNNNNNNNNNNNNNNNNNNNNNNNNNNNNNNNNNNNNNNNNNNNNNNNNNNNNNNNNNNNNNNNNNNNNNNNNNNNNNNNNNNNNNNNNNNNNNNNNNNNNNNNNNNNNNNNNNNNNNNNNNNNNNNNNNNNNNNNNNNNNNNNNNNNNNNNNNNNNNNNNNNNNNNNNNNNNNNNNNNNNNNNNNNNNNNNNNNNNNNNNNNNNNNNNNNNNNNNNNNNNNNNNNNNNNNNNNNNNNNNNNNNNNNNNNNNNNNNNNNNNNNNNNNNNNNNNNNNNNNNNNNNNNNNNNNNNNNNNNNNNNNNNNNNNNNNNNNNNNNNNNNNNNNNNNNNNNNNNNNNNNNNNNNNNNNNNNNNNNNNNNNNNNNNNNNNNNNNNNNNNNNNNNNNNNNNNNNNNNNNNNNNNNNNNNNNNNNNNNNNNNNNNNNNNNNNNNNNNNNNNNNNNNNNNNNNNNNNNNNNNNNNNNNNNNNNNNNNNNNNNNNNNNNNNNNNNNNNNNNNNNNNNNNNNNNNNNNNNNNNNNNNNNNNNNNNNNNNNNNNNNNNNNNNNNNNNNNNNNNNNNNNNNNNNNNNNNNNNNNNNNNNNNNNNNNNNNNNNNNNNNNNNNNNNNNNNNNNNNNNNNNNNNNNNNNNNNNNNNNNNNNNNNNNNNNNNNNNNNNNNNNNNNNNNNNNNNNNNNNNNNNNNNNNNNNNNNNNNNNNNNNNNNNNNNNNNNNNNNNNNNNNNNNNNNNNNNNNNNNNNNNNNNNNNNNNNNNNNNNNNNNNNNNNNNNNNNNNNNNNNNNNNNNNNNNNNNNNNNNNNNNNNNNNNNNNNNNNNNNNNNNNNNNNNNNNNNNNNNNNNNNNNNNNNNNNNNNNNNNNNNNNNNNNNNNNNNNNNNNNNNNNNNNNNNNNNNNNNNNNNNNNNNNNNNNNNNNNNNNNNNNNNNNNNNNNNNNNNNNNNNNNNNNNNNNNNNNNNNNNNNNNNNNNNNNNNNNNNNNNNNNNNNNNNNNNNNNNNNNNNNNNNNNNNNNNNNNNNNNNNNNNNNNNNNNNNNNNNNNNNNNNNNNNNNNNNNNNNNNNNNNNNNNNNNNNNNNNNNNNNNNNNNNNNNNNNNNNNNNNNNNNNNNNNNNNNNNNNNNNNNNNNNNNNNNNNNNNNNNNNNNNNNNNNNNNNNNNNNNNNNNNNNNNNNNNNNNNNNNNNNNNNNNNNNNNNNNNNNNNNNNNNNNNNNNNNNNNNNNNNNNNNNNNNNNNNNNNNNNNNNNNNNNNNNNNNNNNNNNNNNNNNNNNNNNNNNNNNNNNNNNNNNNNNNNNNNNNNNNNNNNNNNNNNNNNNNNNNNNNNNNNNNNNNNNNNNNNNNNNNNNNNNNNNNNNNNNNNNNNNNNNNNNNNNNNNNNNNNNNNNNNNNNNNNNNNNNNNNNNNNNNNNNNNNNNNNNNNNNNNNNNNNNNNNNNNNNNNNNNNNNNNNNNNNNNNNNNNNNNNNNNNNNNNNNNNNNNNNNNNNNNNNNNNNNNNNNNNNNNNNNNNNNNNNNNNNNNNNNNNNNNNNNNNNNNNNNNNNNNNNNNNNNNNNNNNNNNNNNNNNNNNNNNNNNNNNNNNNNNNNNNNNNNNNNNNNNNNNNNNNNNNNNNNNNNNNNNNNNNNNNNNNNNNNNNNNNNNNNNNNNNNNNNNNNNNNNNNNNNNNNNNNNNNNNNNNNNNNNNNNNNNNNNNNNNNNNNNNNNNNNNNNNNNNNNNNNNNNNNNNNNNNNNNNNNNNNNNNNNNNNNNNNNNNNNNNNNNNNNNNNNNNNNNNNNNNNNNNNNNNNNNNNNNNNNNNNNNNNNNNNNNNNNNNNNNNNNNNNNNNNNNNNNNNNNNNNNNNNNNNNNNNNNNNNNNNNNNNNNNNNNNNNNNNNNNNNNNNNNNNNNNNNNNNNNNNNNNNNNNNNNNNNNNNNNNNNNNNNNNNNNNNNNNNNNNNNNNNNNNNNNNNNNNNNNNNNNNNNNNNNNNNNNNNNNNNNNNNNNNNNNNNNNNNNNNNNNNNNNNNNNNNNNNNNNNNNNNNNNNNNNNNNNNNNNNNNNNNNNNNNNNNNNNNNNNNNNNNNNNNNNNNNNNNNNNNNNNNNNNNNNNNNNNNNNNNNNNNNNNNNNNNNNNNNNNNNNNNNNNNNNNNNNNNNNNNNNNNNNNNNNNNNNNNNNNNNNNNNNNNNNNNNNNNNNNNNNNNNNNNNNNNNNNNNNNNNNNNNNNNNNNNNNNNNNNAAAGAAAGAAAGAACAAAAAAAAAUACAAAAAGAAAGUGAAUAAAUUGAAGAGUUGCAGGGAUUCAAAAAAAAAAGCAAAAGUGCAAAGCAUGGAGGAAAUAAAGAAGGAAAAAAUGAAUAUCAUGACCAAGAAAGAGUGAAGUCAAAUCUCUGUAGUUCCCCUAAGGAAAAAGAAAAUGACUCAAAGAGUCGGCAAAGCAUGAGCCAAAAAGAGAAAAUGAAGUGCUUAAGUAAAGAUGAACCCGUUCUACUCUAACAUUUCCUACCUUAGUCCAAAAGCCUUCAUUACAUGCCGAAAAACGUCCUACGUGAUUUCAACCCGAGUGAGCUUACAUUAGUGGUGAUUUAUAUGAGGGGCAAAUAUAUGGUACUUAGAGCUGUACUUGUGACAUUCUUUUGAGAGAGAUGAGCGAACUUUUCACAAAUCCUUAAAUUGAGUGCUUCAUUCUUAAGUGAGAUAAGCUAACGGAGAGUAGAAGAGGAGGAGUUUGGGAUCCACAAUGACCUAUAUGAAAGAGCGAACUUUCUUGAUGAGUAAGUCAACUCUUGAUGCUCAAGUGUCACAUUAGAACUAUUUGUUCUUAAAAUUUUAAAUCAUUGCCUUGUUGAUAAUUCAUAAGUGUUGUGGGUAAUUGUUGGUCCCAAUUGAUGUGUGUUUGCUUCACCUUAGAUUAGCUGGAAUAGCUCUUUUCUUGUGGAGGUGGGAAUUACCUUAUUUGCUUGAGGACAAGCAAAAGCUUAAGUUUAGGGGAGUUGAUAAGUGGAGAUUUUGACUACUUAUUUGCGCCUUUUGACUUUUGUUUUAGUUCAGAAAUGUUUAAAGGUAUUCCUGAAAAUUGAUGAAAUAUGCUUACUUGCAGGAGUAUUGAAAAAUGAGCCAUUACGAUGAAAUCAAACUCAAGAGGAGUGCUUUUAAACAUGGACAAAAAUCAAGCACAAAAAGCUAAAGUGCAGACCGCAUAAUUCUGUGUGCGGCCGCAGAACAUUAAGAAGAAUUAAUGGAGCUGCAAUGAAAGGUGCGGACUGCACAAUAAUUGUGCGGCCGCAGAAGUCAAGGUUCAGAGAGCUCCAACUCCAAGCCCAGCAAGAACUGCGGACCGCACUAUAAUUGUGCGGCCGCAGAAAUCAAAUGUGCGGCCGCACCCAGAAUUGUGCGGUCCGCUGAACUCAAGAGACGCGGCCGUAGUGCAGAAUUUUGCGGCCGAAGAUCCAACUACUAGCAAGAGCUGAAGCAAAGUGCAGACCGCACACAGAAUUGUGCUUCCGCAAAACCUCCAAAAGGGCAAUUUUGUUCAAAAAUUUCAGCUGUGUAUAAAUAGACUUUUUUGACGAAAUUAGGUUAAGUUUUGAAUACCAAAAGUCUGUAGCCAUUUUUCUUUACUCUUUUAGGCAACUUUAGCUUAUAUUGUUGAUUUUACAUUGGAUUUUCAUAGAUUAAUCAUUCAAUAUGAGUUUUAUCAUCUUUUCUUCUUUAUUUUCUUCAAUAUCCACUAUGAAUAGCUAAAUUUCUAGCUAGGGUUGUGACCCAACCCUAGUGUGGGAACCUAAUGGGUAUUUGAUUUAGGGCUUGCUUAUGGUUGGGUGUGUAUUAUUUAGCCUAGUUCUUGCUAUAAUUAUAGAAUUAAUAGUUGCAAAAAAUUGGNNNNNNNNNNNNNNNNNNNNNNNCCUAGAGAUAGUAAAAUCCGACUUGAGCUAUUUGUCAAUUGUUUAGUUCAAUACCCAUUUGGACUUGAGAAAGGAAAAUUGGGCAAAAUCACUCUCUUACCAAGAGGUAUUGAGUUGGUAUUUGAGUGUUGAUUGCUAUAAUACACCCGGCCAACGAAACUCGCUCUAAAGCCCACAACUCAUUACGCAAACACCUAGGUGGAAGUCCCAGCCCUAGAAUUUUUACAUAGUUGAAAAACAACAAAAUAAAAUCAUUCUUCUCUUGUUUCAUAUUUUUCUAUUGAAAUCCUUAGUAUAAUUUUAGAAGUAAAAUCAAAACAACGUUUGUAGAAGUGCAACUUAGACAAUUCACUUGCUUAGACCAAAUACAUAACACUAAUCCCAUCUACGCUUCCUGUGGAUUCGUUCCCGACUCCUAGUUGGGUAUUAUUAUUGCAAUCGACCGCUUCACAACACCAAUUUGAGGUGUGACUUGGGCGAGAUCACAUGUCUCUGACAUCCGUCGCAUUUGCGCAUGAACUCCUUUUCGUCGUUUUCCAUGUUGAUCCAGUAGUAUCUGGCUCUGAUUAUCUUACGAAUCAACGAUUUGGCACCCGAAUGAUUCCCACAUGUGCCUUUAUGAACUUCCCUCAAAACAUACUCGGUAUCUCCCGGUCCCAGAAUAUGGCUAGUGGGCCAUCGAACGUUCUCCUGAAUAGGGUGUUGCCUUCAGACAAGAUGAACCUGGCCACCUUUGUGGGCAGAGCUCUCGAUUCUUUAUGGUCCGAGGGAAGUUUUUCGGUCUUCAGGUAAUCUAUAUACUUGUUUCUCCAGUCCCAGGUUAAGCUUGUCAAGUUUAUCUCGGUGUGGCCUUCUUCCACUACCGAUUUCAUGAGUUGUACGACCGUUCCUGAGUUGAAUUCAUCGUCAUCAACCGACGAUCCUAAGUUGGCAAGAGCAUUGACUUCACUAUUUUGAUCUCGAUAUACAUGUUGCAAAGUCCAUUCCUUGAAUCGACGUAAUGCCACUUAUAGUUUAUCCAGGUACCUUUGCAUUCGUUCUUCUUUGACUUCGAACGUUCUAUUGACUUGGUUUACCACAAGGAGGGAAUCACACUUAACUUCAAUCACCUCGCACCCAGGCUUUUAGCCAGUUCAAGACCUGUAAUCAUGGCCUCAUACUCGGCCUCGUUGUUAGUCAAUGUUAUAGUUCUAAUAGAUUGCCUAACUACAUUAUCCGUCGGUGGCUUCAACACGAUGCCAAGCCCGGGCCCCUUUGCGUUUGAGGCACCAUCCGUAAAGAGGGUCCAAAUUACGGAGGAGGUACCCGAUUUCAACAACAACUCUUUCUCGACCUCCGUUAUUAGGGCUGGCGCGAAGUAGGCCACGAAGUCUGCCAAAAUUUGAGAUUUGAUGGAGGUUCGGGGUCGAUAUUCAAUAUCGUACCUGCUGAUUUUCACGGCCCAUUUGGCCAAUCAUCCCAAUAGUUUAGGCUUAUGCCUUAUGUUCCUCAACGGGUAAGUAGUCACGACACAUAUAAGAUGGCAUUGAAAAUACGAUUUUAAAGGCGCUUAGCAAAGCAAGCGCUAAUUUUUCCAGUUAAGGAUACCUAGUUUCGGCCUCGCCUAGAGUCCUGCUAACAUAGUAGAUAGGAAAUUGUGUACUUUCUUCUUCCCGGACUAGGACUCCACUUACCGCUAUCUCAGAUACCGCUAAGUAUAGGUACAACUAUUCAUCUGCCUUUGGAGUAUGAAGCAAAGGCGGGCUCGAAAGGUACCGCUUGAGUUCUUCCAAGGCUUGUUGACACUCCGGGGUCCACGAGAAAUUAUUCUUCUUCUUCAAUAACGAGAAGAGUCGAUGGUUCUUGUCGAAGGACCUUGAAAUGAAUCGGCCCAAAGUGGCUAUGCGCCUGGUUAACCUUUAAACGGCCUUGAAAUUGUCCACCAUGGUAAUGUCCUCUAUGGCCUUGAUUUUAUCGGGGUUGAUCUUGAUUCCCUGGUAGACACCAUAAAUCCGAGAAAUUUCCUGGACCAGACUCCGAAUGCGCAUUUCUCCGGGUUCCGCUUCAUAUUGUAUUUCUUCAAUAUGUUUAAGGUUUCUUGCACAUGUUUCAAAUGGUCCUCAACUCGCAGGGACUUAACUAACAUAUCGUUAAUGUAAACCUCCAUUGAUUUUCCUAUUUGUUCUUCGAAUAUUCGAUUUACUAGGUGUUGGUAAGUGGCACCGAUGUUUUUUAGUCCGAAUGGCAUCACAUUAUAGUAGUAGGUGUCGUACUUAGUGAUGAAGGACAUUUUUUCCUGGUCACCCGGGUCCAUCCGAAUUUGGUUAUACCCGGAAUAGGCAUCGAGAAAACUGAGGAUCUCAUGGCAGACCGUUACAUCGAUCAUGUGAUCGAUGUUAGGUAGAGGGAAAGAGUCCUUGGGGCAUGUCUGAUUCAAGUCUUUGUAAUCUACACACAUUCUUAAUUUAUUCCCUUUUUUAAGGACUACCACUACGUUUGCUAACCAAUCCGUGUACUUAACCUCCCUAAUGGACCCUAUUUUAAGGAGUUUAGAUACCUCGUCUUUGAUGAAUGCAUGCUUGACUUCGGAUUGAGGCCUCAUUUUCUGUUUGACUAGGUGGAAUUUCGGAUCCAGGCUCAGCUUGUGAGUAGCUAUUUCUGGCGGGAUCCCUGUCAUGUCGAGGCGGGACCAAGCGAAACAAUCUAUGUUAGCCAUAAGAAAUUUAAGGAGUUACUUCUUAAGCUCUGGAUUUAACUCCGUGCCUAGGUAUACCUUCCGAUCGGGCAGGUAAUCGAUCAAUAUGACUUGCUCCAGUUCUUCGACCGCUGAUUUGGUGGCGUCAGAAUCGUCGGGGACUAUGAAAGAUCUGGGAACUCCGCAGUCGUUGUCCUCAUUCGUCUCGUGCUUCUCCGGUUCGGUCAGGGCCGAUGUCGGUGAUUGAUAUUUGGUUCCUUCCUUGGCGAUCGAACUCUGAUCCUUUGGUGUAGAAAGUGUGGAUUUCGGGAUCACCUCGUCGACCGCGAACAUCUCCUUUGCGCCUGGUUAUUCUCCAUAAAUUAUUUUAAUCCCUCAUAGCAUUGGGAAUUUCAACACCUGGUGCAAUGCUGAGGGCACUGCCCUCAUGUUGUGAAUCCACGGUCUCCCUAACAUAACAUUGUAUCCCAUAUCUCCUUCGAUCACAUAGAACCUUGCUUCCUGAAUGGUUCUGGUGGUGUUCACCGGUAGUGUUAUCUCCCCUUUAGUUUUCUCACAUACCAUGUUGAAUUCGUUUCGAACUCGGACCGCAGGCAAAAUUUGGUCUUAUAGACCCAGCUGCUCUACGACUCUCGAUCUGAUGAUAUUGGCCGAGCUACCUGGAUCAAUUAACACAUGCUUAACUCGAGAUUUAUUUAUAAGUAUAGAUAUUACCAGUGCAUCGUUGUGUGGAUGCACGAUGCCUUCAACGUCCUUGUCAUUGAAUGAUAAGGUUCCUUCUAGCACAUAAUCCCGAGUCUUUUUUCUCUAGUGAUGAACACUUUGGUGCACUUUAGCAUCGGCCCCUGGGAGGACGUUGACCCCACUGAUGAUCAUGUUAAUGACGUGCUGAGGUUCCUCCUACUUGGUGUGCUUAUUAGUGUCCCUAUUCCUAUAAUGGUUUUUGGCUCGAUCUCAGGAACUCUCGGAGAUGUCCGUUGUUGAAUAACCGGACUACUUCCUUUCUCAAUUGCUCGCAAUCUUCUGUUCUAUGGCUGUGAGUGCCGUGAUACACAUUAGGUUAGGGUCCCUUUGGGCUGGAUCGGACUAUAGAGGUCGAUGCAACUUGGUGUCUUUGAUGCGUCUAAUGGCAGAUACAAUGGAAGCAGCAUCGAUGUUGAAUUUGUCCUCUGAUAACCUCGGCGCUUCCUUAGGCCCGGCGGGCCUAUCGAAGCCGCUUUUGCUCAUGAGUCCCCGAUUAUUUGACCUCGAUCGCUUCUCCUUUCACUUCUCAUAGGGUUUUAUCCAGACCCAUUACUUCUUCGGUCGCCACUAUAUGGUUGAUACCGAUCCAUAAUUGACCUCGGUUUACGAUCAAUGUCUCUGUUGGGUAUGUCGAUAGCUCUGACGGGAUAAAAGGACCAGGAAGGGGGCCCAAGCUGAUCAUCUUCGACCUUAAUUUUUUAUUGAUACCGGUUAUGUACGUCGGCCCAAGUUACAAUCGGAUAUUCUACCAGAUUUUGCUUCAACUGUUGUGAAGCCAAUGAGCUUCGAGUAUUGAGUCCUUGGGUGAAGGCCUGAAUGACCCAAUCGUCCGCGACCGGAGGCAGGUCCAUUCGUUCCAUUUGAAACCGGGACACGAAUUCCCUGAGCAUAUCAUUAUCUCUCUAUUUCACUUUGAAAAGGUUUGAUUUCCUGGUCUCGACCUUGAUGGCCUCGGUGUGUGAUUUCACGAAGGAGUCUGCAAGCAUAGCAAACGAGUCAAUAGAAUUAGGGGGUAAGUUGUGAUACCAUAUCAUAUCUCCCUUCGACAAAGUUUCCCUGAAUUAUUUCAGCAGGACGGACUCGAUCUCGUCAUCCUCUAAGUCAUUUCCAUUGAUGGCGCACGUGUAGGAGAUCACAUGCUCAUUUGGGUCGGUUGUUCCGUUGUACUUAGGAAUCUCGGGCAUGCGAAACUUCUUCGGGAUUGGCUUCGGAGCUGCGCUUGGAGGAAAAGGUUUUUGAACAAACUUCUUGGAAUCCAAGCCCUUCAAUAUCGAUGGUGCUCCUGGGAUUUGGUUGACCCUGAAAUUGUAGGUUUUCACCUUUUUGUCAUUGGCUUCAAUUUUCUUUUCUCUCGAUUCUACCCGUUUUGUCAGUUCCUCGAGUAUUUUUAUGAUCUCGGGGUUAGUUUCGGGUUCGACAUUGUCGUGACUGGUUCAUUUCUGCAAGCGAUUUCUCGGGGCGGCUCGGGCUCAAUCCUACUGGUGGUACGACUCUGGUUCUAUAGCUGGGUUAUCGCUGCCUGUUGAGCCUGUAGCAUUUCAAAGAUCACUUGCAAGUUGAUCCCAUCUCCUUUGCCGUUGUGUGUAUUUUGGGCUACCGAUCGGACUCCCCCGCGGAUGAUGUUCUCAAGAUCGGUAGGCAAAUUCGCAUUGAUGGCCACAUGUGAAUUAGCGUCGAUUGGGUCCGCGGCCAGAACUCUGUUGGGAUUGAUAGGGGGCACCUCGUUACUGGGUACCAUGUCGUUGUUCUCGCCAUGAUAACCGGACUCAGCAUCCAUGUUUAGAGGGGCAGAUUGGGAGUUCGACAUUUUAUAACUUUGACCUGAAAUUAAAGACAUUUCAAAGAACAAGUGUAAAAUAGGGUGGGUUAUGAAAAUUUAUAUCAAAUUGCCACUAUUAUCCUUAGCCCCACGGUGGGCGCCAAACUGUUUACCCUAAAAAAUGGAUAAUAAUUAAAUUUGUAAGUUAUUUUAAGGAUAUGCAGAUUAAUUCGAUACAAACGGUAAAUUGCGUUAGAUUAAAUAAAUAAAGAUUAGUAAAUUCAAACCACGUGAGGAGGAUAAUUCCAGCCUUGAUGAAAUAUUUACCCUCGAUCCGGACUCAUAAUGGCCAACACUGAUGAACGAGAAUAAAAGCUUUCAAUCAUAGUGAAAAUAAUAGUAUAUUGCUUUGGGAUACGUGUUACAAUACGUUCAAUGAAUAAUCAGACUUCCCUUUAUAUAGUAGGGGAGUUUUACCCUAAGUACAAUUCUAUAAAAGGUAAAAAUCUCCCGUUUAACUAAUUACUGGAUUCCCGUCAGUACGCACCGAGAUCUGCGUCGUGAUACCCAGUUGGUCGCGGAUAUUACGGCCUUCCGUUAUUCGUGUUCGAUUGCCCAAUAAUGCUCUCCGAAGUCUCUUGGGAUUUGGACCGAUCCCGGGGUCAUGGCCUCGAUAUACUCGAGAGUGGGCGUCGUGCCUCCGGUGCCUGACUCGAUGAGUCCCUUACCUCGAUUCUGGUUCCUUGUCAUCGCAUACCUUACUCGAUUUAUUUUAUCAGGAAUCGGGCCGUCUUAUGAAUCCGGUUUCACCCGUAUAAAGAUUUAUAAGGCUUGAAUGUCUAUUAUUAACAACCUUUUUCUUUUGGAUUAAAGUGAGGACAAUAUCGUAUCAACAAAAAGGUGUUUAAACCAAACCAAUUAAUGCAAGAUGUGUGUCUUUCAAGUUUCAACACACACUUGAAUAAUCAUGAUUAAGUGACAUGUAUUCUGCCUUUAAUCUUAAACUUAUAAGGUUGAAUUAUUUAUUGGUUGAGCAAGGAUGAAAGUCGUGUUUGUUUUAGAAUUUGCAAAAACUAAAUAUUUGCAAUUUGACCUCUUGGGAAGAAAAAUGUCCGUUUGAGCUUCUUUUUUUUCUUUCUAAGUACUAGUUUCGUUUUUAAAAAAUUUCAGACUCAGGUUUUCAAAUCUUAUAGACGCUCCAAAUGAUUAUAGUUAUUCAAACUAGUUUAGUUAUUCUAUUUAGUAGGUUUAGCAGUUGUUUAUGUUAGCUGAACCAAAUAAAAAAGGACUAUGUCCUAUCCAGAACCAUAAUAAUUCGAUAUUUGAUUGAUAGUUUGUCUAUUAUCUUCUAAGUUGUUAUUCUCACUAUAACUUGUUGUUUAUCUCCAAAAUUAAUGUUAUAUUAAUCAUGCUUAUUGCUCUAAGUUCUCCGAAUCAAUUUUAAUAUAGGUUUGGUGGCUUGGCCCUCACCAAAUGGAAAAUUGAUGUCUACCAAAUUUACUACUUUAUUCCUACCUAAGAAUAUUGUAUGGAAAAAUUGUUGGAGUGAACCACCUUUUCCUUUUAUUCUCAAUUUUUUUUUAAAAAAAAAAUCAUUCGAAGAGAAAACUAAUCCGAGUUUAAAUGUAUUAGAAUUUAUCAUUACUUAAACAUAAGAACAAAGAAACUAAAGAAAACUAGUAAAAUCGAAUACUUAAAAAAUUAAUAAUUGCUGAGAGCUGGUAUAAAGAACCUACACCAGCCAGAUUAAAUACAUUAUUAAUUGAUAAUUAAAAAUCGGUUCGCUCAUGCAAUGGACAAUGUGGUCUCACGAUAAAUAUUUUUUCCUUUUAAAAAAUAAUAAUAAUAAGAUUGCCCACAUAUCACUAUCAAUCCAACAUAUAGUUGGUAAGAGUCCAAAAAAUAGGUGGGACACUACGUACUGGAGUAUGGUAUAUUAUUAAAUUUUGACAUUUGUGAAACAUGCAUAUAUUUAAUGUAGACUAAUUGAUGUAACUUAGAUAAAUGAUUAGUCGAAUGGUGAUUUCUUGAAUGACCACUGUGAAAUUUACUCAUUAAAUUAGAUGAAUUAAAAUAAAAGUUCAAUUAACAAACUAAAUAUAUUAUGACUCCAAAAAUUUACGAACAUUAUCAUGACUUAAGUACGUGUUUCACAUACCUCUCAAUUUAGAUUUAUAAAUUUUUUAUCCCUUUGGAUCCAACCUCAUAAGUUGGCCAAAUUUUGAGAAAUGGAAGUCAUUGUAACAUUUGAUGAAAUCUUAGCCAAAUUAGAUAGUAGCACUUAAUAAAUUAAUAAUUAUUAAGUGAGAUCAAUUUGACAACACGGCAAGUAAGUAAAAUUUUUAUAGAGGAUUAGGAAAAAACAGCUAUGACAAAGGAGUGGAGGAAUUGACUUCUAGUUCUAGAUAUAUUUUUUUAUUGAAGGCCAUUAUAUAUGUAGAAUUUUAUUAAAAGGUAAAGUGAGUAAAAAGACAAGAAAUUAAUCUAAAUAAACGAAAUCACCAUUUCUUGUGUUUUCCCUUGUUUUUCUUCUAAAUCGUUUCUUAAAAAAAUACUGAAAAUUGUUAUCAAGCAACAAUCACUUUUUCCUUGAGCAGCCAAAAGACCUUAGUGGAGUGCAUCUAUGAUUUAAACUCUAUGAGUUCAUCCUCUAAGAUUUUUAGUAUUGAAUUCAUUAUAUUUUUAAAGUUAUGGGUUCAAAUCAACUAUUUAUCACAAUUUUAAUAGAUUUUACACACAAAUUAAUAUGCUCUAUAUCAAAAGUUACAUAUGCCCCUGUCCUCAACCUAUUACUCAAACACACCCUUGAGGAGGUGAGGGAUUGGAUAUUGAACGUCUGUUGGAUAAGAAAUGAACCUACAAGCUGCAACUUGUUAGUAUAAAGUUUUAACUUGUCAAUAUUAUUUUGUAAUAAAAUUAAAGCUUAAAAGCGUGUAGCCGAUACAAUAAGGUUCUAAUUAAAGUCAGAAAAGGAAAAGGAAAAAGAAAAGCAAAAAGGAUGGGGAUGAAGAUACAUGCUUUAAAGUAAUAUUCAUCUUGCAUUAUUUCGACAAUAGUUGAACUAAAAAUUCGUUUCUUCACAGAAAGGGCCUGGGAUUUUGUCAAUAAAGCAUCAUAAGUAAUGUCGGACAAAGAAAGCUUGCAACUUUUUAAGGUGAUAUCACUAAAUACAAUCUUCAUUUUUAGUUUUCCGCCUCAUCUUCAAUAUUUGCAUUAGAGCUUUAGUUAAUUCGAAUUCAUGCCGCAUAAAUUCCUUAAAAGGAAAAAACACUCCUUAUUUAAAAAAAAUCAUAUUCAUCUCACUAUAGUCCUUGAUGAUAUAUGCAUUAAUGCAAGUUACUUCUUUAUAUUUUAAAUUUUCUUUUUUGGUACAUUAAAAAAUGGCACAUAUCUUUUUUCAUUUAGCAAUAUAUUAUUGUUGUUACCACUUAAAAUUACCAAUUGGCAAAAGAAACCUUUGAUCGGAAUAACUUAGAGCAUAUCUGGCAAGAAAUUAUAAAAUUUCGUUAAAUAUUUUGCUACAGUUGACGUAGAGCAGAUCGAUAGAUAAAAUGAUUACAAUAUUCCCACAAUUAGGAGAAAGCAAAUUCGGUUUAGCACCUCUUGAUUUGGUUUAAGGCUAAACCCAAAAAUCAUUUAACAUUUACAAGACAACCCUCAACAUCAUCCACUCAUAAUUUAUCCAAAAAAACAUAUGUACUUUACAUAUAUGUACCAAAAAUAACCCACAAAUAAAACACCGAAGGGGAAAACUGAAAAACUCAGACCUUUGAGUUACCAGCCUACCACAAAGAUACGUUACAUCAUCAAAUACAGCUCAACAAUACCUUUUUUUGACUACUAGUACUCAUAAAUAAUAUUGUAGUACUAGUACAAGCUUUCCAUUGCUUUCGUUGAAAAGCUAUAUUUACCCGGAAAACAAAUAUAGUUGAAUUUGUAUGUAUUUCUAAGGAUACGUGGUAUAACUUGACACAAAUCGUAUAAGUAGAAAUAUCGAAUAUUGACCGUAAAGAAUGAAAUACAAACAAAGUUGAAUGGAGGAUGAUUUAUGGAUAAGCAAGAUGAAUCAAUGUAUAAAACUUCAAAAGGAUAAUCUCUUAAUAUGGAGUAUAUGCACAGUAUCUGAGUUAUGGUGUCUUAAUGCCUCAAUAGUUGGAUGCCCCUUUACGGAAAUAGUAGACAUCUUUUUUAUAGUGAAAGUGUCUUACUUUAGAUAUAAUAAAAAAUGCAUAGUGGGGAUUCCAUGAUAGACUAGUUUUUUCCUAAUUUUCAUCGAGAUUCUAUCUCUUAGUGCGGCUUUAACGGCUCUUUUCUCUUGGCUCGAUCUUGAUCGGACUCGGUAUUAGUCGGUUUCCAGGUUUAGAGCUCGAUGCGGUCUCGAGAUCGAUGCUGACUCGGGGCCCGGUAUUGAUUCGGGCUCGGUGUUGGUUGGCCUCUGGCUCUGAAGCUUAAUACCAUCGCUUCUCAACAUAGUUCGAUUUGGACUCGAGCUCGAUAAUGACUUCGAGCUCGGUAUUUGAUCUGACCCCGAAACUCUAAGCUCGUUUGUGCCUUCUUCAAAUCUCAUCUCGAUAUUAUGAAGACGCUCUUCGGUCCAUCUUCACCAAUCGUAUGAAGGUCGAAACCGGUUUUGACCGUAUACAGAUAGUCCCCUCGUUUCUCGGGAAGGAUGUGGCGAGAAACGAUAUGAUUUCCCAACGGCUCGAUUAGAUAUACACUGACAUUUGCAUCGAGCCCGACCAUGACAUACGUAAUAGCUGUCCCGUCGGUUCAGUUUACCAAGGCAUUAAAUGCGUGUCAGACAGUGGUCGACCACUGAUGAUAUUGAAUCGAUGUUGCUUAAUCUAUAAAUAGCCCAUUUGUUUUACCAUUUAUCACUUUUACAUCUCCAAUCUCCAAAUUUUCUAAGCUCUUUCUCGUAUCUUCUGAGUUUAUCUGUAAGUCUGUGAUUUUUACUGCAAAAAUCUUUCUUCUGUGAUUUUCACUGCAAAAUCUUUUUUUUAAAACUCCACAUCUUUGUCAUCUCCUUCUAUUUUCGAUCUCUAGAUCCAAAAUGGCGAAAAUAUUUAAAACUAUUCCUCAAAAAGAAAAAACUUCUUCUUCAUAGCCUGCCGCCGACAAAACACCGGUGGAGCCACGACAUGAGGAGUGUGUUCCCGGGUCAUGUGUUCUUACCUCUGAUUUUAAGGUCGAUAAAGUCUCGUCGGUUCCUGGUCGAUGUGAACCAGUAUCGAGGUAUAUGUGCUCGAUAACUAAGGGACACCUCGAGCAGCUGAGGAAAGAUUGUAACUGGGAGAAAAUAGAAGUGAUAAUCCCGGCUCCCGAAGAAGAUAUUACUUCUUAUGUGAAAGGAUUUUUAAGUGUGUAUACUUACCCUUUUAUAUUGGGCCCCCCUCGACCCUGUCGUUAUCGAUUUUUGCCGCCAAUACCAAAUAACCCUAUGCCAAAUCCAUUCUUCUCUUUGGCGGAUCGUUAUUCAGAUCCGCUUCUUCGUGAACAAGAUCGAGGGGAUGCCUUUCACCCUCGACCAUCUUUUUAGACUGUCAACCCCCGCCUCUAUCGAGGUGGGUUAAUAAAACUCCAGCACCGGGCUACCAAGGUGCUGUUCUCGAGCAUAGACGAGGACAGGGAUCGAGGCUGGAUGGGCAGGUUCGUUCGAGUGAAGACUUCGGACCUAAUUCCGGCCGAGAAGAUACCAUUUCCCGAGAAAUGGAACAUGUAGCAUAAGUAUAAUUAUGUUGUUAUCUCCUAUUGUUUUGCCCCUUCGUUUCUUUCUCAGUGAAAUCCCCUUUUGCAAUGCAGUUGUUCCUUGGAUGCCCGGUGCAGUUCCUGACCUUAAGAGUUGGGUACGGGACCUGGUUUCGACCUCUACAUACACAGAGCGCUCGUGGCAUAAUUUGUCAAAUGGUCGAUGGGAGGCAAAAAAUCAUGGUAAGCCUCUUUCUCAUGUCUUUGAUGGUUCGAAUAAAAUGUUUUCCAUAUACUUAACCAAUUUUCUUAUGCAUAGGUUUGGGCAAAGAUGUGGUUAUGAGGGCCCCAUCCGGUGAGGAAGAGACUUUGGUCCCAGUUUCAAAACCGACGAAGGGCAAUAAGAGAAAAAGGGCCUCCACUUCUAAGGAUCCAGAACCCAAGACAAGGAUGGCUCGCAAGCCGAGGAGGAAAAUUAUCCCUCUGGCCGAAGAAUAUGUUCGGCGUCUGAGGGAUAAAGACGAAGAAGAAGAGGAAAACGACGGCUCCAUACUGGUGGCCCGAGUGAAGAAAACCAUCGAUGCCCCAAAGGCAGAGGGAUCGAUGGUCGUUUAUGGAGCUCCGCCUCGAACUGAGGGGAUAUCGGAGAAAGAUUCGGGCAGAGUCCCCGAAUCGUUAGAGAUCGAGGAUGCCUCCCACCGAAGUCAACAAAUGGUGGACAUAUCUGAAGGGGCCGGUCCUGAAGCUCUUCAAACUGAGGAGAACGCCCCAAGCGAGUCGCUUGGGACAAUAGUAAUCGGAGACUCUCCCACUCUCCCUGCUUUUUCCAAAGGGGUGAUUCAAGAAGCCCAAGCUUUGGAGGCCCUCGAGGUAGAUGGGUCUCAUGAGGGAGAGGACCCUUUUCGUGAUUUGUUUACCGGUAUCGAGGAUGCUGCCGACCCUAGUGAUGCAUCUGGUCUUUUCCACGAAGUGCAGUAAGCUCUGAAUCGGGUAAGCCUUAACUCACUUCGUUGGUACCACCAUCAUGUUUGUUUUUCUUUGCUAACUUCUUUACUUUUUUCUUCGCAGGCCGUAGUGGUUCAUCGAGAAGCAUGGUCUCGGUCUUGAGCUGAGCUGCGUCGGUAUGAGGCCGACCUAUGACGGGUCACGGAGGAGAGGAAUGCCCUUAAACUCCUCUUCAGGCAAAGGGAAGAGGAAAUCAAGGACCUCCGAGCUGAGUUAGCCAAGGCUCACCAAGAUCAGACCGAUCUAACCGAGCAGGUAAUGAUAAUAUUAAAAACACAUGGGCUCGAUACUGGAACAAUGGCUAAUAUUUCGGUCUCACAUCUGUAGCAGAAGUUUGAGGUGAUCAAGAAGCUCUGUGAGGAGGUUGAUGUGAUAAAGGCGGAUUCCUUGGAGUGGAAAUAAGGUAUGGACCGCCUUGCUACAGAAAAAGAGGCUGCUCGAGCCCAAUUAUUAUCAGUUGAAGGUCAACUUCAAGGCCUAAAGGAGAAAAGCUCGGUUCAAGAGAGGAAAAUAGAGGAGUUCGAGGCUCGGUUGGCUUUUGAACUCGCCAAGGCCGAAAAAAUAAAGGCCGAUGCAGAUGGAUUUGUGGCUAUUUAUCGGGCCGAUGCUGAAGCCGCUCAGGUGAAAGCGAGAGAGGCUGCCUAGACCGCUAAAACUCGAGCAUAUUGGGUUGCUAAACUCGCUAAAUGCCAAUCUCGGAGGGAAACCCUCGAGGUGAUCCAUGCUCGAGGCUUCGAUCUUACCGAAGUAAUAAAAAGGGCUAAAGAGCUUGAAGUCGAUGUUGGAGCCUUGCCCUCCGAUGAUGAUGAUGACGAUGAUGAUAAUGAUGGGAGCAAGAGUGGGUCUGAAAGUGGGGAGGAGCCCGAUGGAGAAGAGACUGCCCCCAGAGAUAAUUAGGGUUUUUUCCCAUUUUGAUUUUUUAUGUAGGGUCCUGAUCGGACGUUGUAAAUACUCUCAUAUAUAUAUAAAGAUCUUUUCAUUUCCCUACUUGUUUCUGUUUUGUUUACUGCCUUGUGAAGAUUUUGUUUCAUGCACGCCUUAUAAAAGUUUUCAUAAGUUCGAGGCUUUAGGACCUUGUAGUCUUUACAACCGAGUGAGUGCCUGCUCAAACUCGAAGUAAGAGUAGCCCUUAGGCUUUAUGGUCGAGUGAGUGAUUUGCUCGAACUCGGAAUAAUUAUUAGCCCUUAGGCUGAGUAGUCAAGUGAGUGAUUGCUCGAACUCAAAGUAAGAGUAGACCUUGGGAUUUAUUGGUCGAGUGAGUGAUUGCUCGAACCCAAAAUAAGGUAGCCCGUAGGCUUAGUAGUCGAGUGAGUGAUUACUCAAACUUGAAGUAAGGUAGACCUUAGGUUUUAAUGAUCGAGUGAAUGAUUGCUCGAACUCGAAGUGAGGUAGCAUGUAGGCUUAUUGGUCGAGUGAGUGAUUGUUCGAACUCGAAGUAAGGUAUCCCGUAGGCUUAGUAGUCGAGUGAGUGAUUUUCUCGAACUCAAAGUAAGGUAACCCAUAGGCUUUAUUGGUCGAGUGAGUGAUUGCUCAAACUCGAAGUAAGGUUGCUCGUAGGCUUAGUAGUCGAGUGAGUUAUUUGCUCGAACUCGAAGUAAGGUUGCCCGUAGGCUUAAUAAUCGAGUGAGUGAUUUGCUCGAACUCGAAGUAAGGUAGCCCGUAGGAUUAGUAGUCGAGUGAGUGAUUUAUUCGAACUCGAAGUAAGAGUAGCCCUUAGGAUUUAUUGGUCAAGUGAGUGAUUGCUCGAACUGGAAAUAAGGUAGCCCAUAGGCUUAUUGGUCGAGUGAGUGAUUGCUCGAACUCGAAGUAAGGUAGCCUGUAGGCUUGUAUGGGGCUUGGUCUUGUUGAUUUUUCGGUUGGCAGUCUCCGAUUUAUGGGGUAAUGGUAGGCCCUUAAGCUUGUUUGCAUAAUAGAUCAUGAAAUAGAGGAUGGAUUUUGAGACGUGAGAUAUCGGCAAAGAAGAAAUUUCUCUUUAUGUCAUUAUACAUGUGUUCAUGUUUUGUACCAGGGAUCGAGUAAACUACCCGAGCAUGGUUUGUUUUGACCAUUUGGCUCUUAUAAUUGUUCCUAUCGAAACUAUGUUGUUAUGACGUAACUUCCUUGCAUCAAACUUGAUAAUCGAACUUACUUGAUAUAUUUGAGGGUAGUGCCCCCCGGUAUUUGAGGUUGAUUGUAAAUAGGACUCGGAUAUCAUUGAAUUGUACUACGUUAGCACGAUCAAUGGUUGCCUCAUUAAAAACCUUGUCGAAAAACCCAUUUUGGGACAAAAACCGGUCAAAGGGAAAAAGAGUGCAACGCAUGCUUUCAGGCCUAAAGGCUUCGAGUUGAAUAAUCCAUUCAUUUUUCUGAUCGAACACCUGCAAGGGUUAAUUUCAAAAUAUAAAUGAACAUAGGAGGUUGUACCUUAACAGUAGUAUCGUUUUAGGUGCGACACGUUCCAAUUGCUUGGUAGUUGCUUGUCGUUUAUUACACCGAGCUUGUAGGAUCCUUUACCGACAAUUUCGAGGACCUGAUACGGUCCUUCCCAGUUCAGACCCAAUUUUCCUUCGUUCGGAUUUUGGGUGUUAAGGGUAACUUUCCUCAGCACUAAGUCCCCGAUUUUAAAAUGGCGAAGAUUGGUUCUUCGAUUAUAGUAUCUUUUGAUCCCCUAUUUUUGGGCAGCCAAUCGGACGAGAAUGGCUUCUCGUUUUUCAUCCAAUAAUUCGAGGCUAGUAUUCAUAGCCUCGUGAUUUGACUCUUCUGUUGUAUGUCGAAACCUGGCACUGGGUUCCCCGACUUCGACUGAAAUUAAGGCUUCAGAGCCAUAUACUAAAGAGAACGGGGUUGCCCCCGUACCGGACUUUGAUGUUGUUCUAUAUGCCAGAAGACUUCGGGUAUAAUUUCUCUCUAUUUCCCCUUAGCGUCGUUCAACCUUUUCUUUAGGUUUUGAAUGAUAGUCUUGUUUGUCGAUUCGGCUUGUCCGUUCCCACUAGGGUGAUACAGCGUUAAUAAUAACCUUUUUAUUUUGUGGUGUCAAGGAAUUUUGUCAAUUUGCUGCCGAUAAAUUAUUUUCCAUUGUCACACACUAUUUCGGUGGGUAUCCCAAAUUGACAUACGAUGUGAUACCAGAUGAAGUCUAUAACCUCUUUCUCUUUCACUUUCUCGAACGCAUGUACUUCAACCCAUUUAGAGAAAUAGUCAGUCAUAAAUAAAAUAAACUGAGCCUUACCUAGGGCCGAUGGGAGGGGGCCGAUGAUGUCCAUUCCCCAUUUCAUGAAAGGCCAGGGAGAUAGGACCGAGAGGAGAAAUUCCACGGGUUGAUGAAUCAUGGGUGCAUGUCUUUGACAUUUAUCGCAUUUUCGAACGAACUCCCUUGCAUCUAUGUCCAUAUCAAUCCAAUAAUAUCCUGCUCUGAUUAUUUUUUGGACUAAUGAAUCGGCACCAGAAUGAUUUCCAAAAGUACCCUCGUGAAUAUCACGUAGGAUAUAGUCGGUAUCUCCCGGUCCCAAACAUAUUGCCAGUGGACCAUCGAACAUCCUUCUAAACAUUGUUCCAUCAUUGGAUAAGGUGAACCGUUCAGCUUUUGUGCGUAGAGCUCUCAAUUCCUUUGCGUCCGAUGGAAGUUUCUCGUUCUUAAACUAUUCUACAUAUUUGGUUCCCCAAUCCCAGGUUAGACUUAUGGAGUUUAUCUCAGCGUGACCUUCCUCGAUUACGGAUCUCGAGAGUUGAACGACAGUCGUCGAGCUGAUCUCAUCUUCCUCGACCGAUGUCCCCAAAUUUGCAAGUGCAUCGGCCUCACUGUUUUGUUCUCGAGGUACAUGUUGUAAAGUCCAUUCCUUGAAAUGGUGCAAAGUUACCUGCAGUUUGUCCAAAUACCUUUUCAUUCUAUCCUCUCGAACUUCGAAGGUUUUGUUUACUUGGUUCACCAACAGUAAAGAGUCACACUUGGCUUCAAUGACUUCUGUUUCCAAGCUUUUAGCUAGCUUGAGACCUGCAAUCAUGGCCUCGUACUCGGCCUCAUUGUUAGUCAACCUAGAAGUUUUUAUAGAUUGCCUAAAAGUGCUACCCGUGGGCGGUUUCAAAACGAUGCCUAUCCCGGACCCCUUCACAUUCGAAGCAUCGUCUGUGAAAAGGGUCCAUACCCCCGAUGGUGUACCCGAUUUUAACAAGAGUUCCUUUUCAAAUUCGUGUACGAGGGUUGGCGUGAAAUCAGCCACAAAGUUCGCUAAAAUUUGAGAUUUGAUGGCCGUCCGGGGUUAAUAUUUGAUAUCGUACCCACUGAGUUCGACGGCCCAUUUGGCCAAUCGGCCCGAUAGUUCGGGUCUGUGCAAAAUAUUAUGAAGUGGGUAAGUGGUUUAUACGUAUAUGGGGUGAUAUUGAAAGUAUGGUCUUAACUUUCUAAAGGCGCUUAUUAGAGCAAGUGCCAAUUUCUUUAAGUGUGAAUAUCUAGUUUCUGCUUCUCCUAAGGUUCGACUUACAUAAUAAAUAGGAAAUUGUGUACCUUGGUCUUCUCGAACUAGGAUACCACUUACCGCGAUUUCCGAUACUGCCAAGUACAAGUAAAGUUUCUCGUCUGCCUUUGAAGUGUGAAGCAGUGGUGGGCUCAAUAGGUAUCGCUUCAAUUCCUCUAAUGCCUAUUGGCAUUUCGGGGUCCAGGCGAAAUCGUUCUUCUUUUUGAGUAGAGAGAAAAAUCAGUGGCUUCGAUCCAACGACCUCGAAAUGAAUCUACCUAUGACAGCUAUCCAUCCAGUUAGCUUCUGCACAGAUUUUACACUGUCCAUGACGGUGAUGUCUUCGAUGGCCUUGAUUUUAUCGGGGUUGAUCUCGAUCCCCCAAUUCGAUAACAUGAAGCCAAGGAACUUGCCCGAACCGACCCCGAAAGCACAUUUCUCGGGGUUGAGCUUCAUCUUGUAUUUCCUUAAAAUCUCGAAUGUUUCCUGCAAAUGGUCCAAAUGGUCUUCUGUGCACAGGGACUUAACUAGCAUGUCAUCAAUAUAAACUUCCAAUGAUUUACCUAUUUGUUCUUCGAACAUUUUAUUUACUAGGCGUUGGAAAGGAGCUCUUGUAUUUUUUAGCCCAAAGGGCAUUACAUUAUAACAAUAUGCUCCUACUUGGUGAUAAAUGAAGUCGUUUCUCGGUCCUCCGGGUUCAUUUGGAUUUGAUUAUACCCGGAAUAGGCAUCGAGAAAAGUAAGGAUCUCGUGGCCGGCCGUGGCAUCGAUCAUGCGAUCGAUGUUAGGCAACGGAAAAGAAUCUUUGUGGCAUGCCUUGUUUAAAUCCUUAUAAUCUAUACACAUUCUAAGUUUGUUCCCUUUUUAGGGACUACAACUACAUUGGCUAAUCAUUCAAGAUAUUUCACCUCCCGAAUGGACCCUAUUUUGAGAAGUCUAGUUACCUCGUCCUUUAUGAAUGCGUGCUUUACCUCGGACUGGUGUCUUCUCUUUUGCUUCACUGGUUUCAACCUAGGGUCUAGGCUUAACCGAUGCGUCGUUAUCUCCGGUGGGAUCCCUGUCAUGUCUAAAUGGAACCAAGAAAAACAAUCUAUGUUAUCAAUAAUAAAUUGAAUAAGCUUUUUCCUGAGUUCGGGGGUUAAUCCCGUUCCCAGGUAUACCUUUCAUUCGGGCAGAUAUUCAAUUUGUAUGACUUGCUCCAGUUCUUCGACCGUUGAUUGGGUAGCGUCGGAAUCAUCGGGGACCACAAAAGAUCAAGGGAUCCCUUGCUCAUCAUCUUCGUCAAUCUUCUGAUUUUCUAGUUGGGUCGAAGCUGACGUCUGUGAUUGCUAUUUGGCAUCAUGUUCCCCCUUCGAGUCCGACCCCUUUGUUGAUGAAGGCGAGGAUAUCAGAAUUGCUUCUUUGAUGACAAAUAUUUCUCUUGCGGCCGGUUGUUCUCCGUACACUAUUUUAAUUCCCUUCGAUGUUGGAAAUUUCAGAACCUGGUGGAGGGUCGAAGGUACAACUCUCAUAUUAUGGAUCCAUGGCCUUCCAAAAAGGGCGAUGUACCUCAUAUUGCCUUCGAUUAUAUGGAAAUUCAUUUCUUGGAUGGUCCCGGCCACGUUUAUCGGUAGAAUUAUCUCGCCUUUGAUAGCUGCACAUGCCAUAUUGAAUCCUUUUAGAACCAGGUUUGCGGGUACGACCUGGGCCUGUAGACUGAGCUGUUCUACGACCUUCGAUCUAAUAAUUUUGGCCGAGCUACCAGGAUCAAUUAACACACGCUUAACUUUAGUUUUAUUCAUAAGUACGGAUAUUACCAGUGCAUCGUUGUGAGGUUGCAUGACUCCUUCUGCAUCUUCAUCAUUAAAGGACAGGGUUCCUAUGGGUGCGUAAUCCUGAGUUCGAGGUCGCUUCUCUCUCAUAACUGAUGUUUUAGUACGUUUAAGCACAUGCCCUUGAGGGGUAUCGGCACCACCGAUGAUCAUGUGGAUGAUGUGCUGUGGUUCUUCCUAUUCGUUUUGCCUACCGAAAUCCCUGUUUUUGAAAUGGUUUUUGGCCCUGUCGCUUAAAAAUUCUCGAAGGUGCCCUUUAUGGAAUAACCGGGCUACCUCCUCUCUUAAUUGCCUACAAUCUUCCGUUCUGUGGCCAUGGGUGCCAUGAUAUUCGCACAUUUGAUUAGGAUUUCUCUGGGCAGGAUCUGACUACAUAGGUCGAGGCCAUUUAGUAUCUUUGAUGCGCCCGAUAGCCGACACGAUAACGGAUGCAUUGAUGCUGAAGUUAUACUCCAAUAACCGUGGUGCUUUCUUAGGUCUAGUAUGCCUGUCGAACCCAUUUCUGUUCAUCAUCCCCCGAGACCCUUGACAUCGAUCACUUCUUUUAUUGCCUUUUAUGGGGUUACGUCUCGAUUCAUUCCCCCUAUGGUCUCUAUUAUACGGCCGGCAUCGGUCCCUAAUCGGCCCUUAUUCUCGAUUGAUGUCCCUUCUAACAUCAGUUCCAGAACCCAACUAAUCGUCUUCGACUCUAGUUUUUGAUUGAUACCGAUUGUGCACGUCGGCCCAAGUAAUAGCUGGGUACUUGAUCGGGUUAUGCUUCAACCACCGUGAAGCCAUCGAACUUCGUUCGUUCAGACCUUGAGUGAAAGCUUGAACAGCCCAAUCGUCUGUGACUGGUGGUAGAUCCAUUCGUUCCAUUUGGAAACGAGAUACGAACUCCCUUAGAAUCUCGUUAUCUUUUUGUCUUACCUUGAACAGGUUCGACUUCCUGGUCUCAACCUUUAUGGCCCCAGCGUGUGCUUUUACGAAAGAAUCUGCAAGCAUAGCAAAAAAAUCGAUAUAAUUAGAUGGUAAAUUAUGAUACCAUAUCAUUGCUCCAUUUGACAGAGUUUCACCGAAUUUCUUCAAUAAUACAGUUUCGAUUUCAUCAUCCUCUAGAUCGUUCCCUUUAAUGGCACAUGUGUAAGAGGUGACAUGUUCGUUGGGGUCGGUCAUUCCUUUAUAUUUAGGAAUCUCGGGCAUGCGGAACUUCUUUGGGAUCGGUUUAGGAGCCGCACUUGGGGGGAAAGGCUUUUGUACGAAUUUUUUGGAAUCUAAGACCUUCAAUAUCGGUAGUGCCCCCGGGAUCUAAUCAACCCUGGACUUAUAUGUUUCUACCUUUUUGUCAUUUGCCUCGAUCCUCCUUUCUCCUGAUUCUAUUCGUUUGGUCAGUUCUUCGAAUAUCUUAUCAAUUUCGGGAUUAGUCCCCGACUCUUGCUCAUUUGACCUUACUAUAGCUGGUUCCAUUCUGUGGGUGACUUAUCGGGGUGGACUGGGCUCCGGCCUACUCGGUAUCUGGGUUUUACUCUGCAACUGAGCUAUUGCUACCGUUGAGCUUGCAACAUUUCAAAAAUUAUACGCAAACUGAUUCUGUUUUCCUUAAUGUUAUGGGUAUCCCGAGCUGCAAAUCUAGUACCACUAUGAAUGCUAUUUUCAGGUUCAGAACGUUGGUUUGCCUCAAUGGCCACAUGUGAAUUAACGUCUAAUGGCACUUCGACUCGAGCUCCAACGGCGUCGACAAGUGCCCUUUCGGCCCUGGGCGUCAAGUUGUUGUUCUGACCUUGAAGGUCAGCUUCGUUGUCAAUAGGUAAGACCAUUUAAUUGAGAGCUGAUCGUUGCUAAUCCGAAAUCAAAGACACUUCCGAAAACAAGCGUAAAAUGGUGUGUUUUGCAGAUUCGUAUCAAAUAACCAUUAUUAUCCUUAGCCCCGCGGUGGGCGCCAAACUGUUCACCCAAAAAACUGAUAGAGUUAAAUUUGUACGUAGUUCUAAGGGUACGUGGUAUAACUUGACACAAAUCGUAUAAGUAGAAAUAUCGAAUAUUGACCGUAAAGAAUGAAAUACAAACAAAGUUUAAUGGAGGAUGAUUUAUGGAUAAGCAAGAUGAAUCAAUGUAUAAAGCUUCAAAAGGAUAAUCUCUCAAUAUAGAGCAUAUGCACAGUAUCUGAGUUAUGGUGUCUUAAUGUCUCAAUAGUUGGAUGCCCCUUUACAGAAAUAGUAGACAUCCUUUUUAUAGUGGAAGGGUCUUACUUUAGAUAUAAUAAAAAAUACAUAGUGGGAAUCCCAUGAUAGACUAGUUUUUCCCUAAUUUCCGUCGAGAUUCUCUCUCUUAGUGCGGUUUUAACGGCUCUUGUCUCUUGGCUCGAUCUUGAUCGGACUCGGUAUUAGUCGGUUUCCAGGUUUAGAGCUCGAUGCGGGCUCGAGAUCAAUGCUAACUCGGGGCCCGUAUUGAUUCGGGCUCGGUGUUGGUUGGUCUCUGGCUCUGAAGCUUGAUACCAUCGCUUCUCAUCAUAGUUCGAUUUGGACUCGAGUUCGAUAAUGACUUCGAGCUCGGUAUUUGAUCUGACACCGAAACUUGAAGCUCAUUUGUGCCUUCUUCAAAUCUCAUCUCGAUAUUAUGAAGACGCUCUUCGGUCCAUCUUCACCAAUCGUACGAAGGUCGAAACCGGUUUUGACCGUAUAUAAGCUCUUCCAGAACUUCUUUUUUGGUUUCCCCGACGUUCUGUAUUCGCAUUGGAGCUCGUCUAUAUUCGAAUUCGCGCCAUAUAAGGCUCCAUUCGGGAGGAAUCGCUCCCUACCAAGAAUUUUUCUAUACCCAUGGCUCGAACCCGAAACCUCUGGUUAAGGAAAGAUCAGCCUCGUCCGCUAUAAUAUAUAUAUAUAUCCAAAAAAAAACCAGAUGCAACUGUGUAGCAAGUAUUUUUCUUUCUUUCUUUCUUUUUUUUGUUGAGAACCCUUUCAUUUGGUUGUAGUUUACUUGGAAGCACUGAGAGAGUGUGAGAACUGAGAAACAAAGACAGCGUGUUAACAUCCUCAAGAAGAAUUGCAUCGUAAGUAUGUAUUUUCAAGAGUUGACUAAUCGAAAUUAUAAAAAGGAAAAAAAAUUAGUGGUAUGAAUUUAUGAUGCAUGUCUAAGUUAGAAUUGUUUUUGGCUGCUAACAUGCGAUUAAAGCUACAUAACCUCAAUGAUUAUACAAAAAUCUUGAAAAUUCCAAUUUCACGUGAACAUAUCCUAUAUUAAAGGCUUCAUUAAAUUAAAAAAAUUACUGGUUCGAUAGUGAAAAAACGAAUUCACCAUAUAUUCUAAAAUAUAUUGUUAAGCUAGUUUUCAACGUACAUAUAUUACUAUAACCAGAAGAAAAAGAAGAAAGAAAGAACAGAAUUAAAUACUUGAUCAGUCUAAUCAUGUGCUAAAUUUUUAAAAGAAAUAUGAUGUGAAUCUUAAGGAGUUCUUUAUUAUUAAAGGCACAUUCUGCGAUCAAGUUGUUGCAACUUAAAUGAUAGUAUUUGAUUUUCAAAUGUCUCUUUAUCAUUAUGACUACGGAUGUGUUUGGUAGGAAGGAAAAUAUUUUAAUUUUUUUUUAAUUUUGAUUGGCUUAAAUAUUUUAAAAAAUAUUUUCUUUUUCAACUAUUUUUUCUUCAAUUGGAUGAUAAUUACUUCCCUACCAAAAGCAAGAAAAAUAUUUUUCAAAACUUAUUGUCAAACUUCCCCACCUUAUUUUUUACCCCACCCUCCACCGCCCCACUCACCCCCAAACCACCUUGCCACCCCUCCCACCUCUCACCCCUACACCCCACCCUCACCCCUAAUCUCAUUGUCAUCACCCCAACCCCUAGAUCCCAACCUAUCAUGUUUCGCCGCCCUUACCUCGCGCGUAAAUUCCAUCUUCUACUAUUUAAUGGAAGAAAAAUAUGAUUUCAAAAUAUUUAAAACGAGAACCGAAUUGAGUAUUUAUUGUUGGCGCUAUCACGACCUUUAAUAGAUUUUGGGUCGUAACAACAUGGUAUUAGAGCACUAGGUUCACUUAGGUCUCACGAGUCAUGAGCGAGUUUAGUAGAGUCUUGCGGAUCGGCACAGAGACGUCUCUGCUUUAUCUUCGAGAGGCUACAGGACUGUUAGAAGCACUUCCCUUCUUGAUUCCUCAUCGUGCUAUUUAAUCCCUUUGAGGCUUAUGCCUUUAUUUUCUUCCUACUCAUUCUUGUACGGUGUUGAGCUCUCGUGUCAAUUGGGCACCGAGGAGUUACAGUGGUACUACAGACGUGGGCAGGAUAUUUCUCCCUACGUAUUUGAUUGGGCUAUUGUUGUCGCCUUGCGGAAGGUCGUUCUGUCAUUUCAGCUCAGUAUCAGUAUUGCCUAUGAUGCAAUAGUAGGAUGCUUGUCUAGGCGUCGAGGCAGUGAAUGACUUGAAAGGAGGAUUUCUCAGCGCAUGAUGUAGAGGUUCAACGUUUAAUCCCAGCAAAGGAAAGGUAAUCGUACUAUGAUUGUUUAGGUUUGGGGUUGCUGGAGUAAUGAGGCUUGGUAUUUUCGAGCGCGGUAGAGUUCUCAAUUGUGAUGUGGUGUCAUCGUCCUUAUUGAACGCAUUAAGGUUCGCCGAUGUUGUGGCCUUCUUCAAUUUGCCUUCGGGGCAGGGUGUUGUGAAAUAGUGCCUGAGAUGUGGUUGUCAGAGAUAACAGAGUGUAGCGAUUUCGAAAUUGAAUUGGUACUUCUAGUAUUGAUGGCUUGAGAAAGAUGAUCUUCUAAGAGGUAUAGAGUUGGUGGCAACUCAUGUGAUCGGAUGUUACAGAAAUGGAUUCGGGUUUGGAGCAACAAUUGGGCAGCGAAGGAUGAGAAAGGACGUGUGGGAGGAGUUUUGCGAUGGUUGAAUUGUUAGGAGGUCAAGUGUGAAAAGUAGAAGUCAAGGAGUCGCUUAAAGGAAAGGGUUUGACCAAAGUGGGAGAGUGAUAGAGUAGCAUAUGGGUUCUGUGGUAGGAUAGACACACGCCUUGAGGGAAGCUUAGAGCAAUUUGGAAAUUGUGAUUGGCAAUGACUAAGACCAUGGAUUUUAUUUGGAUGCAACAUGACUUCGAGUUUGGAAUGCGUUGUUCGACUUUUAACUAAUGUCAAUGGGGNNNNNNNNNNNNNNNNNNNNNNNNNCGGUUUCUGGUUAUCGGUAUAUUGGUGGGUUAUUAUGACUAGGAAAAAAACAAUCAGUGGUAAUCUGAGCAAAGGAUUUGAGAAAUGUGUGUUAUCCUUGGCCAUAUCGGUUCAUGUUCGGGUUUUGGGAAGACUCGGAGUCUAUGCUCCGUGUGGGUGUGAUGUUUAAGGAGAAGAAUUCAGCUGGUUGCUUCUUUGAGAGGGUGUUCAUGUGCUAGCAGGGCCUUGGAGUUUGAUUAUAUUCGGGUAUAAGUCAGAGUGGGUGACUCUCAACAAUGGUCCUAGCAAGUUCAAAAAUUAAAGUGCAGUGCCUAAGGAUUUCGAGUCUGUAGUAUGGUUUAAGUAUCGAGCUUUGGCAGUGGAUUAUGAAAAAGGGGCUUGGAGUGUUCUAUGUUAUCUACAGUCAGCGGUGCGGCAUCGGAGGAAUGGGAGAAAAUAACUUCGGAUUCAUGGACGAAUUAUCAGGAUGGGUGUACUCGUUGAAGAUGCGAAUAUGCGCACAAGGAAAGUAUGUGAUGGUUCAGGGGUUUUGGAGACAAUGUGGUCUUGUGAAAUAAGGUCACUCAGGAUGAGUACGGAAUUGGGUUCAUGAUGUUUUGAAUAGAGCUAUUAUUAUUUCUAGGGCGAGUCCCGAGUAAAUUAGUGGAAGUCAGUUCGGUUAGCAAUGGUUGAACUGGCAUGAUGGUGGCAAUGAUCAGUUCCUUUAGCGUGUUGAGUUAUACAUGUGAUUUGUGGCGGUAUGUGCGAGGCUUAACGGCCGCCGUAAUUGAUUUUAUUUGGGGGCAUUCGAGUAUUAUGGCAUGUUAUGUGUAGAUGGAACCCGAAAGAAUUAUGGUGGUUUAGACCAUUACGCAAGGUUUGUAUUUUUGUGCGAUUUGAGAAUUUAGUAGCGGGUUGCAUUAGUUCUUCUGGAAUGAGCUAAGUAAAAGGCUUCUAUAUGAUGAAGUAUCUAUUCUAUUAGUAGAUCAGGGGUUAUUAUGGAAUUCUGGUACUCUCACGUAUUGGCAUGUUAGGUGCAGUGAGCGGCCUUGGGAGAUUGGAAGCUGAGGAUCAAGGUUGGGGUUCGGUGUUGACAAGAAUUUCAAGAGCUCAGAUGAGCAGGGAAGAAUUCAGAUGUUUAGAGUAAGCUGGUAUUGUCUUUAGCGUCACCUGAGAUCGGUGUCAUGUGGAAGAGGCCCUGUGUGUUGACUUGCAAAUUUUUGACUCACUCUACAGAAUUAGAAUGGUUGGUGGAAUGGAUGUGCGGACCUUGAUACCCGAGCGAAAUGGUCGUGGGAGCAUGCCCCACGGGGAGAUUUGUAUAAGUGUGACAUGUCAUUCACUUGAUUGUUAAAGAUUGAGAUCGAGUAUGGAGGUCAUGGUAAUAUCGCAAGUGCGAGAGUUUAUGCCUGAGAGGCGUUCUAUUCCUUGGGAUGUGGACCAUGUGAGUUUGUUUCGAAUUUGACGGAUGUUCUUAUGUAUCGUGAAUAGGUCAUUGUGGGUUCGUGAGAGGCUAUUUAGCCAAGCAUGGUAUGAUCAGAAUCGGUUUGAGGUCCAUGGAUGGAUCUAAAUGUGAAUGUGGUCUCUAUAUCAGGCCGGAUGUGUUCAUCUCAGUAUACCGUUGUUUUCGGAGGGGUCUUCAGGCCUUGGAUGUUAUUUCUGUUGUCGGCCCCUUCCGUGUAGUCUCUAUUGUGACAUGUGGGUUAUGAGGCGGUUUAAUUAUUAGCACUCGUAUUGAGAUCCCGUAUAGUUUGUGGUAUUAUGUGGCAGGGUGGCUCUCGAGAUGCAGAUCAUAUAUCGCACCUUAGUUGUGCUUGAGUUUUAUAGCGUAUGACGCUAUACGUCUCCCCAAGAUUUGUAUUAUGCACUUGGCGUGCUUAUGGUUGAUAUUCGGGCAUUUCGUGAGUAUGAGCGUUACGGCUCGAUGUGCAUUUUCUUUAGCUUAUUAUGUGUGGAUCGGGUGGCACGUCGCCACGGAUAUGUUGUUUGGAUCGGGUGGCACGCCGCCACAGGUAUCAUGGUUGGAUCGGGUUGCACGCCGCAACAAUGUGAUGUUGAGCACAAUUUCCCAUAUCUAUUAUUGUGUGUUUUUCUUCUCAUUCUCUGGGGAAGGUUCAUAACACCUUUUCGGUCGUUUAAUUAGUUACGUGAGUUGAGUAGUUCGUUCCAGGGUUCGUUUUCCUUAUAUAUAGCAUUCGAGUUUGUAGCUUGCUAGCACAUUGUGGCAUCAUAUGAGACUUUUGGAAGUGUCUGAGGUGGCUUAUUGCCUGAGCAGCUUGUACUGGGUGAGACGGGAUUAUUGGACCUGGGAUCAGUACGAUCAGAUUUAUAUGAAGCAUAUUAAAGAGUAAAUAUUGGUAUUCAGUCCAGAAUGAGGUAAUGGUUCUUGUCGGGAGGGGAGACUCCAUAAAUUGUGAUUCGAUAGGUGGUUAUGAGUUCUACACAUCUUCUCUGUCGUGGCAGUAUUGCGAGAGUUCAAGCAAGGCUUAAUUGGUCAUGAGGUACACUACGGGCUUCAGCUAGUGGAAAUUUUAGUUGUUGUGCUUUGGAAAGAUUGUCUUGGGCAAAUGAGUUACGUGGUGCAUGGUAAGAAUUCAGUGAGAGUAUACAAUCAUGUAUUGGUACAUCGUGUAGUGAUUGAAACGGUGUUCGUAUGUUGGAAGCAGGCCUACUGGAGAAUUUCGGACAUUGGAAUUUGGCUCUAAGGCUUAUUUGCCUAAAUAAAGGAGAGGAUCUUCAGAUUUGCUCGAUCUAAUGUACUCAACUGGGUUGUGGUAGCACGGGUAGGUGCACGAGGUAUUAAACAAUGAUUUCAAACAACUCCAGAACAGUUCUUAGCACGUUCGAGGACGAAUGUAUAUUUAAGUGGGAGAGAAUGUAACGACCCGACCGGUCAUUUUGAGCCAUAGCGUGUCGUUCAGUGGUUUGAGGCCCUGAGCAGCUUCGCUUCAGGUAUUAUGACUUGUACGCGUGGUCGAAAUUUAAUUUCGGGUUCGGAGUUGAUUUGGAAAGAAAAUUCUAAUUUCGGAAGCCUUAAGUUGGAGGAAUUGACUAAAGUGUGAUUUUUGAGUAAACGACCUCAGAAUUGGGAUUUGAAGGUUCCAACAGGUUCGUAUGAUGAUUUUGGACUUGGGCGUAUGUCCGGAUCGAGUUUUGGAUGACCCGGGAGCGUUUCGACGCCUAUUAUGGAAGUUGGCAUUUUGGAAGAAAUUUAUAAUUUUGGGUUGAAGCGAAAUUCAAUGUUAUCGAUAUCCGUUUGGGAUUCCGGGCCUGGGAAUAGCUCCGUAUGGUGAUUUUGGCAUUGGGAGCGCGUCCGGAUGUAGAUUUGGAGGUCUGUAGGUCAUUUUUGGGGUUAUUUGGCGAAAGUUAGAAAUUUGAAGGUUUUUGGAGAGUUUGACCAGGGGUGGACUUUUUGAUAUCAGGAUCGGAUUCCGANNNNNNNNNNNNNNNNNNNNNNNNNNNNNNNNNNNNNNNNNNNNNNNNNNNNNNNNNNNNNNNNNNNNNNNNNNNNNNNNNNNNNNNNNNNNNNNNNNNNNNNNNNNNNNNNNNNNNNNNNNNNNNNNNNNNNNNNNNNNNNNNNNNNNNNNNNNNNNNNNNNNNNNNNNNNNNNNNNNNNNNNNNNNNNNNNNNNNNNNNNNNNNNNNNNAUUUUGAUUGGGUUGCAUCUUAUUUGACUAGUUUUGGAGCGACGGGCAUCGGUUUGAGGUGUUAGAGAGGCUUUGGAGCCGGUUAUGGAAUUUCGGAGCGAGGUAAAUCUCAUGUCUAACUCUGUGAGGGGGAAAUUACCCCUAGGUGUUGUAUAUUGAUGUGUGCUACUUGUUGUAGGGGCUACGUACGCGCGAGGUGACGAAAGAUAAUUUCAAAAUAUUUACGCGCGAGGUAAGGGCGUAUGUCCGGAUCGGGUUUUGGAUGACCCGGGAGCAUUUCGACACAUAUUUUGGAAGUUAGCAUUUUGGAAGUAAUUCAUAACUUUGGGUUGAAGUGCAUUUCAAUGUUAUCGAUCUCCAUUUGGGAUUCCGAGCCUGGGAAUAGCUCCGUAUGGUGAUUCUGGUAUUAGGAGCGCGUCCGGAUGUGGAUUUGGAGGUCCGUAGGUCAUUUUGGGGUCAUUUGGCGAAAUUUAAAAUUUUGAAGGUUUUUGGAGAGUUUGACCGGGGUGGACUUUUUGUUAUCGGGGUCGGAUUCUAAUUCCGGAAGUUGGAGUAGGUCUGUAAUGUCAAUUAUAACUUGUGUGCAAAAUUUGAGGUCAAUCGGACGUGAUUUGAUAAGUUUCGGCAUCGAUUGUAGAAGUUUGGAAUUUCAAAGUUCAUUUAAGUUUGAAUUGGAGGGUGAUUCAUAGUUUUGAUGUUGUUUGGCGUGAUUUGAGGCCUCAACUAAGUUCGUGAUGUGUUUUGGGACGUGUUGGUAUAUUUGGUUGAGGUCCUCAGGGCCUCGGGUGGAUUCCGGAUGGUAAGCGGAUCAAGUUUGGGCUUAGAAGAAUGCUGGAGUUGCUGUCAUCUGGUGUAAUCGCACCUGCGAGGUUUUGGCCACAGGUGCGGAGCCACAAAAGUGGCCAGGAGGUUGCAGAAGCGAAAAAGGAGUGAGGGACUGCGUCUGUAGGUGCGGACGAUUUGUCGCAGAAGCGGAUGCGCACCUGCGGAGAGUUUAGCGUAGAAGAGGAGGUUGGACAAAAGGCCUGGGGCCGCAGAAGCGGGCACAAACGUGCAGGUGCGCGAGUGCAGAUGCGCAUGAGAAUCGUAGAAGCGGAAGCGCAGGUGCGAGGUUUUGGCCGCACCUGCGAGACCGCAGAUGCGAUGAAGCGGUCGCAGGUGUGGGAGUCGCUGGGCAGAAGGGUUCCUUAAGAAAAGGGUUUUGGCCCAUUUUCUUCCAUUCUCUCUUGGUUGGGCGAUUUUUGGAGAGCUUCAAGUGGGUGGGGGGGUUCAUCAUCUAUGCCAAGGUAAGUUAUUCCCAUCCAUUUCAAGAUAAAUACAUGGUUUUUAUAUGGAUUCAAGCAUGAAAAUUUGUAGAAAUUUGGGAUUUUGAAGAAAAUUAUAGAAAUUGGUAUUUUUGGAUUUUGACCACGAAUUUGGGCAUGGAAUUGGAAAUAAAUUAUAUAUUUGAGUUCGUGAGGUUAUCGAUUUUUCGAGCGGAGUUGGAAAUUCUUAUAAAUUGAUUAAUCAUGAGUAUUAGAGUAUAUUUUGAUUGGGUUGCAUCUUAUUUGACUAGUUUUGGAGCGAAGAGCAUCGGUUUGAGGUGUUAGAGAGGCUUUGGAGCCGGUUAUGGAAUUUCGGAGCGAGGUAAGUCUCAUGUCUAACUCUGUGAGGGGAAAAUUACCCCUAAGUGUUGUAUAUUGAUAUGUGCUACUUAUUAUGGGGUCUACGUACACGCGAUCUGAUGAAAGAUGAUUUCAAAAUAUUUAUGCGCGAGGUAAGGGCGUAUGUCCGGAUCGGGUUUUGGAUGACCCGAGAGUGUUUCGACACCUAUUAUGGAAGUUAACAUUUUGGAAGAAAUUCAUAAAUUUGGGUUGAAGGAAUUACAAUGUUAUCGAUGUCCAUUUGGGAUUGCGAGCCUGGGAAUAGCUCUGUAUUGUGAUUCUGGUAUUAUUGGGAGCGCGUCCAGAUAUGGAUUUGAAAGUCCGUAGGUCAUUUUGGGGUCAUUUGGCGAAAGUUAGAAAGUUGAAGGAUUUUGGAGAGUUUGACCAGGGUGGAUUUUUUUAUAUCGGGAUCGGAUUCUGAUUUCGGAAGUUGGAGUAGGUCCGUAAUGCCAAUUAUGACUUGUGUGCAAAUUUUGAGAUCAAUCCGACGUGAUUUGAUAGGUUUCGGCAUCGAUUGUAGAAGUUUGGAAUUUUAAAGUUCAUUAAGUUUCGAUGUUAUUUGGCGUGAUUUGAGGCCUCGACUAAGUUCGUGAUUUAUUUUGGGACGUGUUGGUAUAUUUGGUUGAGGCCCUGAGGGCCUCGGGUAGAUUCCGGAUGGUAAAAGGAUCGAGUUUUGGCUUGGAGGAAUGUUGGUGUAAUCGCACAUGCGAGAUUUGGUCGCAGGUGCGGAGCCGCAAAAGCGGCCAGGAGGUCGCAGAAGUGAAAAGGGAGUGGGGGACUGUGUCUGCAGGUGCGGACAAUUUGCCGUAGAAGAGGAUGCGCACCUGCGAGGAGUUUAGCGCAGAAGCGGAGGUUGGCCAAAAGGCCUGGGGCCGCAGAAGCGGGCACAAACGCGUAGGUGCGCGAGCGCAAAUGCACAUGAGGAUCGUACAAGCGGAAGCGCGGGUGCGCUGCAUGGGGCGCAGAUGCGGAGCUGUGUUGGGCAAAAGGGAAUGCGCAAGUGCGUGGUUUUGGCAGCACCUGCGAGACCGCAGAUGCGAUGAAACGGCCGCAGGUGCGAGAGUCGUUGGGCAGAAAGGUUCCUUAAGAACGAGGUUUUGGCCCAUUUUCUUCCAUUCUCUCUCGGUUGGGCAAUUUUUGGAGAGUUUCAAAUGGGGGGGGGGAGGGGGGCUCAUCAUCUAUGCCAAGGUAAGUUAUUCUCAUCCAUUGCAAGAUAAAUACAUGGUUUUUAUAUGGAUUCAUGCAUGAAAAUUUGUAGAAAUUUGGGAUUUUGAAGAAAAUUAUAGAAAUUGGUAUUUUUGGAUUUUGACCACGAAUUUGGGCAUGGAAUUGGAAAUAAAUUAUAUAUUUGAGUUCGUGAGGUUAUGUGUAAUGGUUAUAUUUGAAAAUUCUCGAAAUCCGGGCACGUGGACCCGAGGGUAGCUUUAUUAAUUUUUCGAGCGGAGUUGGAAAUUAUUAUAAAUUGAUUAAUUAUGAGUAUUAGAGUAUAUUUUGAUUGGGUUGCAUCUUAUUUGACUAGUUUUAGAGCGACGAGCAUCGGUUUGAGGUGUUAGAGAGGCUUUAGAGUCGGUUAUGGAAUUUCGGAGCGAUGUAAGUCUCUUGUCUAACUUUGUAAAGGGGAAAAUUAGCCCUAUGUGUUGUAUAUUGAUGUGUGCUACUUGUUAUGGGAGCUACGUACGCGCGAGCUAAUGGAAGAUGAUUUCAAAAUAUUUACGCGCGAGGUAAGGGCGUAUGUCCGGAUCGGGUUUGGGAUGACCCGGGAGCAUUUCGACACCUAUUAUGGAAGUUAACAUUUUGGAAGAAAUUCAUAAAUUUAGGUUGAAGGCAUUACAAUGUUAUCGAUGUCCAUUUGGGAUUCUGAGCCUGGAAAUAGCUCUGUAUGGUGAUUCUGGUAUUGGGAGCGCGUUCGGAUAUGGAUUUGGAAGUCUGUAGGUCAUUUUGGGGUCAUUUGACGAAAGUUAGAAAGUUGAAGGUUUUUGGAGAGUUUGACCAGGGUGAACUUUUUGAUAUCGGGGUCGGAUUCUGAUUCCGGAAGUUGGAGUAGUUCCGUAAUGCCAAUUAUGACGUGUGUGCAAAUUUUGAGGUCAAUCGAACGUGAUUUGAUAGAUUUCGGCUCGAUUGUAGAAGUUUAGAAUUUCAAAGUUCAUUAAGUUUGAAUUGUAGGGUGAUUCGUAGUUUCGAUGUUGUUUGGCGUGAUUUGAGGCCUCGACUAAGUUCGUGAUUUGUUUUGGGACGUGUUGGUAUAUUUGGUUGAGGUCUUGAGGGCCUCGGGUGGAUUCCGGAUAGUAAACGGAUCGAGUUUUGGCUUGGAGGAAUGCUGGAGUUGGUGUCUGGUGUAACCGCACAUGCGAGGUUUGGCAGCAGGUGCGGAGCCGCAAAAACGGCCAGGAGGUCGCAGAAGCGAAAAGGGAGUGGGGGACUGUGUCUGCAGGUGCGGACGAUUUGCCGCAGAAGAGGAUGCGCACCUGCGAGUAGUUUAGCGCAGAAGCGGAGGUUGGCCAAAAGGCCUAGGGCCGCAGAAGCGGGCACAAACGCAUAGGUGCGCAAGCGCAAAUGCACAUGAGGAUCGUAGAAGCGGAAGCGCAGGUGCGCUGCAUGGGGCGGAGAUGUGCUGGGAAAAAGGAAAUGCGCAGGUGCGAGGUUUUGGCCGCACCUGCGAGACCGCAGAUGCGAUGAAGCGGUCGCAGGUGCGGGAGUCGCUGGGCAGAAGUGUUCCUUAAGAACGGGGUUUUGGCCCAUUUUCUUCCAUUCUCUCUUGGUUGGGAGAUUUUUGGAGAGCUUCAAAUGGGGGGCGAUUUUUAUAUGGAUUCAUGCAUGAAAAUUUGUAGAAAUUUGGGAUUUUGAAGAAAAUCAUAGAAAUUGGUAUUUUUGGAUUUUGACCACGAAUUUGGGCAUGGAAUUGGAAAUAAAUUAUAUAUUUGAGUUCGUGAGGUUAUGAGUAAUGGUUAUCUUCAAAAAUUCUCGAAAUUCGGGCACGUGGGCCCGAGGGUAGCUUUAUCGAUUAUUCGAGCGGAGUUGAAAAUUGUUAUAAAUUGAUUAAUUAUGAGUAUUAGAGUAUAUUUUGAUUGGGUUGUAUCUUAUUUGACUAGUUUUGGAGAGACAUGCAUCGGUUUGACGUGUUAGAGAGGCUUUGGAGCCGGUGUGCUACUUGUGUUGGGGGCUACGUACGCGCGAGGUGACGAGAGCCCGUACAUAGCUACAUUCAUGUUAUUAUCCGAGUAGGCUUAGGUUCACAUCAUGCUAUAGCUGUACUAUUUGAGCAGUCUCUCGCCUAUUAAAUUCCUCUGUUUUACAUUAUUACUUGAGACUAGACUUGCUAUUGUAGAGAUUUCACGAGUUCGUGAUUAGUCACCGAAUAAUUUUUCUCCUCUUACGGCAUAUUUUCGGGAUAUAUAUAUGUUCAUUGAAAGGUUUUUAUUUAAGAAAUUUCAACUCAUACGUUUAUUCGUGAGUGGGUUCAAGGACCCGUUAAAGCCUCUAAUUCUAUUGGGAUCGGGUCGUUCGCCUCGGCAGGAAUAUAUAUUUCACUCUUAUGGGAUCGGGCUGUUCGCCUCGGCAGGAAUUUACGUACCACACUCUCAUGGGAGCGGGUAGUUCGCCUCGGCAGUUUAAUAGAUGUAUUUAUGGUCCGGGCCGUUCAACCCUUGGCAGUGCACAGUUUAAAUAUUUAUGUUGGAUCGGGCCGUACGCCUCGGCAUUUUCUAUAUCAUAUCCUCAUGGAUUCGUGUGUAAUAUUUGACAAGAAACCAGUGUAUCUGUGAGUUUUUUCGAUUUGAGUUAUGACGGUCUAUCUGAUGAGAUCCACUAUAUAUAUAUGAUCCGGUUAAGGAGAGAAUUUCUAAUGGAGAGCUUAAGUUCCUCGUAAAGAUGGGGGAUUUAUACCACGUGAUUUAUUACUUGUUCACCUCAUUUAUUUACUCUGCCUCGUAUUUACUUAUCUCUUUAUUGUACCUGAUGUUAUUGGACCACUAGUGAGUGUCUAAGUCGACCCCUCGUCACUAGGCUAGAUAUUUAUUGGGUACACGUUGAUUACGUACUCAUGCUACACUUGCUGCACAUUUUUGUGCAGGUACAUAUGUGACUAGUGGCCUUGUGAGAGCAGAGGCGUGUAUGCAUGCAGGGACUUACGUGAGCUGCAUUCUACAUUACGACCCGCAACCGGCAGAAUCUCCUUCAGAGUAUUUAUAUUUCUCCUGUCCAAAUUUGUAUUCCGGACAGAUGCUGCAUUUUAUUUUACAUUCUUAGUUGAUACUCAUGCACUUGUGACACCGAAUUUUGGGGUGAUUAUGAGUUGUUUUGUAUUGAAGUUGUUAAAAAAUAUUAUCACUUACUCUGUAAAUUUCAUCUUCUACUAUUUAAUGGAAGGAAAAUAUGAUUUCAAAAUAUUUAAAACGAGAACUGAAUUGAGUAUUUAUUGUUGAUUUGCCUGACAGCGGUGUCCGGUGCCAUCACGACCCUUAAUAGAUUUUGGAUCGUGACAUAGAUCCCAACCUACCAUCUUUCGCCGCCCCUUAUCGAUUUGNNNNNNNNNNNNNNNNNNNNNNNNNUCCUGCCAAACACACACUAAGUCAAAUUAUAACUAUUGUGAUACAUACUUAAUUAUGUGCACCGACAGAUGGGAGGGCACUAAAGAAGUUUGUGGUGGGAAAUUGUUAUAGAAGUCCACAAAUGCAAUCCAUUUGUCAAUGAAAGUCAAUCUGCCCACCCCCAUUACCUCUCUUUGUUGAAUCAACAUUAAUAAUGUAAUGAAAAUCCAUCUGUGUCUAGGCUUCAUGUUUGAGGUCAGCUACGUCUUACUUUCUCUGUGAAAAAAAAUUACUUAACAUUUUACUCAAGUUGCAAAUCAGCAAACUGCAAGUAUAUACACAUUUAUUAUUUUCUUUAAUGUAAAAUCGUAGAACACGUAUUAUAACCCUAAAUCUUCUUAAGAUUAGAGGAGGUGAGAGAUAUUCAUUUUUGAAGUUUGAUUGUCCUAAAGUUUUGAAUUGUCUAUUAUUUUAUAUAUUGAAAGUAAAGAUUAGGAGUUCGUAGCUGAUAGAAUACACUUGAACAAAAAAACAAAACAAAAAAGAAAGAAAAAAAAACAGAAAGGGUGGGGAUGAUUGGUUCAUAUUUUAUAGUAUAAUGCACUUUAUUAGAUAAUGAUUAAAUGAAAAUCUCAUUUUUCUUCAGAAAAAGAUUGCCUAGGACCAAUAUAAUUUGCAAUUUUUCAUGGUGGUUCUACUAACUAGAAUCUUUUUUAGUGCACAAUGGUAUUACAAAUAUAAUAAAUAUUUUAUAGAAAAAAUCUAUUUCUUAAUACUGUCUUUUGAAGUUUGACUAACCAUUAUCAUUCUCAAUCCCAAAAAGAUUAAUGAAUAUUUUAAGAUAACUAAAAGCGCAGAAACAAGAUUACGAUUCUUUCCUUUGGGCAAAAGCCAAAAGGCAAAUUCUUAAUAGAAAAGAAUGUAGAACAUUAGUUGCAGUGAUCCCUUUAUUUCAGAAAAGAUCCAAAGUUAGAAAAAGUGAAGGGAAAAUCAUCUUCUUCCGUUUUCCCUUUAAUUGUUCUCAAGGGGACCCAAAACAAUUCCUCUCCUUUCUGAAUUACAUUUCUCAGACAAAUUCACGUCAUACCUCCAUUUUAAUCCUCAAGAAUUAAUAGGAAAAGGGACACAAAAAUUGAAGUCUUAGAUAUUUAUUCUUUAAAAAAAAAUUAAAGUAAAACUAGUGGAGGGGUAGGGGUGUCAAUGGUUCGGUUCGGCCGGUUAUUUUAUAAAAUUGGUACCAUAUCAAUUUUUCAGUUAUUCUAUUAUGUAUAACCAAAAUUAGACUUUUCGAAACCGUCUCAAUCAUGUCGGUUUCUCUUUGGUAUCGUUACGGUUCGGUUAAUUUUCGGUAUUUUAUUAAAUAUCAUGUAAAAUUCACCAGUAGAAGUAGAAUGCAAUAACAUACGUUCUUUUAUAGGACUUAGCAAAACUAUCUAGAUAUUUUUUACUGUUUAAAGGGUGAUGAAUUAAAAAAAAUGGCUAGAGUAUAGAUCCAUCAACUAUUCUACAACAACGUAAAAGAAACCAAGCAAAGGCAAAGAAAAUAUAAAUUACACGAGUGGAAAGAUAUUAACCAAGUUGAGACUCAAGAAUAAAGUAUAUAGAAGAUUAAAUAGUCAAAAAGAUAAAUCUAAAUUAUAUGAAAGGAAACAUAUUCAAUACAUUGUAAUUUGCUACUCAUUAACCCUAGAAUACUUUGUGUCUUGCUAAUAAAGAUACUUGAAAUAACUUAGUUUAAGUAGAUGUAGCAUAAUAGGUUUUAGGAAUUAGUAUUUUGAGUUUAAUUACUUGUUGGCUUGUAAUAGCUUGCAUAAUUCCAAGGCCCAAAAAAAAAAAUUAAUGCAUUAUUAUUUUUAAACUUACUAGAUAAAUAUAUUUUUCACAUGUAAAAUUUAUUCGGUACGGUUCGAUAUUUUUUCGGUUUAUUUUUAUAAAAUAAAAAACCUACCCUAAUUAUUGAUGCGGUUAUAGAUUUAUAUAAAAACCUACGGUUUCUUAAAAAGAAACCUAAAAAUCGGUUCGGUGUGGUACGGUUCGGUCGGUUUUCGAAUAUCUAUUGACACCCCUAGAAGGGGAGAAAUGUUCUCUUCUAUUGCUUUUUCUUUUUCUAGAACUAAUAUUGCCGUAGAUUUCAAAUAAAGGACCGACCAUUUGAACCCUGAGAAGAUUCACAUUUUCAAACCUAGCUUGUGAUCAAGGCAUAGUUACGAGUGAAGAUUCAUAUAAUUGCUUCCAUCUCAACAUACUUAUGGUUGAAGCGUAAAUAUUAAUGCAAUAAUUUGAAUCUUGCCGAUAAAACAACAAUAACAAUAACAUAUCCAAUAUAAACUCAUAUUUGUGGUCUGAAGAAGAUAAUAUAUACGCAAAUUUUAUCUCUAUCUUGCGCAAAAAGAGAAGUUAUUUUUGACAAACCCUCGACUCAGAAAAAACAAAAAUCAUGGCAAUUUAAAAAGAAAUAUGAUGGCAUAGAAGACAUGGAAAACGAAGUAUUAAUAACGGCAAGAUAGUCAAAGAGCCAAAGCAUAAAAAAUACUCCUUCCAGUCAAAGAGCCAAAGCAUAAAAAAUAUUCCUUCCGUUUCAAUUUAUGUGAACUUGUUUGAGUGAGCACGAAAUUUAAGAAAAAAUAAAAACUUUUGAAAUUUGUGGUCCUAAACAAUUCAAAAAGAAGCUCAGAGUAUUUGUGUGGUUAUAAAAGCUUCUCAUUAAAGAUAGAAUUGUAAAUUUAAGCAAAAUUAUUUCCAAAUUUACAAAGAGGUCAUUCUUUUUAGAACAAAUCAAAAAGGAAAUAGGUUCACAUAAACUGAAACGGGAUAGUAUCAAAUAAUAAUAAAAAUCUAAAACUAAGGGAAUACGAGAAUAAUUCUUGCUGAGAGGAAAUCCAAUGUUAUUAUACAUCUUCAAACAAUUUCAUUUGUAAAUUCCAAUCUAACGGCUAAUUAUAGUCAUUACUAAAGAAUUAUUUAUUGGUAAAAGAAAAUAUUGAUAGGAGAAACCUAAAGUAAAGAACUUUUGCAGAGGAAAAUAGAAAAAAUGGGAGCAAAAACAGAGAAUUAUCUUAAAUCGUUAACUACAUUGGAUAGUAGAUCCGAUUGAUACAAUGAUCCAUUUCCACAAGUAGUGGAAAAAGCAAUAUGGAUUUUAACACUUCCUUGAUUUUAUCAAAGGCUAAUCCCAACAUGAUUGAAAAAUCACAAUAAUCCUCCAAUCAAUCCCCUCAUAAAUUCACCUAAAACACAUAUAUACUUUGCAUAUAUGUACAAGAAAAAAAAAACACAAAACACCAAAGGGAAAAACCCAAAUACCAUCCUAUCAAGACAUGUUACAUCAUUAAAUUACACCUCAACAAUACCUUUUUGACUACUACUACUAACAAUAGCUUUCCAUUGCUUUCUUUGAAAGCUCUUCUCAAGCUUUGAGUUGGAUACUUUACUUUGGGGUUACUUUGGUUUGAGGGCAUAUUGUUUUUAACAAACCCUUCAAAACCUUAUUCCCACCACGUGUUACUCUCCUACACCCAAUUCUUUAUCUUCACAACAUCAUCAAAGUUUUGCCUUUGAUUUGUCUUCACUCCUUCAUAUCACCUGUGAUAAAAAUAAAAGAUACUCAGUUUUAGAUCACAUCAUAUCACAAACCGCCUCUCUUCCUCCCAAGGAAGGGUAAGUUAAGGUCUACCUACACUAUCCUCUCAGACCCCACUUGUGAGAAUCACAGGGUAUAUUGCUGUUUUAAGUUUUAGAUCACAUCAUAUACCAUUGUUUUAAUCACAAUUCAAUUGACACAUAAGGAAGGGUUGUUAGGCUUUAUAUACCAAACCCAACCUCCUCCUAAUUUUUUGAGUAAUAGAGUACACUUUCUUUAGUCUAAUGAUUAUGACAUUUAGUCCAACUUUUAAAAUCCCAAAAAUUUUAAAAAUGAAACAUAUGUUACUAUGUCCAUAAUAGAGUAUCUUCUUAAAAAUGAAACUCAAUUCAAUUAUUGUUCUUUCUCUUGUCCUUACAUUAAGGAUAAACCGACGAGUACCCUUACAUUUGGCUGUAGUUCAAGAUUUGGUGGCAAAAGAGAUAAUGGUGACAAACAAAGAGCUAAGGUGGCAGCAUUUUCAAGAUUUUGCAUAAUCAAGAGUUUGACUAAUCAAAGUGUGAAAGUGAAAAGAAAAAAUAUAAUAUUUUAAGGAAUCUUUAAAACCAUUCCUUAAAACCUUCACAUGUACCCUUGGCAACGCAACUAAUUUGCGAGCUAUUGCACCGUGAUCAAAUUACCACCGCACACUUACGAGUAGUGCAGACGGGUUUCUGCUUAAAUUUUACAAAAAAAGUACUACUGGCAACUACUAUCUUAAGAAAAAAUGUUCUAAUUUCACGUGAAAAUGCAAGUUUAAGACUUUGUCAAAGGAAAAACCUACCUAGUCAGAUUGAAAUAACGUCACCAUAAGGAAAAAAUGGCAUCUUAAAGAGACUUUCUCACCACCCAAAUAGGCAAGCUCUACAAAAGAAUUGUUAAGCUAACUAUCCCCACAGCACAACUUCUAGAACACUAAAUCUACCAAGUAAAUUCAGUAAAAUUUGAGUAAAUCCAACCCAGCUCAAUUGAAAAUGUAGUAGUAUCAUUUAUUGAAACGGACUAAUUAGAAAAAAAAAUGUCACAUAAAUAAGGGGCAAGUUCACAUAUAGCCAUUCUAGGGUAUGCCAUUUAGAAAUUAGCCAGUACUUAUUUUGUUCUGAAAUUUUAAACUAAAACUCUUUAAGUUCAAGAACAUUUUAGUCCAAAAAAAUUAAAUUGAAAAAAUUAAAAUUCAAGACGUAUUGGCCAAUUUCUAAAUAACAGCUCGUCUCUGGUGUGUGUGUGUGUAUAUAUAUAUAUAAUAAAUAGAAAAGGAGGGAGUAUGUAUCACUUACCAAUGGAGCAAACAAAGAAUCAGUCCUUGAAAAUGACCGGAUCUGCCAAUUCCAUCAAAGGGUUCAAACAAUCAGCUGAAAAUUUCCUCGCAAACAUGUAAGAAUACGUCGAAUUCGACACCCUAAGAUCAUAAAUCAGCUGUGCAGAAACCUCAGGAGGAUAAUAAGUAUGUGGAUGACCAUCAACUGAAUCUGUCCAAUUCACAUUUGUCAAUGUAUACUUAGUACACCCCUUUGGAUCUUCCAUUGAUAACAAAGUAGGAAAAUAAUGUUCCUCAGGAUAACAAGACUCAACAUUAAUACACUUUCUCUUAAAUUUCCUCCAUAAUUUCCUAUCCUUAAUCACCAUUAAAGAAUGUUUCCUUGUUAAUACAAAAAACUGUGACCCAACUUUAAACUCCUCAAAUUUCACCUCAGGUUCCAUUACAUUCUCCCCUCUCGCAUUAUACCUAUCCAAUAACGAAUCAGACUCAUCUAAAAUCUCAAUAUAGCUCGGAAACUCCAUUUUCCUUGACAGUUUUUGUGUAUUAAGUAAAAAUUUGUAGAAAUAACUAAACGAGUGUAAAGGGAUACAAUGUUGUGAAAGAAGAACAAAGUACGUGUUCGACGGAUCAUCAAGAAGCGAGUGAGCGAGUAGCCUUCGUUCUGCAGAUAUAAGUGUAGGAGAACUACGUUGAGUUCUUUUAGCAGGAAUUAACCGAUCUUUAAAAACACCCAAUAAAGGUGAGAUUUUAACAAAAGGGUCAGAAUGUAUGUAAAUGUUAUAUAGAUGUGGAUCUACAGGGUUAAUACUGUCAUUAAAGAAUUUUUCCCAUAAAGGAGCAAACUUUAUGUCCGAAUUUGUUAAAAACAGGAAAGCAAUUUUGGGUGGGCGAACGGUAGUAGAUCCGAGCCGGAGUUUGUGUGAAGGUUGUUUAGGAAAAGUUGUUUCAGCGGCAAUUGCUUUGUGAAAAAGUGAAAGAUCGUCGAGUUCAUCGGGUACUGAGAUUGAGAUUUGACGAGGGGGAAGGAUUCUUGGUGCUAAUAAAAAGAGAAUUGGGACUGAUAUUAGGAGAGUAAGUGAAGGGAUGAGUAUAGAUAAUCUGAACAUAUUUUCAAGAAAAUAGGCUAGUUUUUCAAGAAAAUGUGUGUGUUUUAGACCAAAAUGGACAUUAAUGUAAGAAUCUUGGAUUUUUAGUAAUGUGGUUUGGGGGAAAUUAGGGUUGAGAGUGGAAGAGGGAGAUUUGGGGUAAGGGAAGAAAUGGUGAAAGUGGCUGAAAUAGAGUGGAGGUUUGGUGUAGGGUGGGUGGGGUAACGGAGAAGACGGGGGAGAUUGACGGCGUUAAGAGGUGUAAAUGAGUGGAAACUGACAAAUAGGGACUGUUCAAGGAAAUUGCAGGUGUGUAGGGACUCGUGUAGAUGAUAGAAUGGUGUACCUUUGGGGUACUAUUGGUUUACUUUAUUGCCUUUUUAUUUUUUUUUUAUUACAAGAAAAAAUAAUUUCUCUAUUUUGAUCCGUGAUUGUACGGAGUUCAAAAUGUUUUUGUUUUUCUUUUUCUUUACGAACUCAAUGACUUGAAUUUGCGUCAAAAUUUCACGCUCCUUAUAAAGGAGAAUUUAAUUUUAGAUGGUAACGGUGUAUACAAAUAUUUAGGUGCUGUUUGUUCUGUAGAACGGAAAAAAAUAAUUUUCAUAUAAAAGUUUGUGUUAUUAAUAAAUUGAUUGAUUUUUACAUUUUACUGUAUGACAACAUUAUCAUCAGGGGCGAAUUUACCUUUACACCAAGCGGUGUCACGCAGCACCCGUCGAAAAAUUUUACUAAAUAAAUAUAUAUAAUUAAAAUAUAAAAAUAACAAUUGUAUAAAUAUAGUACAGUGACACUCCUUGGCACAAAAACCUGACGUUCAUUUUCCUACGGAAAAUCAAGGUUCGAGUAUUCCUAGCUUCAUUUCCUUGUUUUCGAAGUUUUUUGCCUGCCUUCUAUAAAACAAAAUAACAAAAUUUAGUAUUAUUUCUAAUCAAGUUAUUUUGAAUACAUUUCAAAAAAUGAAAGCUCGUCAUAAAGAAUUCAAUGAUAUACUUGAGUUGUGUUUUAUUAAUAUGAUUUGAAUUUUGCUACUUUUUAAUAUGAUAUUGUUAUAAUAAUUUAUUUAUUUGUUCACUUCUUAAAAUAGUGACACCACUUAUGAAAAUUUUUGCGUACGCCACUGAUUAUCAUAACAGCCCGCAAGAGUUGGUUGAGUAAAUGAUUUUCUAUAGGGGAGACCUAUGAUCGAUUCCCCUCACUAGCAACCUCUUAAGUUAGAGCUCGCCGCACCAAGCUAGUCUAGUAUGAUUUGCAACUUUACAUCUCCUGUGUUGGUCGCAAGUUAUUGUACUUUUCCCAAAAAAACAUUAGCAUAACAAAUAUGUGAGGAUAUAUGCAUUAUAUUUUAACUCCUAAAUUAGGCCGAAGCCGCAAAACUCCUAAUUAAUACAAGAAUUCUAAAUGAGGCAAAACUCCUAAUGUAUGCAAGAAUUUUGAAACUAAAUAAAACUCUUAAUUUAGAAACCACCCCCCAAAAUAGUAAAGUUUGACCAAAAAAAUUAACUAAAACAGAAGAACUAAAGUAGCAAAAACAACAAAUAGGGCUUGGCUCAUUUUCACCCCAUUUUCUCCAUAAGAGCUGGUCUUGGAGCGAGUUUGGAGCUCCUUCUUCGUCAUCAAUGCCAAGGUAAGUGAUUCCCACUUAUUAUAAGGUUAAUACAUGGUUUGUAUAAGGAUUUAAACAUAGAAUUUAGUAUAAAUUGUGGGAUUUUUGGUAGAAGACCUAAAAUUUGGUUUGACAAAGAUCAAAAUUUUGCCCUAGUUACCGACCACCAAGGGGAAUAAAGAUUUUUAUUAUAAUGUGACCAAACCCACAUGGCUACCUAUGUAUCCCCUCUUAAACGGGAAUCAUGUCAAGCGUAGUUCUUGUACAUCAAGAAGUAAGUGCAAAUACAAUCUCAAACUUAAUAAACAUAAUGGAAUCUCACAUGUGGGUGUAGGGAGGGUAGUGUGUAUGCAGACCUUACCCCUACUCCGGAGGAGUAGAGAGGCUAUUUUCGAUAGACCCUUAGCUCACAACGAUAGUAAAAGAUAGUGGAGCAGUAACAUCAAAUGAAGUCAGAAAGAUAACAUCAACAAUGUGAUAACCAGAAAAUAGAAAGAAAAGUAAUAACAAUAAGCAGUAACAAUGGUACAAUACUAUAAACACAAUGAAAGUAAUAAGGACACAACAAGAGCCACUAGCAUCCUAAGACACAACACUAUCAAACUAGCCUCCUACAACCUAACCUACAACCCUAACGAAGUAAUAUGGACACAACAGGAGCUACUAGCAGCCUAAGACACAACACUAUCAGACUAGCCUCCUACCUCCUAAUCUACAACUUUAAUGCUCGACCUACACUGCUUCCUAUCAAGGGUUAUGUCCUCGAAAAUUCAAAGCUGCACCAUGUCCUACCUGAUCACCUCUCCCCAAUACUUCUUAGGCCGUCCUCUACCUCUACUCAUACCCGUCAAGGCCAACCAUUCACACCUUAUCGGGGCAUCCAUAUUUUUCCUCCGCACGUGCCCGGACCAUCUAAGCCUAGCUUCCCGCAUCUUGUCUUCCUUGGAAGCCACGCCCACCUUCGCCCGGAUAUCUUUAUUCCUAAUCCUAUCCAGCCUAGUGUGUCCGCACAUCCAUCUCAGCAUCCUCAUUUAUGUCACUUUCAUCUUCUGGAUAUGAGAAUUCUUGACUGGCCAAAAGGUGUAGGAUAUAUGAGAAUAUGUAUAGAGACGAACCUAUGUACAGAAAAGAGGUAUCACCGAACCCCAUUAACCUUGAUAAAAUUCUAAAUAUACAUGUGCAUGUAUGUUGAAAAUAUUUAUAUAUUUUGUCUGAAACUCUUACGAUUAAAAGUCUGAUGGGACACAGGUUGAGUAGUCUACUCAUGCGCCCCCACCAUCUUCAAAUCCUGGGUUCGUCUCUAGGUAUAUAUAUGAUAUGAUCCUCCACCCUUAAUCAGAUGUCCUUGACUCUCAUAUCCAAGUUUAGAAUAUAAAGAAUUUCUUGAUAUGAAACGUUUUAAUCCCACAGUAGGACUACACUAGAUCUAUACGGAUUAGUCGAACUAAUUGGUAAGUAUCAAAUAUUAAAUGAUUAAAUAAAAAAAUAUAUAGUAAACUUUUAUCAAACAAAGAGAACAAAUAUUGAUUCGGGUUCGGGUAGCUAAAAGUGCAAGCAUCGUUUUAGAGGAAAAGAUGGGCAUGGCUUCCACAAUGAAAGUUCGCAGUGUUUUCGUGUUUCUUAACUUGAGAUAAAAGUUAAAGCUUUCAAUUAAUUGAAAAUGAUUUUUUUUCUCUAAUGAUGCUCUAAGAUUAGUCGCGUAAGAUCUAAUAGUAUGGUUUAAUGGAUACUUUAUAGAGUAGACUAUUUAUCAAAUAUUAUAAAGUAUGGAUCAGUGCAUUAAAUGUGUUACAAUCAUUUUAAUAGGAGUAAAGAAAUCCAUCCUCAUGUUUUCCAUAGUACAUCGAUAAAGACAAAAUUAAUUCAGUUUGGUCCUACACGUCUGCAUAAUGCAUAUAGUACAAAGGCCAUCUCAUCUAAGUUGCUGAAAUUAUUGCUCAAUUAUAAUUACCACAAAUUAAUAAGCUCCUCAGCAGGUACAGCACGUCAAUCUAAUACUAAUGUGGAAACUGAGAAUCUAUAGGACCCAAUAUCUAAUUAAAAAAAUAUUAUAUAUUUUCAAUGUCAACUAGAAGACAACAAUAGAAAUUUCUAAUCUGUAUGAUGUACUCCCUUCAGUUAAUUUUUGCUUACAAUAAGUAAAUAAACUUUUUGUCUACUCUAGAUUUGUUAAUUUCUUUGUAUUUUAUAUAGUCAAGAUAUUUAAUAUUGAAAUGGAAUUGGUUCAAAUAGAGUUGAAUAGACGCGGAAAAUUUAUAUAACCAAUCGAUCUCAAAUAGUUAGAAAUUAAAGUAUAGUUAAUUGAGUAUUUGCAUCUAAAUAUUUACGUAAACCUAGAUUUAUCUCGAAAAAAAUAAUGCAAAACUAGAUUAUUAUUUUCUAAUUCUUCUAAAAAGUUAUAAUUCUACAAAUUAAACAAGAACGAGGUCGCCAUAGAUUAUGGUGCAUGUCGGUUUGUCCUUAUGUGAUGGGAGUAUGUGACUAUCCCUUACUCUGAAAUUAUGCCAUAUCUCCCAAAACUGUAAUAUCCAAGACCCAAACUUAAAAGUAAAAUAUUUUACAAUACAAAUUUAAUAGUGUUGGAUAGGAUUCAUUUACCAUUAAUCAGAGAUUUUGGAUAGAAAAUACUUCUUUGUUGGAUGGAUUUUAUGUUGCGCGAAUUCAAAUAAAUUAUAAUCCAAAAAUAAUACUUAAAUACCAAAUAAGAAAAAUAAAAUAAAAAAUAAUGAGCAUGACAACCUCGUGAACUAAAGAUACCAAUACGCAAUAUCACGUAACCUCCUAGAUGUGCUACGUUUGUUGUGUUUUCUUGGAAAAAGCAUAGACGCAACCCAAUACCACAUGUGCCUACGUACAUGUAUCUAAGACGAAACAUAUCGAAAUAUUAUUUUAAAAAUUGUAAAGUUCUUCCAGAGCUGUCUAUUAAAUAUUUUUUGAGAACAUAAAUAAUUAAGUAAUACUCAACUUAUACCACACAUGCAACAACAUUAGAUUGGAAACGAAAUUCUAUAAAUUAUUGUAUUUCGUUUACGUAUUGUUAUAUAGUAAAUCUAAUAAAAUACUAUCUUCCGAUCUUCGGUAUGGUUUUUGCACAACCAUAAAAGUGUAAGAGGACUAUAUCAGAAACAAUAAGCAAAGAAAUUGCUGUAUCAUGAAAAUCUAAUACGUGUGGUUUUAAACCAAACUCCUGAUGUGCAUGGUACAACAAAAUAUAUGUAUAGUGGCUGCAAAAUUAGAUAGGAUUUACAAGUUGAGAAUGUUUGGUUGAUGAUUUACAAGUUAUGGCGGAAAGAAAAGAAGAAAACUCUAGAUAGGGUGAUGAGAGAGAGGAGAGAGAAAUGAGUCGGUCAAUAAUCAAAACCAGACUUCACCAAAAAAGGGUCAAAUAUACCUUUGUACUUUCGAAAAAUAUUUAAAUAUACCCUUCGUUAUACUAUGAGUCAAAAUAUACCCCUGUCACUAUAUUUUGAGUUCAAAUAUACUUUAAACGGAGGGACACAUGUCAUCGUCCUGUUAGCCAAUUUUAAAUAUCUCCUAGUUAAUUAAAAAAACCCAUAUUUUAAAAAUAUUUUUCACUUUUUUCAAUUUUUUUAAAGCAAUAUUUUUGUAAAAUAUUUUUCAGUUUUUACAAAAAAAUUAUUUUAGAAGAUAUUUUGCUUUACAAAAAAAUAUUUUAAAAAUAUAUUGCUUUCAAUUUUAAAAUAUAUUUUGAUUUAGAAGAUAUUGCAAAUAUAUUUUUCUUUAGAAGAUAUUUUGCUUUAAGUUUUUCAGUUUUUUUAAAGCAAUUUUUUUGUAAAANNNNNNNNNNNNNNNNNNNNNNNNNNNNNNNNNNNNNNNNNNNNNNNNNNNNNNNNNNNNNNNNNNNNNNNNNNNNNNNNNNNNNNNNNNNNNNNNNNNNNNNNNNNNNNNNNNNNNNNNNNNNNNNNNNNNNNNNNNNNNNNNNNNNNNNNNNNNNNNNNNNNNNNNNNNNNNNNNNNNNNNNNNNNNNNNNNNNNNNNNNNNNNNNNNNNNNNNNNNNNNNNNNNNNNNNNNNNNNNNNNNNNNNNNNNNNNNNNNNNNNUUUUUUAAAGCUAAUUUUUUUGUAAAAUAUUUUUUAAUUUUACAAAAAAAUUGCUUUAGAAGAUAUUUUGCUUCACAAAAAAAAUAUUUAAAAAUAUGUUGCUUUCAGUUUUAAAAUAUAUUUGCUUUAGAAGAUAUUGCAAAUAUAUUAUGCUUUCAGUUUUAAAAAUAUUUUUCAGUUUUUGCUUUUACAAAAAAAUUGCUUUAAAAGAAACUGAAAAUACUGAAAAAUAUUUUUAAAAUAUGGGUCUUUUUAAUUAAUUAAGAGAUAUUUAGAAUUGGCCAACAAGACGAUGACACGUGUCCCUCCGUUUAAAUGAGGGGUAUAUUUGAACCCAAAGUAUAGUGACGAGGGUAUAUUUGGACUCAUAGUAUAACGAAGCGUAUAUUUAAACCUUUUUCGAAAGUACAGAGGUAUAUUUGGCCCUUUACUCUUUUAUUUAUCUAUAUGUUUAUUUACAUAAUAUGUGUAUAUAUAUUUACACCAAUAAAAUGUGCAAAGAAAGGAAAGAAAAACUAAAAUACAAGUGGGAUGAGUAUCCUUUAUUAUUACUGGGUUGGGCCCUUUCCUUUAACUGAAGUGGUUGUGUCCAUAUCUAGGUUAACACCCUCUCCCCUCCCCCCCCCCCCCCCGAGGGUGAAAACACACCAAGCUUGCCAAGAAUGUUGUGAUGAAGCUGCCCACAUAGAGCCUUGGUCAUAAUAUCAGCUAGUUGGUUAGCACUGGAAACAAAAUGCAAAGAGAUAAGCCCAUAAUUCAAACACUCACGAACAUAAUGGCAAUCAAUCUCAAUGUGCUUUGUACGCUCAUGAAAAACUGAAUUUUUGGCAAUGUGAAGGGUAGCCUGGCUAUCACAAUGGACUGGGACAGGAGUGCAAAUAGGAAGACUAAGAUCCCCAAGUAGUCUGACCAGCCAUGAGAUUUCAGCAGUUACUUUCCUGAGUGCCAUGUAUUCAGCUUCAGCGGAAGACAAAGAAAUGGUAUGUAGUUUCUUACUUUUCCAAGAGAUUGGGCUCCCACCAAGUGUCAUAUAAAACCCAGUAAUAGAUUUGUGAGAAAUAUGCCACAAGAGACAAGUCAGAAGAGUUGGAGAGAAGCACACCCUGAGAAGGAUCAGCCAACAAAUAUCUGAGAACAUGCAGGCCAGCCAUCAUGUGAGGAACAUGAGGUUUCUGAAGAAACUGGCUCAAAUGUUGAACAGAAAAGGAGAUAUCUGGUCUAGUCUGCUGCAGGAAAUUGAGCUUGCCAAUGAGCCUCAUGUACAGACUAGGAUCAGGGAGAGGGUCACCCAUGUCUAAGGUCAACUUAACAGAAGGGUCCAAAGGAGUCACAACAGAAGAAAAAUAAUUGCAGUUGAACUCAGCAAGAAGAUCAGUAGUAAAUUUAUGUUGACUCGUGAUAUAACCCUGAGGAGUCUUGGAGAUUUCCAUACCUAAGAAAUAAUGGACUAAUCCCAAAUCUUUGAUCUUAAACUGAUCAUCCAAAAAGGACUUUAGGAAUUUCAUUUCAGUGAGAUCAUCUCCAGCCAAUAAGAUAUCAUCAAUAUAGACAACCAAUACUCCCAAAGAGCCAGAGGAGGAUUUGGUGAAGAGAGAAUAAUCAUUGAGACUGGAAAUGUAGCCCCUUGAGAGCAAAGCCUCAGACAGUUUUGAAAAUUACUGUCUGGAUGCUUGCCUAAGGCCAUAGAGAGAUUUCUUGAGCUUACAGACCAGAGGAGCUGAGGAAGAAGCAUAUGAGACAUCAAGACCAGGUGGAAUUUUCAUAUAGACUUCCUCAUGGAGAUCACCAUGGAGGAAGGCAUUAUUAACAUCCAACUGGUACACAGUCCAAUCUCUCUUGAUGGCAAGGAUUAAAAGACAUUUGAUGGUGGUGAGCUUGAUAACAGGGGAGAAGAUUUCAGUAAAAUCUAUGCCUUCCCUCUGAGUAUCAUCUCUAAUAACCAACAUUGCUUGUAUCUUUCAAUAGACUCAUCUUCCCUCUGCUUAAUCUUAUAAACCUAUUUGCAAGGAAUUGCCUUCUUAUUUUAGGGAAGAGGGACAAUGUCCCAAGUCUGAUUAGCCUCAAGAGCAUGAAAUUCUUUUAGUAUGGCCUCUUGCCAGGCAGGAUGACCUACAGCCUGCUGAUAGAACUGAGGUUCAUGCAUGUGAGCUUCAUUAGAGGAAAGCUUAGAUUGUGUAGAGUUAAUGUUGGAGAUGAUAGAUGAAUAGAUAUAAUCCUUAAGGUAAGAAGGUUGAAUGACAGUCCUAGUGGACUUUCUUAAGGGCGGAGGAUCAGAAGUAGUGGAGGUGGAAUUAGGAGAGGUAGAAAUAGAAACAUGAGAAACAAUAGGAGGUGAAGAUGAAGGGAUAAGAGGGAGAAGUGGGGAAAAGUUCAGAAUGACUAGUAGAUGGAGUAUCCACUGGAGGAGAAGCUGGGAUAUCCACAAAAGUAGGAGGUAGGACAUUGAAAUGAGAAGAAGUAGAAGAUCAAUAGGGAAAAUUAUGUUCAUGAAAUACCACAUCUCUAGAGUGGAAAACAGAGGAGUUAGACAAAUUGAGCAAUUUGUAACCUUUCUUGCCACAUGGAUAUCCUAAGAAUAUACAUGCAAUAGCUCUAGAUUGGAACUUAUCUCUGCCUACCUUGGGGUAAGUAUCAAAGCAGAGACAACUAAAUGAUCUUAAAUAGUCAUAGGAAGGUAGAUGACCAUGAAACAUUUCAUAAGGGGAAAGCUUAAGAAGAAAGGGUGAAGGCAUUCUAUUAAUAAGGUAUGUAGCAGUGAGGACACAUUCUCCCCAAUAUUUCAGUGGUAGUUUAGAUUGAAACGGUAGGGCUCUUGAGACUUCUAAAAGAUAUUUGUAUUUUCUCUCCACAACACCAUUUUGUUGUGGAGUAUAAGGGAUGGAAGUUUGAUGUAAAAUGCCCUGGGAAGCAAAGAAACUGAUGGCUUCAGAACUACUUCCAAGUUCAAAAGCAUUAUCUGAUCUAAAUGUGUGUAUUGAGGAAUUGAAGUGAACUUUCACCAUAUAAGUGAAAGCUUUAAGAAUGGACAAAGUAUUACUCUUGGAGGAAAGAAGAUGGGUCCAAGUGACUCUAGUAAAAUCAUCAACUAAAGUGAGAAAAUACCUAAAGCCAUUAUAAGUUUUAGUGUUGUAAGGGCCCCAAAUGUCAAUGUGAACUAGUUGAAAAGGUGUGGAAGAAUGAAUAGUACUAUCAUGAAAAGGGAGUCUUUGUUGUCUAGCCAUUGAACAAAUUGAACAUAUAAAAGGUUGUUUAGUGGAUACCUUGUUAGACAGAAAGGAAAUAGAUUGCAUCUUAUGAAAAGGCAUGUGACCUAAUCUCUAAUGCCAAAGGAGAUCCAUCUUAUUAACAAGUGAAGUUUGAUUACAACUAGGUGGAACAUUAACAUGUAAAGGUGCAAGAACAGACUUAUUACAUGGAAUUGAACCUACAUAAAAAACGAACUCACUACAAGUUGCAUCAACAAAAGAUGAUAGAGUAGAACUUGUGCUGGGGAACAUAUCUCCAUCUGGAUGAAGAUAAUAGAGCCUGCCAGCAGCCUUAUCAAUUACCAGUGGCCUCUUCAGAGAAGGGCCAUGUAGAGAACAAUGGAAUUUGGUAAGAACUGCUAUACAAUUCAGCUAAGUAAUAAGUUGAUGAAUAGAAAUUAAAUUGAAAUAGAAAGAUGGUACUAGUAGGACAUUAAGUAAAGUUAUAUCAUGUCUGAGAUGUAAGGAGCCAGUUGAUAUAACCUUAACUUUGUAUCCAUUAGGUAAGGUGACAAUAAAUAGUUUAGUUAAAGGCACAACAUUGUGAAGCAAAUAUUUGUGUGGAGUCAUGUGGUUAGUGGCCCCGGAAUCCAAGAUCUAAGGGUUUGGAUUUGACUGUGAAGAAGUACACACAUGAAGGUCUACAGAUUCUAUAGCAUAGGCAGUGAACAAACCUGCAAAGUGAGCAAAAAUAGAAUCCUCAUCUGGGUGAAUAGGUGGAGCAGAACCAGGAGAGACCUGAACUUGUUGAAAUAAAGUGAGAAGAUGUUGAUAUUGCUCAUUUGUAAACCUAUGAACUGGAGCAGAACUACAAGGAAGCUGACUGAACCCAGGAGAUGGUUGAGGAUAGGAAAUAUCACCUUGGACACAUGAAGUAAACUUCUUAUUCUUGGUAAAUUUGAAGUCAGGGGGAAAACCAUGAAGCCUGUAGCAUUUUUUCACUGUGUGUCCAGGUUUCUUACAGUAUUUACAAGAUAAUGUACACAUAUUCUUCUUGGAUUCAAAAUUGACCUUCUGAGUAAAGCUUCUAUUAUUAUUGUACUAAGCAGGGGUGACAGAGAAAGAAGCAGAAUCCCAAGAAAAAUUAGAAACAUUGGAAAGGGACUUUUUUUGACUCCCAUCCUAUUGAAUGGGGGAGUAAGCCUUGCUUAUAGGAGGAAGAGGGUCAUCAUCAUGAUGGCACUCUUAACAGUAAAGUAGGAUUCAUUCAACCCAUUCAAGAACUAGAACAAUUGCGGGUCCUCUAUAAACUUUGAAAGUGGUCUACAGGAGCAUACUGGACCAACAUAAGAAGAGUUUAAUUCAUCCCAUAAGCUCCUAAGCUUAGUGAAGUAGGUAGCAAUGUUUGAUGAACCCUGAGUGGUUGUAGUAAUUUUCCUUUGGAUUUGAAGGUACUUUGACCCAUUUGACUGACCAAAUCUCUCAUUAAUAUCUUUCCAGACUUCCCUUGCAGUCUUAAGACACAUGACACUGAUGGUAAUUUCUCUGGACACAGAAUUAGUUAUCCAUGCUUUCAUCAUGUUAUUAUACCUUUCUCAGUAUGAGUAAUAAGGAGAAUCUGGUAUUGGUUGAGGAACCCUACCAUCUAAGAGCCCCAACUUGUUCUUUGCAGACAAGGAGGUAAGCAUAUUGCUUCUCCAUAUAACAAAAUCACAACCAUUAAAAGACAUAGACACCAGCUUGCCAGGACUGUCAGACGGAUGCACAUACAAAGGAUGGGAUGGAUCUAUCGUGAAGGGAGUAAAUCCCUUAGAGGUCGUACUACUAGGUGAUCCUACGUUUUCCAUAAUACUUCCAAUACAAUGAAGUUCAAGCUCAGUAACUUCAGAUAAAACAAUUAUCAACUGAAUUAACACAAUUUCUACACAAGUAUACUCCAUGCAACAUCGGAUUUAUAUGAUUUUGGAGUUGAACAGGAAGGAUAUUACCAGCCUUCUUCUCAAACUUGAAGAAGAAAAAUCUUCUCUGAAUAUGAAACCCUAGAAAAUCGAAUUUGAAGAAAUUGCUAAGGAAAACCUCGGAAAACCAAACCUCCUAGUAGGACUAGACGAUUGAAGAGGAAAGACGAAGAAAUCUCCAAAUUUUGAUGGCAAAAUCGUCGAAUAGCAGUUGUCUCCGAUCAACCAGAGACGGAAACGAAACCGUUCAAAACUCUGGGCGAGGAUAACAUUGGACUGAAGCUCAUGACGAGAGGAAUCAUAAUUCUUGCUCUGAUACCAUGUUAGGUUGAUGAUUUACAAGUUAUGGCGGAAAAAAAAGAAGAAAACCCUAGAUAGGGUGAUGAGAGAGAAGAGAGAAAUGAGUCGGUCAAUAACCAAGAUCAGACUUCACCAUUUUAUUUAUCUAUAUGUUUAUUUACAUAAUAUGUGUGUAUAUAUAUAUAUAUAUUUACACCAAUAAAAUGUGCAAAGAAAAAUUAAAAUACAAGUGGGUCGGAUAUCCUCUAUUAUUAGUGGGUUGGGCCCUUUCCUUUAACUGAAGUGGCUGAGUCCAUAUCUGGAUUAACAGAGCAAUCCUUCAAUACACACGAUUUUCAACUUAAGAUGAGACGAUUAGUGUGAAGAAUGAGAGUUUGCGUUUUCUGUGUAAGUUCAUGCCAAGACGAGUUAGGGAAAAAGUUUUUGUACAGAAAUAAUAGAUUUACGCUUAACAGAGGCUAGUGUAAACUGUAAAAGCCAAGGAAGUUGUAACAAAAGUGAUUCAAAGAUUUGAAAACAAUAGAAUUAAGGAUUGAUUGAUUGUAGUGCAUUAAUUGGAUAAAUUUCAUUACUACACAAGAUGUGCUAUUUCUACAAGGAGAAGUCGGUCGUUGAGAGGCUAAAUCCACUAUCAAGUAGGUCCAAGCAUCGAAGACAGGACACGAUCUAUCAAAAUUGUGCGAUGUGCAACUAGGAUUUUAAUGUCACGGGUGUACUUUUGCCUUCAAUGAAAAUUUGCUUUGUAUAUAGAGUGACACUGCUAAUAUAUCGUUAUUUUAUAAAGAUAUAUACAUAUAUACUUGGAUAUUUUGCCAAACUUUUCAGGUGCCGAUGUCCCCUCUCUUUACGACAUAAGUCCAUCUCUGAUCCCGCUAGCCCAUUAGACUUUCCAUAAUGAUUUCUAAUAGGCCUAACACGAGGCGAAGUGCACAAACAACCAUUCUUAGGGCUGCUAUUUAGAGAUUAACCAGUACCUAUUUUGUUCCAAAAAAUCAAACUGAAAAACUAGAAUUCAGGAUGCCUAAUUUCUAAAUAGCAGUCCUUUAGAGUGGCUACCCAGUGUCAUUUCUACCCUACAACAUGGCAACAAGUUAUCUGUUUUGCCGGAUUGAGGCCCAAUUACAUGUCCAACCCGACAUGGGACCCAUAUUUGGUGCUAGCACUUUACCAUCCUUAAACAAUUUUUUGAGAAAAGAGGUUGAAAAUUCCGCUCCCUUGAAAAAUUUCCUUCUGUUGAUUUCUUUACAUUUCUUGAUGCUUUUACUUGGUUGAAUCUUGGUUGUAAAUUGUCUUUGAUCAAAGUAACUUUUUGCCUACAUUUUUGGUUGCUGAAUUAUCCGACUGGCCCAUUAAAUUCUUAGUAAUUAAUUGGAUUUUGUUGAUAAAUCCAACGAUUUGACUACCUUCGGCGAAUUGCGGGUCAAUUGCGCCUUAGAACACAUGGACUCAUAAUCAAGGUAGAAUAAUUUACAAUUAAGGGGCACAAUCUGUUCUACCAUCUUAAUAAUGAACGAAUAUCCUGCACACUUGGACAAAGAAAUUGUACUUACAAGAGGUUGGCAAUCAAACUCACCAAAUUCCCCCGGCUCAGCUCAAGAAAAGUUGUCACAGAAAGCAAAUUCAACCUUUUUACAGUGGGAGGAAGAGGGUAGAGAAAACAACACAUACAAGUGACCUCUUUACUAGAACCUCAACGAAUCUGCAAUCGCAAGUAAAUUCCACUAUUACGUAAAUUACAACAAUAAUUAUGACAAGAAUUAAAUAAAUACCAAGACAUUAUUCAGGAGAUAGCAAGCCUGUCUCUUUAACUAUGCCAAGGACACAUCCCUAGAAGAACAUUCCAUCUCCUUUAAGAAGGCGCCCUGUAUUUACAAUGCAAGGGCAACACUUGGAUCCCAGAUCACGAUCUUCAACGAGUAUCUAAAACUAAUCAGCACCCUGUGAAACAGAUUCUGUAGAUUUAGUAUCAGUUCCAUUUAAUUUGGAUUUCUCCUUCAAAGGCUUCUGUGCACUAGAUGUCCUUUUAAAACUUCUGCUGGGUUGUUUAGUAGUCUGAGGUGCAAGACCUGGCAAAACAGAUAUCAUGGAAUUAGAGUGUAUAAGGCACUAAUCGCGGGAAAACUUGACCACACUAGAGUGGCUACUAAAUGUCCAUUGCCACUGCACUAAGAUAUUUGCCCGAAAAGAUGUGUAGAAUAAAUAUCUUCUCAAGCGCAAUCUUAAUGUCCUCUUCGAUUAUAGAAGGCCUAAUAGAAGACAAUAAACAAGUUUCCCUCAGCAUAGCACUCCAAAAUUGGUUACCUGUGCAAGGAAUUUGCAACGAACUAUACAAAUAUUUGGGGGGGGGGGGCAUCCGAGAAGAGAAAGAGGAGGCACUAGAAACAAGUUACUAAGCUACUUUUGCUUAUUGACAGUGAGCAACUUCAAACAAUUGAAAUGAGGAGAAUAAGAUACGUGCAGAGGGAAUAAAACACACAGAUAUUGACUGAGGAUAUUUAUGGAGAAGCGAGUAAUGAAUUAACAAUAUUUUGCCUUUAUACAAAGCCAGAAGAAGCCUAUAUGAAGCCUCAGGAGAGAAGAAAGUGGAUGGAACAAAGAGGAUCUAUAUUGCUUCACAUUUCUAGUGUGUAACACAAGGCAAUAUCAGUUAAAAGUAAAUCGCAAAGAAGAGAAGGAAAGAGGACUUACCGCUACUAGGCAGAGACAAUCUCUGCUUUCCUUGUUUAUCAGAAGGAGCGGAUCUCUCCUUAGGAUUGCUAUGUGAUCUAGAACCAAGGGCGGGCCUUGAACUAGCUUCCUCAACUAAAUCUUCAGGAUUUGGUUUAGACUUUGGUUUGUUAACUAAUGCUGCUGGCGUUUCUUGUGUGCUUGCUGACACAUUUGGGGAAGAGCUGCUGCAGCCAUCAGAGAGAGAUGCUGCUGUUUUCUCAAUUGAUUUCGAGUUACUGCUUGAAUGAGAUGGACCCGCUCUCUCAUUUGCAAGAUUUGCAGUUGCUGGUUUCUUCCCAGCAGAUUUUACCUGGUUCUUUACGCCAUUCUUGGGAUCAGCUGAUCCAUUUUCAGUAGGCAUGACUCCAUCUCUGACAUUAAUGUCUAGAAAGCGAUUUUCCCACGGGCGUACCGCCAUCCAUCUCUCUAACCAGUUCCAACCCCAGUUGCUUUUAUCUGGUUCAAACCCAGAAGGUGUAGCCUGCUGCCUCGAUCCUGCUUGCCACUGCAGCAUAAAAUAGAUUCAAUAAGAAAAAGAAAAGGAGCCUUGAAAUGAAAGCAUUGGAACCUUGCAUAACUAGAUCAUGACCAUUAUCAUAAAAUGACGUCGGGAGUUAGGAGGUCUCUAGUAUUGGCAGCUAUUUUUUGUUCUUCUAGAGUUGUUCCUGAAUUCUAACUAGAGGUACUAUGUGUCCAUAAAAGUACGCAUAGCAUAUAACAAGGGAAACGAAGAAGAGAAUGGACCCAAAUAGCAUAUAGCAAGUGAAAUGAAGAGGAGAAAAUACCCAGCAGUUAAGCUUUAUGAGCUACAAUAUAAGCUGGUUGCCAAGUAUUUGCUCUACUAGUGCAGCUGAUACAAAUGCUAUCAUUAAUUUAGAUUCAGAUACAUUUUAGCCGAGAAAGCAGGCUGACAAAGAUGCACCAGCAUUGAGGAAAAUCAUAGCCGUUACGCUAGUAUUAAAACCAUUAUUAGUGAUGCAUAUCCGACCUAUUAGUUACAAACACCUCUUGAUCAUGCUCUUGAAUGUAGAAGCAGUUAUCACUGGAUUUCAUAGAAGAAAAUCAAAAGGCUACCACUAAACACCUAAAUAGGAAGAAAUGCAUAAAAACACAUGGUUAUUCCUUAUUUUGUUAUGAUUUUUAAUUGUUGGAUAUUCCCAUCUAUAAGCAAAUUUCAAGACCUUUCCAAAAGCAUUGACGAGUUUUAACUAGUUCCAAUGUCUAUCACUACUUGGACCACACUACAGGUUCCAUUUGGUUGAGCGUAAAAAGUUUUUUACGCUAGGAACAAUUGCCGGGAAAAACUGUGUAGAAGAUCAACUUUCUUAUAUUUAUCCUGUGUUUAAUUGAACAGAUUUCUUCAAACUGAAGCGAACAUGUGUACCAAUCACAAUACAAUGUGAAGGUGCUACAACUUUAUGGUUGAUUUUUUUUUUAUAAGACAAGUAAAUAUUAUUAAAGCAAGUACCAAGAUGGUACUGCAAAAAAACAAAUUUACAACAGUACAGAAAUCACCAUAUAGCAAUUAAGUACAAUCUUCUCAAUGAAUCUAAAAAGUUUCGAACAUCAGAAAAGUGUUCUACUGUCCUCUCCUUACACCAUUGAAACAGAUUUUCUAAACAAUUAUAUUUUACAACUGCUAUCUAUUUCCUCCCUCCAUCAAAACACCUAUAUUCCUUUCCCACCAUAUACCCCAUGAGAUGCAUAAAGGAGCUGUUCUCCAAAUUUCUUUCUGUUUCCUGCAAUCUUUUGUGCUUGCCAGCUUGACAAUAACCUUUGCACAUCUCUAGGCAUCACCCAGUGCACUCCAACUAAACAUAACAUGACAGCCCAGAUCUGCCAGGCAAAACCACAGAAAAUUUAUGGUGAAAUUUAUAAAAAGGGUAAAAGGUGGCCACAAAAAUAGCUGGUAACAGGAGGGAAUACGGGCACAUUAGAAAAAAAGGGAAACUGGGAUGAGACUGGCAUUGCUAGGCCAGAGCAAGAGAUAGUAGUGAUGGGGGUUGACACUAUUAAAAUUGGCUUCUUGCCUACAUGCCAAUCAGUCUCCUUUUCCAAGAGCCAACAUGGCAUGGUAUUCGAUGCAUCAACAAUUUCAUUGCCUUCCUCUACAUCAUCGAAUUCAAUAACAAUGGUUAUUCAACUAACACUGGAUUCAGGUGGUGCUACUAGCAGUACUGGUUAGUCCCCUUGUUGGGCACUGGAGUGCAAUUUCAUUUAGUGGUUAAGACUUUCCAAAAGGGCCCCGGUUUUGUUUGGAUGUCUUCAAAACGUAGCUGGAACCUGCCCCCCGUGGGCCGUGACAACUGCUGGAAUAAAGAAAAUAAAUUUUCUUACCUGUAUUUGUUGAAAGGAAAAGGAUUGUUUAAAAUGAGUAACCAUUUUCCCCAUGACAAUUCCACACUCUUUUGAAAGACUUGCUUUGAAGGGAAGUGCUUCUUGAGGUAAACUUUUUAACCGCUUUUAUCACAUCUUUCCUACCUAUAAAACAAGCGAAAAAUGUAGGAAAGCUAACUUUCCCAUAAAACAACCAAUAGGUGCCUUAUAGAAACUAUUCAACUUCUUUAAACCCCAUGUAAUGUUUUCCCCAGAAAAGGUUUCAGCACUUUAAGACAGUAAGACGGCAAACUCCAGAAAAAUAAAACGUCACACAAGGAAAAUAUCUGCACUUGCCCUUCUGAAUUUCAAUCAACUUUUUAAACUUAAUUCCAACAGAUGAUUCCUAACCCCUAGCCAUUAGAUAUAAAAUGAGCCUUCUGCAGUGCUCCAUAGGACUUGAACAGUGACGUGCCUGCCUCUCUUAAAUUCUAUCUUUUUCACUUUUUGAACUUUCCUUCCACCUGCAAAUAUCCUAGUUUCAUGACAAAAACAUUUUCCUUGAUCACCCUUGUUCCAGCCUUUACAGAAACUAGCAUCCAAUUCAUUAAUUCUCUGUUAAAAGACAAAGAACUAGAACAGAUGAAAGCCUAAAAUCUAAGUUACCCUACAAAAACCUUCCUCAAUCUUCAAACCUUAACGAACUUGAUUUGUCCUUGGACCUACUCUACCUUAAAUUAGAGCUUAUACUUGAGCAAAGCCUUCUGCUAAUUCUCAUGCAUAAUAUUACUUUUUAACCAAGGCACCAGGGUAUUUCUGGUUGCAAUCUCUACGUAGCCAAAAUGCAAAGUUUAUCCAUUCAGUAAAUAAACAAUAAUGUGUGUGUGUAUAUAUUAAACAACCAGCUUAAUUGAUCAUGUUUACUUCUCUUUUUCUUUGACUUUUUUUCUGAAGUACAAAGGAUAAGGGGCCCGGGAAGGAAAGAGAGGGAAAGGGAGCUCUGAGUUUGAGCGGAUUGACUCUAGAACCAAUUUCAUUGGAAGCUCCAUUGUAGAAUUGGAUCCAACAAUUAUGUAAGAAAUUAUGGAAAUGAGGGAACUUGUGGAUAGUGGAUACAGGAAAUUAUUCAGAAAUAUCAUAAUAAAAGAAACAUAAGAGUUUGUCGUUAGGUACUAGACCGAAAUGGGCCAUCCAGUAAAACCUAUCAUUAAAAUAUACCUAUAAGGCCAUAAAACUAUAAGUUUACUCUUCAUAUUCCCGACCCUAAGUGUCCCCUGGCCUUGGUAAAAUUUACGAGUCAAAAUGUCAUAAGAAAGAGAUGGUUCCCCCCUCUCUAGAUUACCGAUAACAUCCAACCAUCUCCUUCCUUCAUGGAGGGCUUUCAUAGCUUGUUGCAAACUGGAAGAGGAAACUUGUGUCUUUCGGCUGGUGGUGACACCUUCAAGUAGGAAACAACCUCCCACUCCUCUAAUGUUCAAUCAAGACAUAGCAUCACAGAUUUUUUUAAUGAACCAGGUAUCAAUAUCGCAUAUCAAACUACACAGAUCAUAUUUCAAAAUAUCAAUAGCAAAGCUGACAUAGACAGCUGCCUCUCUUACAAGUUCCCACUUAUAAUCUACUCUGAAGUUUUGCCUUUAAGAUAUCAGUUCUUUGAACUGAUAGAGCAAUGAACAAACAUCGUAGAGAAGGACAAUCAGAUGCUUACCUGGUGAGCCAAAGCAUAGGCCAUUGCUCUUUCACGCUUAGCAGCUGCCUCUUGUCUCUUUAGCAACUUUUCCUGAAUUUGUUCAACAGACCCAAUGCUGUCACACCAGCCCUCCUGUUAGAAAAGUCAGUAGCAAAAAGGUGAGAAGCAUGUUAAUGUGAAAGUUUGGGUCAACCUACACGGAUUCCACCAGGUAAUGCAUAGUUUUACACGUGAAGCUUCUUUUUUCAUGUUUUGGCAAAAAAGCUCAUGUCAGCAAGAUAAAGAUUCCUAUGACUACAACUCGAAUCACCACAUGAAGUGGAAAAACCAAACAUAUGAGACAAAUGGCAAGAACAACCAUGAACCACGAUAUAAACCUAAUUUCUUGGCCACAACAUUCAAAUGAUUGGGGUGCCGAUAGUCCCCCUGGGACAUCCAUGAAGAACCUAUCAGGAAAGUUCCACAUAGUUUAGUGUAUAUCAUAUAUUGUUGGACAACAUCCACCAUGCGCAGAAUCCAUGGAAAAUAAUUCAGAAACCAUAAAGCAAAAAUGGCAUGCCAUUACUAAGAGACUCUUCAAUUAGAAAAAGAUAAGAUUAACCACUUAUUAAUAUUAUAAUCUAGUGACAAAUGCCAUUAACACAAGUAGUGGGCACUAUAGAAACACCAAACUAAUAUUUAAAGUAAUAACAAUUUAGAAGUUGCUUACUUCGAUCUCUCGUACGCGAGCCUCAUUUUCUAGUUGUUGUUGAAGUUUCUGCUGGUCGGUUUGACUUUCCAGUGCCAUGCGAACACGCCUUGCUCGGACACGUGCCUGAACUCUCACUAAAGCUUGCAUGCAACGGAGGGUAAUCGCAGCUUGCUUUCUAACUGCAUGACCCCUGACAAGGGCUUGUAGUCUCACCAAUCCUUUUAGAGCCCGAAGAGCUCGCCUCGCCUGACCAGUGCCAGGAUAUCAAAUAAGAUUUAAUGGCUGUAAUUUUUCCUAGUUAACAAUUAUCUCUUCAAUUCCCCUAGUAUGUUUCAACUCACCAACUGAAAAGAUUCAUAAGAAAUUAAAAACACAGUGGUUAACAUAUUAUUCCUAUAUUCAGGUGUCAGAAAGUUCUUUUAUGUCCAAAAGCUUAAUCUAUGAGUCAGAUACCAACUUGGAAACUGGAGUCAGGCAGGUUUUCCCUGACUAAAAGUUGCAACCAUAUAAAACACCAUUUUUCGCCGCCAUUUUCGCAAGUAAGUUCUGUAUGAUAUACAUUCUUUUAACCUUGUACAAAUAUUCAGUCUCUGCAGAACAUGCCUAACAUAAAAAUUGCUUAGGAAUUUACCAUAGCACAAAGUAUCCCUACCUAAAAUGGCAAACAUAAGUUUCUUAAAUAUGAAAAAAGAAAAUAAACAUGUACUUAAUGUUUAUUUAAAAUGUGAAAUUCAUGAUCUAUUAUUUCACUUUCGUGACAAAAGUAAUUUUUCAAGCUCUUUCCCCCAUUGGUACUUCUUUUUAUUACCAAUCCUUUUUUCCCCUCCUAGUGGUCACUGGUCUGAUAUCAAAGAAGGCCUAAGGAUCAGGAUAAUAGUAUUUUUGCUUCUUAGGUGGACUUAUCUUCGUUUGCAAGUACAAAGUAAACCUUGUUGCUUUAGUUUCUGGAACUUAGUGUUAGAGGGAUCUUCGAAAGGGAUCAAAGAUCUCAUCCAGCUCAUCACUUAGCUCAUCAUUUCUUUUAACCUAGAUGAUCUGGUUGUAUCCUAUUCUUUAUUUAUGUAGAUCUUUCUUGAUUUUCCUUUAUCAAAAAUGUAUCUUGACUUUGCACCUCCCUAGGGCAUCUAUAUAAAAUCUUAAAAUAUCGACCAUAAGGCUUAAUAAUUGGAAAUCGUUUUCCCUCUUCAGGAGGUUAUAUUGCUCUAGUUCCUUACUUCUCUAGGAUCAGUCUUCCUAAUUUGAUUCUCUUUAGGUUCUCUGAGGGCAGAAAGUGUAUUAUGACUGAUGCUUAGUUAUCAGUAUAAAGUGGAUAAAAUAAUUUUUAAUGACCAGUUACUUACCGGAAGACAUUGUUUUUCAAUUGUUUGAUAGGGGAAGGGGUGGACUUGCAUUUAGCAAUUUGGUCCCAGAAAUAUUUUCUUUUUUGAUAAGUUUUGGUCCCACAAAAAUUUCGUUAGAAGAGGAAUAGUCAUGGAGCUUUCCACAGAUGACUACAUUUCACAUUGGCAGAAAGAGGUAAAAAGUAAGUAAGCCCAUACUCAAAAGAUUGUGCUAUAGGUCAUUGAGGGUGUCAAUUACUCGGAUUGUUGGAAGUUUCUAUCUCGGAUUUGUUUAGGUUGCCCUACAUCAUAUCCUAUAUACUGGUUAAUGCUAGAAGAAAUUUGUUUCUAAAUGAUCAAUAAUAGCUGAAAGUUACAUGUUUUAUUGCAUUUAAGCAUUUACAUCACCUAUACCCAUGUUUCAAAAAUUUGCAUUUAGAUAAAGACUCCAACUCUUGGAAUUUUUUACUUCUUUUUUCUGGAAGUUCUGACAGUAGAUUGGCACAUAUUAAUAUCCAACUUUUUAACGCCAUUAGUACCUCAAGGCGGCCCAUUUGUAUUGACUCCAGAAUUGCACAUCUUCUAGGUAUCAGGAAUUUUUUUUCUUCUUUUGAUCAGUCUAAGAAGGAAUCAGGAAUAAGUUUAGAUGCAAAUGUCUUUCUCUUAUUUGGUUCAUUCAAGUUCCCCGAUGGUAUCCACUUCUCCUCCUUUACUUAGAAAGCCAAGUAGGUCUCAUCCAAAUAACAGUAUUAGCUGUCUCGUAUAACGAAGACAGACUAAAUUUGGAGGCUGAAAAAGGAAAUUAUUCCUAGCCUGUCAUUAUAUACAAGCAGACUAAUGAAAUGAGGGAGUAUGAAGCCAUGACGGUGAAAUUCAGACUUGGAUUUACUGUAUUUUAAGUGACUUCCUUUUAUCAUUAUGUAGGAGAAAUGGCCGAGUGGUUCAAGGCUUAGCAUUGGAACUGCUAUGUAGGCUUUUGUUUACCGAGGUUCGAAUCCCUCUCUUUUGGUACCUUCGCUUAAUUCACCAAUUUUACUAACAACGAGUGCUCAAAUAGCAAUGGAUACCAUUAUUCCAACAACUAGACCUUUCUUUGAUCUAAAGAUAUAGAUUCUCAAUUCCUAAUUGUUGUGAUGUGUAAAAUAGAAUACUAAAAAAAAUCAUAAUCCAAAUACUGGAAAGAAAAGAGUAGACAAGGAAUGAAAAUAGAUCCUUGGUCUAUGAUACAAAAAUGGGGGAAAUCCAUAUCAAACUCGGAUUUAUCUUACUUAACCUUAGGUUAGUUUACUUCGCCUAAAGAGAAGAAAUUUUCCGAACCCUUGGUUUCAGUCUUAGGUUUAAGUCCCACGAGAAUAAUAUUCUACGACUAGCAAUUGUCUUUUCCGUAUUACUGAGAAAUCUCUUUCAAUUAAGCUGUGGUAAGUGCUAGAUCCAUUGACAUAGUCAAAACUCACUCUUGGAAAAGAAGGAUACGAGGACCAAAAGCACAACUAAGCAGGCAUGUCAUAUAUUUCAAUUAACUAAAAUUACAGGCUGACAGCUAAUUCAGUACCAGAAAUCCUCUAAAAGCUGUUUGAAUGCGUAUAGCUGCUGACUCUUCUCUCAUACUCUGCUGAACUUGUGGGGCAUGGUGCAAUUGAUGUGAACUUGAAGGCGAGCUGGCAGCAACUUGAACUGAUGUGCUGCUGAUAUCUUCAACUGAUCUUACAACAGCAUCAUUAUGAGUUAGCUCCUUUUGAAGUAGGUCAGAAUUGAUCUCAACUGAGUGCUUUCUCCGGUGCCAAAACUUUCCAGUACCUCCUGAUUUCUGUUAUAUCAAACGAGUUCAGAUUAAGUAUACAUGCUCAUCCAAUAUGCAUAAGUACCUUUGCAGUACCUUGAAAUAAACAGGCAUUGACAAUCCAGAAAUAAGUUACAUAUGAUCUCAUAGACCAACACCCUAAAAAAUCUUCUUAUAUUUUUUUUCCAAUGAUAAGUUUUUAUGUUCUUAAAAUGUUUUCAGAAUAAAAAGAUCCCAUCAAAAAUUAAGCAUCUAUAAAAAUUGAAGUUUCCUGUUGAUAAAUUGUCUGAUAUGUGCUAAUUGGUAAAGAUAUGAGAUAACCAACUGAGAACGCAUUCAUGAUUCAACAUCACUGCAUUUCAGGCUCCGGACAGAGGUGAAAGAACGAAAGGUAGCUUCUAUUGAGAAAGUGAUAUUACUCGAGAAUAAGCCUGUCUCGUUAGGAUGUAAAGAUGACACCAAAGAUUAUACAAAGUAGUUUGCUAAAGAUGUAGAAGCAUUGAUUAGGAUACCCAUUGAAAGCCAAUUUAUCAGUUCAGCUAUCAAAGACAUGCAGGAAAUAAAUAAAAUAGAGAGAAAAUGUCACCCACAUUUUCAUCUUUUUCUGAAGAAUGAGACUUUUCUGGUUUCUUUAGACCAACCAGUGCUCUGAUCCAUUUGCUUGAGACACCCAUGCUAUACCAGCUUUUGCUCUACCAACUUGCACCUGAAACAGGAAAGUUGACGAAUUUAGUAAUUUCGUGACCGAUAAACCUUCAGAAAAAGCGCACAUGAUAACCAACAAACAUCAAUUUCUUUUGUGAUAGGUUCCCUGUAACACAAAAAACACAAUGGACAACUGAAAUAGAGGGAUGAAGUUAUUUAGUUCUUGAUUCAGAGGCAAACCUGGAAUGCCUGAAACCACAAAUCUAGGAUGAAUUAUAAUCUAGCUUAUCCAAGACGUGAAAACAGGUAACAUUAUGAACACAAUGCACAAGGCCAACAGCCAAAACGACAGUAUCAGUAGAGUAACUUCCAAAGAAGGCUAUAAAAAAAAAUAUAGAGAACAGAUGCAACAAAAAGGUUCUAUCUAUUAAGCAAAUUAUGAUCAGAAACAAUGUACACGUGCUUUGAAGUGAUCACUCACUAAUACUGUGACCAAGGGUUUCAUAAUACCAUCUUUCCAAUUAGUACUGGAGCACGCACGUUAUGUCAAUACUACUAAAAUCAAUCAAAUCAAAGCCACUCAUUUCCUGUUAUACUAUAGCCAUUCUCCAGCACAACACAAGUCAAAUCAAAGUCACUCGUUUCCCUUGUAUAUUACACCAACUCUCCAGCACAUGACAUGUGCAUAAUGUACACAAAAUCUCAUAACUUCGGCAACCCCUUAACGAAUAUUCCAAACAGAUUUCCACAAUGCCAUACAUUUCACACAAGGGCUAUCAAUAAAUUAACUAUCUAAACCGAAAGUUCCAAACUUCACAACAAUCUAAGCUGAACUCGACAACACAUUACAUGUAACUUUCAUUUCCCAAAUUUAGGGUCAUCAUAAACCCAAAAUAAGAACAGCCCACUUCAAUUUACAAUUCUCUUUACCAAAAUAUUGACCAUUAUCUAUAUAUUAACUAUCUAAACCCAAAGUUUCAAACUCAAGUUCUAAGCUGAACUCCACAACACAUUACAUGUAACUUUCAUUUCCCAAAUUUAGGGUCAUCAUAAACCAAAAAUAACAGCAACCCACUUCAAUUUACAAAUCCCUUCACCAAAAUAUUGACUAUUUGUAAGCUAAAGGUAAAGCCAGUAGAAAAAACAACUAACAACAACAAAUGCAGAUCUUCAAAAUCACCAAUUAACAGACAUUAUUGAAUUUACUAAACUCUAAUUAAAUUAACAAAGAUAUCAACUUAGAAACAACAAGAAAGGGAAAGAACCUUUUUUUCCUUAAAAGGGUUGGUUGAAAUAGAUGGAUCUAUCAAUCAGUCAACUAAAAGUCAAAAUUGAAGUCAACCCAAUUCGCAUCAUACUCAAGUGAGCUUCAACAACCAAAAAUCUUGAAUUUUUCGGUUUUUUUUUUUGGUGUGUUUUUGGGGACUUGGAUGAGCUGAUAAGAAGUACUACUAAAGGAGUAAUGAAAUGCGUCAGUAGCAGCAAAGAGUGAGUGUGAGGGGUGGUGCCAGCUAACGUACGCCAGAGGAGUGGGGAAUAUGGGGGAGAAUAGAACGGCGUCGUUUUAGGUGGUGGGGCGGGUGGUAACGUAAGGUCGUUUUCAGAGGUGCAUGCGACCAAGAGUCAAUCACGGGAUUUCCUCGGCCCCUACCCCUUCACCGUCGUGUCAAGUCGGAUUUUUUCCAACUGAAAAUGGGUUUGCGGGUCAGGCUUUGGUUACUUGAUCAAGUUUUAAGUAACAUUUUUUUUUUGUUAAAAUAGAAAUUGGAAAUUUUGAACCUUUUUUAGGUAGUUGCACAUAUUUGAUGAAUACACAAACUUGGGAAUAAAUAAAUGUCAACUAUUCUCUUAAUCAAACAUAUCAAACUCUUUGUAUUAUAUUAUAUAUUUCUUUUAUAUUAUCUUAGAAUUCUAUUAUUAUAUUUCUUUAUUUUAUUUGAUCUAACUCUUGUCUUUAAGUUAUUUUUGUGUGACAAUCCAAAACUAAACGAUUGCUAUUGACGUCUAGUGACAUGAAACAUGUUAGGCGAACCAUUCACCCAUCUUUUCAAAUAUCAAGUUAUCAACUACAACAUGCGAUAACAUAACAUCAGUCCAUAGAAUAUUUAUAAUAAUCACCCAGCAUGCACGUACAUAUCAAUUAACAAAUAUUGGUAGGGACAAAUAAGCCAUAUGACAACUUAGGUAUCUUAAAGUGCUUAAGAUAGAUGCAAAAGGUAUUGGAGCUUUUAAGAGUCAUAAACAUAUACAAAGUGAGAUGCAUCCCAUGUAGAGGUGGCAAACGAACGGGUUGGGUCGAAUAUGGGCGGGUCAAAACGGGUAUGUAAACACAAAUAAAUUAUUCGACUCAAUCCAUAUUUAAUAAGGAUAGAAAACGGUUUAAUCGGUAGGUAAUAUGGAUAUUCAUAUUUAUCCAUGGCUUGUUGAAUAUGAUCACUUUUGGAAGACUAGGACUUGAGGAAUCCCCAAUUUGAGUCUUUACAAAUAUAAAAGUUAAACCCAUUGGUUAUCCAUUUUUUAAGUGGAUAAUAUGGAUAUUAUCCAUAUUUGACCCAUUUUUAGAAAAUUGAUUAUCCAACUCAUUUUUUAGUGGAUAAUAUGGAUGGAUAACUAUUUAUUUAUCCAUUUUGCCGCCACUAAUCCCUUCUAAUAUCUAAAAUGUAGAAAAAUAACGGCAUCACUAAACAAAGCUUUAUACUGUGUUUAAUUUAGCUCAAAUGCCUUCGAUCAAUGCAAAUUAUGAAUUUUCACGGUUAAUUAUACACAUUAGGCUCAUCUCAUAAAAUUAGACAUUGGUUAACGUCGAAAUCAACAAUAAAAAGGCAAUUCUNNNNNNNNNNNNNNNNNNNNNNNNNAAUUGAGUCCUAAAAUUAUUCAUCACUAUUUAGUUCAAUUAUAAUCAAUAUAUCUUGGUAAAUGAUAGAUUUCUCAAAUAUUAAUUGGUUUGAUAGUGUUAUGUUGAAAAGGUAGUCGUCGGAAUAUGUGUUUGGUAGUGUAUGUCUCAUAUUUAAGAAAAAACGAUAAAUAACCGAAAAAUCGACAAAAACCGGCAUACACCAAAUCGAUAAAAAACCGACUUAAUUGGUCUGGUUUGGUUUCAAUAUUUGAAAAACCGACUUACUUGGUUUAAUUUCUUUUUAGAGAAAAACUGAUCCAAACCGAACCAUGAACACCCCUGAGUGUAAUACCAUAAAGUGGGGUCUGGGAGUGAUAAAGUAUACGCAUAUCUUACCCCUGUCUUGUGAAGGUAGAGAGGUUGUUUCUAAUAGACCCCCGACUCAAGGUAACAGUAAAGAAAACAGACACAACAAGUAGUAACAACAAUACGAUAAGGUGAUAAUUUGAUAGGGUAAGAAUAAUCAACAUAUAGUAAAAGAAACCUACGCAUAAUAAGGUAUGAAAAUAAGAGAUUAAUACUAAUGUUACCGACAUGGAAAGGAGACACUCCCGCCUAUCUACUAACCUUGUACCCUAAUUCUCAACCUUCAUACCCUCAUAUUAAAGGUCAUGUCCUCAUUAAGCUGAAGUUGCGCUAUGUAGGGCUGUCGAAUUUGGCCCAAGCCCAAAUAACCCGCCCAACCCGCCCAAGGUUGGACUGGCUAUUGACCUGUCCAUUUAUUGAAAUCAGCCCAUCUUGACCUAACUUAUCUCAACCCAUUUAAAAUUGGAUUGAUUUUUACCCAAAUUGAUCCAUGAGUAACUUUGUCAAAAUAUUUUAGAAAUAUUUUUUUUUAUUUGAUAUGUUAUAUAUGACCAUAACAAAAAAAAAAGUCUUAUUCAGUAAUUAUAUAAUUUAUAAGAAAAUAACACAUAUUAAGCACAACUUGAUAAGAGUUGGGCGGGUUGGGUUAUGACCCAAAUUUUAGCCUAUCUUGACCCAACCCAUCUUAACCCAAGUAACUUUUGGGCGGGUCAUUUGACCCGUUCAAUUAUUAACUCAACCCAUUUUGACCCGCCCAAAACCUGCCCAACCCCGCCCAUUUGACACCUUUAGCGCUACGUCAUGCCUAAUCACCUUUCCCUAAUAUUUUUUAGGCCUACCUCUACCUCUCAUCAACCCCAAUAUGGCCAACCUCUCGCACCUCCUUACUGGGGCAUCUAUGCUCCUCCUCUUCACAUGCACGUACCAUCUCAGCCUAGCUUCCCACAUCUUAUCCUCUAUGGAAGCCACUCCCACCUUGUCUCGGAAAACUUCAUUUAUAAUCUUAUCUCGCUUGGUAUGUCCAUACAUCCAUUUCAGCAUCCUCAUGUCUGCUACAUUUAUCUGUUGGACAUGGGUGUUCUUGACCGACCAAUACUGCACCCCAUACAACAUCGUCGGUCUAACCAUUACUCUGUAAAAUUUACUUUUGAGUCUUGGUGGAACCUUCUUAUCACACAAAACUCCGGAAGCGGGCCUUUAUUUCAUCCACUCCACUCCGAUCCGAUGCGCGAAAUCCUCGUCUCUCUCAAUUGCUAGAGAUUAUAUAUCUGAGGUACUUGAGACUCCUUUUAUUGGGGAUGACUUGUGAAUCUAGCCUCACUUUCACAUCCUCUUCAUGAGUCAUGCUGCUGAACUUACAUUACAAGUACUCUAUUUUAGUCUUGCUCAAGUUGAAACCUUUUGAUUCUAAGGUUCGUCUCCAGACCUCCAGCCUCACGUUAAUACCGCCUCAUGUCUCGUCAAUCAGUACUAUAUCAUCUGCAAAUAACAUGCACCAUGUCACCUCCCCUUGAAUAUGCUACGUUAAAACAUCCAUCACUAAGGCAAAUAAAAACGAGCUAAAAGCGAAUCCCUAAUGCAAACCCAUCACGACUCGAAAAUGUUCUAAGUUCCCUCCCACCGACCUAGCGCGGGCCUUAGCACCAUCAUACAUAUUCUGAAUUGCCCUAGUAUAUGCUCCAAGCACACCUCUAACCUCCAAACAUUUCUAUAGAACCUUCCUCGGACUUUGUCGUAAGCUUUUUCUAAGUCAAAGAAUACCAUGUGCAAGUCCUUAUUCCUAUCCCUAUAAUGCUCUACCAGUCUCCUAAUAAGAUGAAUGGCUUCAAUAAUCGACGUUCAAUUAGUCACCCGAAUCCUCAAUUUUCUCAAUUGGGGAUUUAGGGCUCAAAAUAAUAAUUAUCCAUUUUGAAUCUCAUAUUUUGAAUGCAAAAUCCAUAUAAAAAUAUGUAAUCAACUAAAGUAAGGGUUUAAAGUCAUUAUCUUAGUCUAAAUUAUGAGUACAUUGCUUAAAACCUUCAAACUCGUGAGUUACCUUGCCCAAAAUUGAAAACACACUUCUGAAAAUUGAUAAUAUCCUUUACAUAUCAAGGGGUCUUACAAUCACAUACAUUUUAUCGUUAUCACAAAACUAUGUGGGUUAGGUUUCCCACGCCAUGAUGGCAACCUCUCGCGAUCGUGAGACUAGUUGGGCCAAGCAUGUCUGCGACUGUGGACUUCCUCCUCGCUAUUGCAUAAGUCAACAAAGUUGACUAAGUCCACCUAAGUCUUCUCUUUCUGCGAACGCAGCCCACGUUCCGCGAUUACGAUUGUUGAUACCCAAUUUUGUUUUCAUAUUUUUUAAAAUAUCAUUUCACAUUAUUACCCAAUUUGCAAGAGUCAUAUAAAUAUUUUCCAUAAUGUUUAAAGCUUUAAAGUUGAUUUUCUUGUAUUUAAAUUGUUCAAAUAUUUAUUAACUAUCCUUUCAAAUUAUUUUGUGAUGACUUAAUCAUCUAAAUUUAUUAUUUACACCCAUAUUUAUGUUUUAUAAUAUUUUACUUCAUUUCAUAUAAUUACAUUUGUAUUUUUUUUAGCUAUUUACACAAUUUUUGUAAUAAUAACCUAUAUUAUAUACAUAAUUAUAUUUAUUAUAUUAUUUAUUCCAAAAUUGCAUUUUUAUAUUUUUUAUAAUGUUAAUCUAUUAUUUUCAAGCAUUUUACUGCAUAAAUAAUAUUUUUAUUAUUUAUUAAUUACUUUUAUAAAUUAUUUUUAAUAAAUUGUGUAUAUUUAAAUUAUGGUCCAAUUUUUUGAGCUAAUUUCGGACUCAAAACCUAGCCCAAUAGCCCCAAGACCAAACCAGACGACCCUUUUAAUGAACCUGAUCGGUACCCAUUUAAACGACUUGCCCCAUUCUUUCCUUCUAUCUCAACCGUUGAUCUCAGAGAUCAACGACCCACAAACCAUCUCCCAUCUUUAAUUAACCAACCCCAAGCCCUAACACCCAUUUCCCUCUGAGCCGCUGCCCCCAAACACUCUCAACUCUCCCCGCCUCCCUUAUCCUCUCCAACUCCGACGCUAAUAUGGAACCUCCUCGUGAUUUUCCUUCCAUAUAUGCCCGAUCUCUUCGUUACUUACAUGGUUAUGGUAUCACGUAAUACUUGUCUAUUUUUGGCCAGUACCAGGUCUUGAAUCAAGUACAACCGUCUCCAGAUUUUUAAGAUCUGGACGGUGUUUCGUCUAUAUGCAUCCAUAGCAAGGUUAUAUGGGUCUGAUUCAGUGAGAUUCUCCGACUAUUUUGUUCUUCAUCUGGAACUAGGGUUUACCCGAUUUUCUCCUAAACUAAUUGUGAAUUGAUUUGCAUGUUUCUCUUUCCUUAUUGGUGUUUGAUUAACUAUGUUUCCUUAUUUGUUCGUUCAAUUGUUACUACUAUAUAAACCCUCUUCCACAUUCCCCUUCUAAGUCUUAACAACGAUUACUUAACUACUGUUACCACUACUAUUCUCUCACUGUCACUAAUUCUAUACUAUUUUGAGACUUUUGAUUUUGGCCGGCUGGAAGCCAAGGCCACUGAAAUCCGUUCAUCAGCCUCCUCUAGCGCAAGCACUGCUCGGAGUCCACUUCGAGGCUCGCGUGAACUCUGAAGCACUGGAGAUUUGGGGUUUCAUUGUUCUCUUACAAUCGUCGCUAUUUAUGAGAUUUUGAGUUUCUCAUUCUUUGUUCGAUUUGUUUGCAACUGGUUAGUACUUUAUACCCUCGCAUCCUACUUCUUUUUGUUUGUGUUUAUGUUAUGUGCACUAGUGCUACUUGGAUUUCCUUGAGUUAAUUUCGUUAUUAAGCCACUUCUUAUACAAGUCUGUUCGUCUUAAUACUAUUAUGCAGUGUCAAUAGCUUCAACUCUGUUCAAAUCUUGAUUUUUGCGUAAUUAGCUAAGUUGAUUCAUGAUGUUUUCUUGGUUCGUAAUUAAACCUGAUUAAUGCUUGUUGCACUUUGUUUUGAUUUCUUAUACUAAAACCCUUAGGAAACUAUGUCCUUGCUCAGAAUUGCUCUCUUCCUAUUGAAUUCUUUAUGCAUAACUUGUUAUUUCUCUGCAAAUCAUGUGACAAUACUGCCUAAAUGCUUAGCCUAAUAUUUUCUCUUGCCACUGCUAGCUUUAAUGCAUGCCCAUUAUAUGUGUCCAACCUGAUUGAUUUCUAAUCAUAAUGUUUAUGUAUAGCGGGUUACUUAUACUUGUUUCUUGUCAUGAUUAUAUGCCUUAGAUUCUUGUGAGGAACUAAUUUAUGCUCAGAAUUUGUCCAAAUGAACUACUUUUCUGUCGAGUCCUUCAUGUACAAUCUGCUAUUUUCUUAGAGUCAAUUCAUGAGGAACUUAUAUUCUAAUACUAUCCCAACUAGGUCUCUUUGCUGUUUAUAAACUCUAAUGCCAUGCUAUCACUAUGUGCUCACUAAUUGCUUAAGACUACUAGGAGGAUUCUCAUUAUGUUCAACUUAUUCUUCCUAUAUGGUCAACUGGGAUAGUCCUAAUGUCUGUUUGACAUGUUAGUCUUGAAUUAAUGGGUCUUCCUACUAUGAUAUCUUUGGACUUGAGGAUAUUUGUGUUACACUCAGCAUUAUUAGGCUCCAUAUUGAUUGUUUGCUUGUCUGUUUGUUAUUUGUAAUUGUCAUUCCCUGACUAUGACUCUGUUUGACCUUCAUAACUUAGACUCCUGAGUUUAAAAUCCUUUUUAGGAUAAUUAUAGACCAUGCUCCAUUCUGAACUCAUUUGGCAUGUACAUCUUAUAUAUGUUUCCCCUGUAAUCCCAAAUUACAUGUUUCCCCUACUCUGUCUCAAUGUGUUGUUCAUGCUCAACAUGUUAUCCCCUGCUAAAUGAUUGAACCUGUAAUGUUAGUUUUCCAUACCAAACUUGCCAUGUUGAAGCUAAGCCUUAUUGAUUCUCUCAGUUUUCAUGUUCUUUUGCUUAAUCAAUCAUGUCACGCUUGCUUCUAAAAUACAAAAUACACUUUCCUAUAAAUUUUGUCAUCUAGUCGCUGUUAGUAGGUCCCAAAAUCCUUUAAGUGAUUGCUAUAUGUGGUUUGUUAGUUUAUUUAGUUAAUUUGUUAAUUCGCAAUUACUGGGUAAGUGGGACUCCAUCUGGGCUUGAUAUGGGUCUAAGUGUGGGCCUAAGCUAUGCAAUCGAUACACUCCAGUGUUUGAGCUGAGUUUGGGUCUAGGUCUGCUACUUGUGUGAGGAGCGAGUCUGUUGAAGGCCAAGGUAGUGUUGGUUUAUUUUUUCUUGGGUCUGCUCUAUUUAUUGGGCCUAUAGUCAUCUCGAUUUUAUAAUAUUUGAGUUUGUUUCUUCUUUUAUCUUUGGGCAUGUAAUAAUUUGUAAACAAACAAUGUGGGAAUUAGUGAAAAGGGGGUUGGGAAUCCUAAUUCUUGCAUAAACGGGUAGAAAACCUGUCUAUAGGAUUUCCUUGCUAUUUGUUUGACGUGAUACACAUAGAAAUCAUGCCUAUAGGAAAUCACACACUUCACUUAACUUGUCUAAUACCUAUACACUAUUCACAACAUAAUUGGUUUGAGUAAAUGUUGUACCUGUUUCCAUGUCUACUAUUGUGCACUAUUAGACAACAUAUAUGUAGGAACCAAACGCCAAUAACUACUUGUUUAAUAUUAGACAACAUACUUAUAGGCUGUAACAAUACAUGCCUUUGCUAAUGCUCAUCUAGAUACCAUGACUAUAUGGCAAUUAAUUAACUAAUCAACUAUUUCUGUUGUUUUAUUGUACUGCCCGCCUAGACGACAUGCUUAUAGGAAUAAGUAUGAUAAAAUCAAGUUCAAAUACAAAUUGUUAGAAAUCCUGCCUAUAGGAUACGGUUACUCGCCAAGAAAACAUGUCUAUAGAAUCAAAUGCUGGUAAUCCUGAGUUCAAACGAUUUUACUGCUUCAUCGUUCAAGCAACUUAGAUAUCAUGCCCAUAGGGUUCAUAAUACCUGUAAUAUGCAAAUUCGUUAGUCUAAAAUAGCAGUACUGCCUGUAAGAUACUUGAAAUCAGAAUCACAUAGAAUCCAUACCUACAUGACUUAAUGACUCUAAUGCGUCUUAAUUCUAAAACUGUUUACUGCCUAAUAUAAGAAUCUGCCCGGGUGCAUUUGUUGCUUAUGUGUGAAGUCUAACUUGAGUCACUUAUUGUCUUUACGUGUAGUCCUACAUGUUUUGAAUGUGUACCUAGUUUUAUCAUUUUUGAGUACCUUAUGUAAAGUUUAGAACCACCCAAAUCGUAGGUCCAAAGCCUCCUGGACCAUAGGCAUGGGACGGGUAGCGCACGCAUAGGAUACAAUUUAGAAUUGAAUUAGAGCGCUCUAAGUAAACAACUUUAACAUAGUAAUUAGGUAGCAGGAGAUGUGUCAUGCCCCGACCUAGGGAAGAGCGACCGACGCUCAAUCGAGAUACCCCGGUUAAGCAAGCCUGCUAGAUGCCUUCUACCCAACCUUGCCCAUUAACAAUAUAAGAAUCAGUACAAGUGAUAGACAUGAGAAGAGUCAAGUGUUCCUCAUUCUUUUUCCAUUACUCAAAGGAUAUUCAUUUACGAUUCCCAAAAUAUUACAAGUUUAUAGAUAUGAUGAAAAACAGGUUUGCCAAAUACCAACACUUCUAGUUUUAUUCCCAACAUCAGACACCACCCACAACCUGUCUACGGAGCCUCUAAGUAAAACAGAAAUGAAGAAUGGAAGUGUCGGUGACAAGGCCCCGGCUAUACCUCAAAGCACAAAAUACAAUGUCAAUUGACGUAAAGCCCGGAACAGAGAAGGGCUAACUGAAACCUACUGAAUAGGGAGUAACUGCUAUUGAGGAUCAAGACCGCCCACUGAUGAACCACCUGCAUCCAUUGAAGAUGCAGCGCCCCCGAAAAAAAAGACAUUAGUACAUGUGGAAUAGUACUAGUAUGUAAAGCUAAAUGUCCCUCUUUCGAAAUAGAACACCAAUAUAAGAAGGGGGAAAAACUAUGGAAACAAUAAGUUACAAUCAUCUAUAUCUAAAUGCCAAGUUUAAAACAUAACAAUUUUUAAAAUACAGAUAUAAUAUAUAUUUUUGGUUGGGAGAUCAUUAGCACCGAUAUACCAUCGUGUUUUUAGCAUGGAGUCCGAUCUCCACCCGAUCGGCUAGGCCAUCUUACCCAAAGACAUUUGAUCUACACAAAGAGGCACCGCCGUCUCACCCCAAUGUGUGCAGGUGGAGGUGCAAUCACAAUCAUAAUCUCAAUCACAAUUUCAGUUACAGUUCCUAGCAUAAUCACCAACAUGUGUGCAACAUGGCGUCCGAUCACGACCCAACUGGAUAGGCCGUCUCACCACAAUGCAGUGUGGAUCGACAUCACCCUUUUCUAGCAAUCAUCUCAUCCCAAUAAAGGGGAACAUUAUCAUCACAUCAAUCUCAUCCCAAAUAAGUGGAAUAAUCAUAAUGCACUCCUACACCGGCACGUGUAAUUUCGGGGUUAGAUUAUUUCAACCUACCCUUCCUUGGUGACUAACGAUAUUUCAAAAAUAUUUUGUUUUGCACACAAGGGAAACAAAAGUAUAAAUAUAUUUUAUAUUCACCUCAUAACCUUUCACAAUAUAAAUAACUUCAUUAGUACUUUCAACAAUUCACAACAUCAUUAUUUCCUUGGCUCUCUUGGCCAUACUUAUGAUUCAUCAUUCAUGGCAUGUUGGUCGUAUUUCGUAUUCCACAUUUUUCAUUCCUUGACUUUCCAUGAUCAUCAUCACAAGCAUCAACACAUAGAAUAUUUUGGAAAUCAUAAUUUUAAGUUCAUCAGUAGUGGAGGCUUUAAACACAUUAGAUCCCUUUCCAAAGCAUGGAGCACAAUGACUUGUAAUCACAACACGAUUAAAAAAUCAUAAACGAGUGAAACACUGUAUCUUCUUAAAUACUUCUUUACAAAAGGCAAUACACAAUUUCAACUCUUGAGUAUGUAAGAACUCAAAUCACAAUGAAAAUAUUUAUAAAGGAGAGCAUGGUGAUUUACGAUAUACACACGACUUCAAAUCAAAUGCACUAGUUACAACAACCAUGGCCACAUUUUAUAUUUCACUCUUAGUUCUUUCACUUUUAAGCAUAUUUAUAGAUCAUCAUCAAAAGAGCAUUUGGGAUCAAGGCCUUAAGCAUAAAUAUGAGCAAUAGGGGUCUUAUGUGCAUUGAGUUUUCUUUCACAAAUGGGCAUAACAACUUGCAAUUUAAAUAUGAUUUGAAAUCAUACUAUCUCGACAUAUUGGGUACACUAGGAUACAUUACCGACGGAGAACACAAGAAGAUGGGAGAAUUUGGUGCACAUUUUUAGUAUAUAUCUUUCAACACAAGCUUAUUCGGAAUAGUCAAAUAUAUAAUAAAUAACUCGGAACAUGGAAAUUAGGAACUUGGGCCAACCAUACUUGAAACUUACGGGAACAUCAUGGAAUUCGAUUCCAACAGAGAAGUUUAGUCAACAUACCUUGCUUGAGCAUUCCUUAAGUUACUACAAUAUCCCAACACUCCUAGCAAUAACAAUCUAUAGGAAGAUAGCGAAACUCAGAUUAUAAUUAGAAGGAUUCACAUGGUGUAACUCUCUUAGGAAUUUUGUCAAACACCUAGUAUGCAAAAUAGACUACAAAGCUCUACAAUGGUAAUCCCUUCCUCCCUCAACCAGUUUCAACAAUAAACUAUCCAAAUUGUUCAUUAACCCCACAUACUACAACCUAUUGUCACUUGCAUGGCCUAUUUCCAACCCCACAAUAUACUUGAACUCAUAACCUCUUGCAUGAAAGCUUAGGAGUAGGACUUAAUCGGAUAGAUGAUAAUCUAGUGAUUGGAUUUCUUGAUUCUUGAAGAUUGGUGCAAGAAUAUGUGAUUAGAAUGCUAGAUUUCCUCCCCCUCUCUCUAAAAUAUUCUUACCUCUCUCUAAAAUCAUCAGACAUUCGCUUCAAAAUGAGCCCCUAAGGCUAUUUAUCAAAAAUGGGACCGGGUUAUAAAAAUAGGAAACUGGACCCUUCGAACUCAGGUCUGCGAUCGCAAAAGGGACUGCAGAACAGAUAUGCGGCCUGCAAAAUGGACCGCAAAAAUGAUGCCAAAACUGGGUUGGUCUGGACCAGUCUGCGAUAGGUCUGUGGUCUGCAGACCGCUUAUGCGGCCGUAGAGUGGACCGCAGAAUCACUCUCCAAAAUUCUUCAUGCCAAAUUUGCGACGGAUGUGCAGACCACGAAACAACUAUGCGAUCCCAUAAUAGACCGCAAAACAACCUUCAAAAUUCAACAAAUUCUCUGCUCAACUCCGCGAUAAUUAUGUGGCCCACGAAAUGGGUCUUCGGUCGCGAAAUUGAUCGCAGAAUCGCCUUUUUCAGCCAAAAAUUUCCAUAAACUCAGUGCAUUCUUCAACCCAAAAAACGUCAGUACCGCGACCUUUUACGGGGUCACAAAACCUCAAAUUCCUUGGCGAAAUUUACGGGGCCUUACAAGAUGAUAGUUUGUGCUCGCUGAAUAAUAUGAGCAACCCCUACCCUAAGGGAGUUGUGAAGUAUUAUUUAUGUUGCACGGGGUGGCCCUUUAGGCUAAAAAACUUAGGACCCCCUCCUUUAUAUGUUUAUUGUUCGCACUGUGAAUAAUUAAGUUGUAUCCUGUAACUUCUAAAGACUUGUACUGAUUAUUUAUAUAUUUUAAUUCUUGUGCGAUUUUCUUUACACUUGUUUAUAUUAUAGUAGAACUUUUAUAUUCCUUAUCUUCCCUUACUUAUAUGAUCAUAUAGGACAAUUAUAAUCUGAUAAUCCCACGUAGCAUAAACUUCGGUCGCGACCUACAGUUGUGGACCACGAAGAGUGCCUAACACCUUCUCUUUGAGGUAAUUUGAGCCCUACCCGAUCUUUGGUGACGUAGACUAGAUAAACACAGUUAUUUGCAAAUAGGUGCCCUAAUGACUAGCGCAAAACACACACUUAAAUAUGCUCGCUAGUCGAAUAUAGUAUAAUAUAAUAUCGGAUCCACAAGGAUUGGAGUUAAAUAAUAUUAUCGUAGUUUGUAGCUAGAUUGCUAUCCAAGAUGAUAAAAAAUUGAGAAUUAUAUGAUUAAAAACUACAAUUAACUAAGAAUCUACGGUUAUUGACUAAUGACAAGUGAACAAAAGUGAGUAAGGAAGAUAUCAAUGGGGAAAAAAUAGGGGUUGAUUGGAUAGGUACAAGAUACUUGUCUGGGAUUUAACUCUAGUUAAUUCACUUCUAAGGUUCAAGCGAGUCUCUCAAAUUUACUCUAUUAUUAGUUCGAAUGUUCAGUAGAAACUCCUCUCUCGAUUAAAGUUCAACCUCACAAUAUGAACUAAGUUAAGCUCGGUGAAGAUAUGCAAGAAUUCGUAGUGGAUUGGUUUGUAAGAGAACCUCUUUCGAUUAUUUUCCUAAGUAACUCUAAACAAUAAUUCAACUAGCCUCUUUCGAUUACUAAGAAGAAUCAAUAAAUUCAACCAACAAGAUAAUGCAAAAACAUCACAAGUUAUGCCUUUUUUGAUUACAUAAACAUGUGAAAAUAGAUGCAAUAAUUAAAACAUCCAAAACGAUUCAAUACAUAAAAACUAGAGUUAAUAUCUACAAACAAUUCUCAAAACGCCAAAUCCAUCAAUCCCUAAAGAAGAAUUACUCCAUAGAUAUGGAGGAAUUCAUCACAAAUAAGUUUGAGUUAAAGAAAAAUAUAAAACAAUCCAAACCCUUGUCUUGAGUGUGGAUUGAAGGAUGAAAUCCAUGUGCUCUUGCUUCUCCCACUUCUCCUUAGACUCCUUAGGUCUAAAGUAUGUCAAAAGUCCUCAAAAUACCGUUUUCCAUGUAUAUAUACCAAGUAGGGUCGGGCCCAAACAAACACACCUUCUCCUUCACGAAAUAGGACUUUUCCUGUGCAGGUCGUGCGCGCCCAGUUCGUGGUCGCGCACCUGGGUGAUGUCCGACUCGAUUCUUCGUUUCUCUUUUUGAAUGCACUAGUGUUCGUUGAUCCCCGAACUCGAUUCCAACUUAAUCCCUGUGCUUUUACUCAGACUUCAAACCUCCAAAAUAGCAUGAAUUCAUCCCAUAACAUCUACAUAGCUCGGAAUCAUUCCUACAAGGCAUAAAACAUACAAUAAGUGCAAAAUACUCACAGUUAAAGCUCAAACUCAAUUAAAGUGCAGUAAAUUAGAGUGCAAUAAGCAACUAAAACACGCAAUUAUAACCUACCAUCAACACCCCACACUUAAACCAUUGCUCGUCUUCGAGCAAUCAAACUACACUUUAUAAAGACAUGACCUUUUUAAACAACUCCCAUAACUCAUCAUACCAAGAAUAUUUAAAAUAGAUUAAGCACAAUAGUGUAACAUCCUAGCCUCAACAUUUGACUCGCAAGUACCAUGCAUUAUUUACAACUCACCCACUUACUCUAAACUAGAGGUCAACGAUAUUACCUUUCCUUCAUGAAUCAAGUGCCCUCACACAACAAUAGAGAGUAGUUCCACACACCAUAGAAAUUAAGAACAAUUAGGAACUCAAGAUAGAAAGAAUUCGCUCACUCUCAGAAACAAUAUUCAUAUGCCACAAAAGAUGAACCAUAGACUUGCCCGUAGCGUACUACUCCACUAAUUGAGCUCGUUCAAUCAAGUAUCAAGUAGGACUUUAAUUAGUUGUAAUGUAGGCUGCAGGACAGGUAUAAUACAUUUGAAUAUAAGAGUGACUACACCUCCCUAAGCACUUUAAUACAUACAUUUUAACAUUUAAAACCCCACACUUAUGUUGAACCAUAACUCCACCUUCACAUCAAUAUAUAUUAUGUCCCUACUUCUUUAAGCACAAUUACAUCCAAGAGUUACCACUAUCAAGGAAUAUGUUUCAUAAUAAUACAACUAUAUUUUUUUCUUUCUCAAAUUAAGUGGCUCUUACUUUUUUCAAAACAGUGCACCUUUCUCCUUAUUUCAUUAGUUCCAUUCAAAAACCAACCCAAUCACCCCACACUUCAACUUUUACAAAGUUCAUAACAAUUUCAAGUGCUCACGAGAGGUAAAAGGUUCAAAUAAAUGGUUAAUUCAACCAAAUGGGUAAGGCUUGUAAUGUGGUUACCAAAUAAACAUGAUUACAUGCUCAACGGGGUUAACUAAGAUACAUAACAAUUUGGUGGGUAAGCGCAUAUCUCUGGCUCAACAAAGAAAUGCUUAUAUCCUUUCUAAGACUGAACAAAACUACUAUUUCUCUUUGCAAAUACACGGGGUAAGUUCUAGACAUCAAAUGUAAUGCACCAAAUAACACAAAUUCUCACACACAUAUGGCACAUAACUCAAUCAAGAUUGGAUUAUCUAGACACUCUAGUCAACGUAGUUAAGCAAAGUUAGGAUCAUACAAUUUAAGGUACUUAUACAAGAGUCAAAAAUUGAGCCUAAGUGUCACAACUAAAGCACUCACUAUUCUCAAGGUAUAAUAAAGUUAAGAGCCAUUGUCUUCAAUUCAGCUCUCAACACAAGGCUUCCUAUUCCUAACCAAAAAUAAAACUAACCACACCCGGUUCAAUCAAAACCAUUGGAAAAGAACCGCGGCACAAAGAAAAAAACCAAGGGGAAAUUAAUACACUACCUAACAAAAUAAAAUAUUUUUGUCUUUUUCUUUCGACUUUAAUCCCUCAAGAAACCUGUCGAAUGAUAUCCAUCAUCGGAAAGAAUCAAAAAAUUUAAAUUUUUUAUGGUUUUCCAAAUUUUUUCUAUCAAACUACUACAACUAACCAAAAGAAACUAACCAAAUUAAUAUACAUACAAAAUACAUACAAAAAGAUCCCCCACCCCACACUUUAAGUUGUGGCAUGUCCCCAUGACAGACAAUUAAAAUGCAUAACGUAGAGGAACUUUCCCCGAAUCUCUAGUCGGGGUCUGAGUCAAAGUCGGGCUCCAUCCUUCUCGCUCAAACUAGUGCACACAUCCACGCAGAUAACUUCUUCUCAGCCUUCUUAGGGUACACCCCACACUUGUCUUUCUCAUUCACUGGGACCUUCUCUUUCGAGCUUUUCACUCUCCACUCUACACUUGCAGCUGACUUCCCCUUUCUCACCCCCAUCUCUACAUUCAUCUCGAAAGUCACCGUCUCUUCACCCACUCUAAGCAUGAGCUUUCUAUCAUGUAUGUCUAAUAUUGCUUUGCCCGUCUCUAAGAAUGGUCUUCCUAAGAUAAGGGGGACCUCUUUGUUCUCCUCCAUCUUCACCAUAAUUAAAUCUACAGGAAAUACAAACUUAUCUACCCGAACUAAGACAUCUUCAACUAUCCCCUCAGGUAUCAAAGUUGUUUGGUAGGCCAGCUGCAAAGAUAUUGGUGCAGACUUUAUCUCUCCAAGCUCAUUCUCUAAUUUCCUGUAAAUAGACAAAGGCAUUAAAUUAAUUGAGGCACCAGAAUCACAUAAAAAUUUAUCAAAAUUAAGAGUGCCUAACGAGCAAGGUAUAAUAAAACUCCCUGGAUCUCCACACUUUUGUGGGAGUUUGUUUUGCAAGAUUGCACUACAAUGAUCGGUGAGUUUGACCACUGAAGUCUCUUCUAUCUUCCUUUUCUUUGUAAGGAUCUCCUUCAAGAAUUUGGCAUAAGUUGGCAUUUGUGAGAGAACUUCUGUGAAUGGAAAAUUUAGAUUAAUCUGUCUUAGCAUAUCUAGAAAUCUCUCAAACUACUUGUCCAACUUUUCUCUAUAAAGCUUUUGGGGAAAAGGUAGAGCAAGCAUAUGCUCGCUCUCAUUAGAUUCCUCAAUUCUUGAAGUUUUCUCCUUCUUUUUCUCAGCUCCCUUCUUUCCUUUCUUCUUCUUAUCAACUUCAUUUUUCAGCUGCUCCUCAACUUCUUUUUCAGGUACACUCUCUUUUUGGACUGGAGUGGGAUCUUUCAAUACUUGCCCACUUCUCAAGGUCACAACAUUUAUCGUUUCUUUGGAGUUUAUUUCAGUGUUAGCUGGUAGAGUACCUGGGAUUCUCUCAGACAAUGCAAUUGCAAUUUGCCCCACUUGCUUCUCCAAAAUUCGCAAACCAGUGCCAAGUUCUUUGAUAGCUGAACCAUGAGCAUCUAAUCUCUAAUCUGUCUUGACAAUAAAGGACUUUAUUAGAUCUUAUAACCCAGACUGAAUUGGUUGUUGAGGCUGGAACUGUGGCCUCGACUGGUUCACAAAACCAGGAGCUCCUUGAAAUCUGGGAUUGUUUUGUUGCCAUGCAUUUGCAUUACCCCCAGGUGAACUCCACAAAAAAUCGGGGUGCUUCUGACCCAUUGCAUUGAAGUUAUAGUUCCCAACAACAUUAACUUCCUCGAUUGAGGCUUGAUACUCAUGAGUAGGGUGCCCUCUUCCACAUAUAUCACACGCUGCAUGGAGCUCACUGUGUAUCGAGGCUAAGGUCAGGCUCCUUAUUUCCUUGGCCAUGGCAUCAAGAUUUACCUGCACAAAUGUGUUAGCAUCAACUUGGUGAACACCAGUUGAUCUUCUUCUUUUAGCAUUUCAGAGGGCCACUAAUUUGCAUCUUCGGAUAACUCAUUCAAAACUAUGACUAUUUCCUCUAGAGUCUUCUUCAUCAACAGACCUCCAGCUGGGUUGCUCAAUGUUCUGAGUGAGGCUGGUGUCAAUCCAUCCCAAAAAUCCUGGAGUUGCAUCCAAAGUUCAAUUCCUCUAUGUUGACACUUUUGCACUAUCUCCUUAAACCUCUCCCAAGCUUCAAACACAGUUUUAGUCUCGUUCUAACAAAAGUUAUGGAUUUUUCUUCUAAACUUGCCCGUCUUAGCUGAUGAGAAAUAUUUGUCAAGAAAUUUUCUUAUUAUCUCAUCCCAUGUUCUAAUCGAUCCAUUAGGCAAGCUUCGAAUCCAGUGCUUAGCAUCAUCCUUGAGUGUGAAGGGGAAUGCCCUUAAGUAGACUGCAUCUUGUAACACACCAUUGUAUUGAAAGGUGUUCAUAAUCUCCUCGAAGUCCAUCAGAUGAUUGUUUGGAUCUUCGUUCAUCUUUCCUCUGAAAACGUAGCUGUUUUGAAGAGUUUGGAGCAAUCCUUGCUUUAACUCAAAAUUGUUAGCUGCAACUUGAAGUGGUCUCACACUUGAUAAACCUUAUUUUUAGACUGGUCUAGCAUAAUCUCCAAGUGGUCUCCUAGCACCGGGAGCUAUAUUUUCGAAUUGGUCUGCAGCCAAAGGUUGAUUCGGAGCCAUUCUCCGAGCCGUCUCCUCUUCGUAGAAAGGUUGUGCAUUUCGAAGAGCUGUCUCCUCAGCAUCUCGUACAGUUUUUUCUCUUUGUUGGGCUGCCUCUCUUGUAGCCAAAUCAACAUUAUCCUCAUCUCCUGGCAUUAUUUCUUUGGUUGAGGAUUGCCCAACCUUUUCUGUAUUCUAGGAGAUAUCUUUUUCCUUCCUUAGCUAUCGCAGUUGUUUCUCAAUUUUUGGUUCGUAGGGUAGCAAUUCUCUCCCAGAAGAUCGAGUCAUGCAUCAAUCUAACAUGUAGCUUGCGCACAAUCAAGGAACACCAAACGUAAAAAGAGAAAAAUAAAAUAAAAGAACAAUUCCUGAAUUAGCACUACAAACUAUUUCAAACACUAUUGAUUGCCAAUCCCCGACAACGACACCAAAAUUUGACGAGUGCAAAACACCAACUUAAAUAUGCUUGCUAGUCGAAUAUAGUAUAAUAUAAUAUCGUAUUCACAUAGAUUUAGUUAAACAGUAUUAUCAUAGUUUAUAGCUAGAUUGCUAUCCAAGAUGAUCAAUAAUUAAGAAUUAUAUAAUUAAAAACUACAAUUAACUAAGAAUCUAUAGUUAUUGACUAAUGACAAAUGAACAAAAGUGAGCAAGAAAGAUAUCAAUGGGGGAAAAUAUGGGUUGAUUGGAUAGGUACAAAAUACUUGUCUGGGAUUUAGCUCUAGUUAAUUCACUUCUAAGGUUCAAGAGAGUCUCUCGAAUUCACUCUAUUAUUAGUUCGAAUGUUCAGUAGAAACUCCUCUCUCGAUUAAAGUUUAACCUCCCAGUAUGAACUAAGUUAAGCUCGGUGAAGAUAUGCAAGAAUUCGUAGUGGAUUGGUUUGUAAGAGAACCUAUUUCGAUCAUUCUCCUAACUAGGUCUAAACAAUAAUUAAACUAGCCUCUUUUGAUUACAAAGAAGAAUCAAUGAAUUAAACCAACAAGAUAAUGCAAAAACAUCACAAGUUACACCUCUUUCGAUUACAUAAAAAUGUGAAAAUAGAUGCAAUAAUUAAAAUACCCAAAAUGAUUCAAUACAUAAAAACUAGAGUUAAUAUCCACAAACAAUUCUCAAAACACCAAAUCCAUCAAUUCUAAAGAAGAAUUACUCCAUAGAUAUGGAGGAAUUCAUCACAAAUAAGUUUGAGUUAAAGGAAAACAUAAAACAAUCCAAACCCUUGUCUUGAGUGUAGAUUGAAGGAUGAAAUCCCUAUGCUCUUGCUUCUCCCACUUCUCCUUAGACUCCUUAGAUCUAAAGUAUGUUAAAAGUUCUCAAAAUACCGUUUUUCCAUGUAUAUAUACCAAGUAGGGUUGGGCCCAAACAAACACACCUUCUUCUUCACGAAAUAUGACUUUUCCCGAGAAGGACGUGCGCGGUUGCGCACCUGGGAAGGUGCUCGCACAUUAGGCCACGCACUUUGGAUGGUCCACUUCCUCACAUGCACACCCAGUGCGCGCCCAAUGCGCGGUUGCGCACCUUGGUGACGUCCAGCUCGAUUCUUCGUUUCUCUUUUUGAAUGCACUAGUGUCCGUUGAUCCCCGAACUCAAUUCCAACUUAAUCCUUGGGCUUUUACUCAGACUUCAAAGCUCCAAAAUAGCAUGAAUUCAUUCCAUAACAUCUACAUAGAUCGAAAUCACUCCUACAAGGCAUAAAACACACAAUAAGUGCGAAACACUAAUAGUUAAAGCUCAAACUCAAUUCAAAUGCAGUAAAUUAGAGUGCAAUAAGCCACUAAAAUACAUAAUUAUAGCCUACCAUCACCUAACACACCUUAAAACCGUUAGGUGGCGACUCUUCUUUUUUAAUAUCCAUUUAAAAGAGUUGUCACAUGUCGAAACCCGCUUUCAAAAGGAAAAGGGCGCUACAGUAUGGCGACUCUGUUGGGGAUAUACUUAGGCUCUUACCAUAAUGAAGUUGACUUAUGUGGAUUAACGGAUUAUUUGAUAACAUGCAAAUCCCUUACCUUAUUUUUCUUUAUUUGUUUAAAUUGCUAUGAUAGAUACAUCCCCUCCCUGUUUCCCUUACUUGCUUAAACUGCUAUGACAUAUACAUCCCCUCUCCAUUUCCUUUAUCUUGUUUAAGGCUUCUAUAUCAUGUAUCUCCCACCCUAUCCCUCCCUAUUUGCUUCAUUUAAUUACGUUCUCGUACAUUUUUAUCAGUUAAACCGACUUCUUUCUUUUGUCAUUCCUUUUUCUUUUCUUUCUCUUGUUCAUAUUAUUUACUGUUUUACGCACUUUCAUCGUGUAAAUAUCUGGUAACGUGUUACUCUUUUUUCAUAAAGCAUGCUUUCAGUAUCAUACUCCACUCGUGCUUAUUAUCAAUAUAGCAGCGCUUGAUGGGUGUCCGCGCUUUCCUAAAAAUACCAUUUUAAAUCGGAAAGGCUUAUUAGCGGUAGACUAGUCGAUCAGCGGUGCAGUCGACGGUCCCUUGCCUUUCUCUCUCAAGUUGCCCACUUGAGAGUACCAGUCUAGACCCUUCUAGAAACCACACUUUGAUUUGAAAUGUACAUGCAUCAUGCUAAACCUAGUACGAAUUGAGACGUCAUUGACACAUCAACCCGCUUAGAUGAACCUUGUCCAAAGUCUAACGGGAUUUCCAUAAUCCCAAAGGACACCAUCAUAUUAAGUGCAUUACUUGGAGAAAACGUGCCAACAUAUUGAUUAUUAUUGCGUAAAUAGUUGAAUAUGGAGGGGGAAAGGUCUAACUUUUAUUUGUUUCAGAAAAUGAAGCAAGAAAUCCCCAUGAUUGGUAUGGUCCAGAAUAUCCUGCCUCUGCUAAUUGACUGGUGGAACAACCUUUCACCCUGUGAUAGAAACCAUGUAAGAAGAAUACUGGGUAACCUGUUAUCUUUGCUGAAUAUUCAACCCAACAGGGGACUAAUUGAGGCAGCCACCAUGUUCUGGGAUGAAAAGAGAGUUGUUUUCUGAUUUAGAAAUAUAGAAAUGACUCUUCUCCCGGAAAAAGUAGGGGGCUUCGCUAAGUUACCAUGGGAUAGUCCGGGUCUAUUAGUGUUAGAAAAUCGCACCCCACGCGAUUUUCUGAAGAUGUUGGGUUUUAAGAAGAAUGACGAACUGGUCUGCCUGAAAAAAUAUACAUCCCCUUUGAAUUUCUAUAUAAGCAAUAUGGCCAUAGAAUAUCAUAUCGCCUGCAUCAUGAGGAGCUAGUCAUUACCUCUUUUGGAUGGGUGCACCGCCAGGUCUAUGUCUUCAUAGUCAAUUUCUUAGGUUUGUUGAUCUUUUCAAUGCAAGGGGGAAGAAUUCACACUCGCUUAGCCAUGGUCGCUAGGACCUUGAUGGAGGGUAUCGAGGGGAAGAAAUACACUAUCAUCCCAAUAAUCUUAGCUGAGAUGUACCGUUCUCUGUAUCGGUGCAAGCAUGGGUUCGGACACUUUGAGGCUUGUAAUCUCUUACUACAAGUUUAGCUGCUAGAACACUUUCAGAUGGGUGAUUAUCGCCAAGAGCUUCUACACAAGCCACUGAACGACUACAUAGCCAGUCAUCAUCCAAAGAAGAUGACAUUCAUUCCAGACAGGUUUGCAAAUCUUGGAAAUGUUAUAAGCUGGGUGCAUUUUUUCAGUAAUCUGACAGACGAGCAAGUGCAUUAGAUAUUUGAGUGGUUUCCUAAUAGCGAGUUCAUCAUUAUGUCCAAAGGAACCACUCACUUGGUACUGAUCGGGCUGCGAGGCAUCUACCUUUACACUCCUAUAAGGGAAAUGAGGCAAGCUGGGAGGAAACAAGUGAUAUCUCGAGUUUCCAACAUAGUUCAAUAUAAAGCAGAUUUCAAAGGAGAUGUCAUCAUAUUCAAGUUUGAAGCCCAACACAUGUGGAACCAAAAGAUCAUCGUGGAGGAAGAGACUAUUGAUCCAAACAGGUAUCACGUCAGUCAUAUGUACUAAUAUCUCUCAUGGUUGGAAGACGACAUAGCCGGGGAAAUCAAAUCAGGGGUCAAUCUUAAAGAUAGGAUCAUAGAUGAGGUGGAUGAGGCAUAUGUGAAGUACAAGAGGCUAUGCAAAAUAGUAUUCAAACAUGAAGCUAAGUAUCUAGAACAAUAUAAGGUGGAUAUGGAGGUGAUCAGAGAAUGGAAGGAGAUCGAAAAUAAGUCGACAGAGAGGUUAGAACAUCUAGAGAAAGGACUAAUGGAGCUAGAGGGGAAGAUGAGAAAGUGGCUUUGGGAUUGUCAAGGCAUGGAUCCUGAUGAAUAAGGGAAGCUGGCAAUGGCUUACUUGCUACUCGACAUGCGUGAUUUGGGAAAUGUGAUUGAUGGAGUCAAGAGAGCCAAACAUGGAGAAGGUCCUCCGGGGACCAAGUAGACUAGGAGAUAAUGUUCUUUACUGCUUUCUAGAUUAGAUUUCGAUGUAAUAAGUCCUAAUGCCAUUAGCCACUUUAUAAUUAUUAUUUUGAUUUAGUGAAAGAUUGAUUUGGCUUAUUUUCGCAUUAAUGGAAUAAGGCAACGCUGGCAUGAAUUUUCUCCAAGUCUAUGUGUCACUUUGGCCUACCUCAGGCACAAUAAGGUCCCCAAAUUAGGACGCGAAUUAUUGCAUGCCCUCACGUGAUACCUGCUUAAAUAUUGCAAACACUCUUUUACUUUGUCUCGCUGACUUGGUUACCUUUUCUUUUUCAUUUUUUGAUUACUCCCAUUAUCAAAGGUUGGUUCGUGCAUUUUAGCAUCAUUAGCAUACCACACCAGAUCCAGAUGUCCUCCAACUCCUCCUCCACCUAGCGACCCGAAAAGCAAAGGCAAAGAGAAGAUGGACGAUCUAAGUGGCAAUAAAAAAUACAAUGCUACCAUGGCAGAAAACGUUGAAACCUCAGAUGGAAGAAGUACGCUGGGAAAAAAUGAGUUGGUCUUACGUCUGGAACAGAAAAUCUUAGAGUUGCAGGGUGAGCUUGAUCAGGUCCAAAAUCUCGCAAACCUCUACCUUACCCUAAAUGUUCCUGACAUCAACCAGCAAAACUCAACCACUCAGAACCAAACACCACCGCGAAGUACCCAAACCUAAAAUCCACCACCUAUAGCUCCAUACAUUCCACCCGCAACGUACCAUUAUCACAAUCCCGCACCUCCUCAAAACCUUAACCCGCCACCAAUGCAAACCCUUUAACACCACCACCAUUAUCCAACCCAGUAUCUGCAAACCACCACUUAUCACACCCCUCAAAAUGCACCACAACUCAUCCCUGAUCUCUGUCAAACUUCGAUCAAUGAUCACCCAUAUACCCAAGGUCCAGGAACUCACCAAGGCAACCUGGUAUACGUGGAAACCGUACCUCAUACCCCAUACCCCACAACAACCCCUAUACAUACCUGAACGACCGAAAAAGACUUGCUCAUCCGAAACAUGGUAGAGGAACUCAAGAAACUGAGAGGGAGAGUCUAAAGUGUUGAAGGCGGAAAUGGUGUUGAAGGUUUAAACUAUGAAGACUUGUGUAUCCAACCAGAUGUAGAACUACCGGAGGGUUACAAACCUCCUAAGUUUGAGAUGUUUGAUGGCAUCGGAGAUCCUAAGGUGCAUCUGAGAACUUACUGUGACAAGCUUGUGGGAGUGGAUACGAAUGAACAAAUCCGCAUGAACUGUUCAUGCGAAGUCUUACAGUAGAUGCAUUAUCUUGGUAUAUCAGCCAGAAUCCGAAGAAAUGGGAAAAUUAGGUGAGCAUGGUAUCUGAUUUCAUGGAUAGAUUCAGGUUCAACAUAGAGAAUGCGUCAGGCAUUUUCUAUAUCCAGAACCUCAAGAAGAAGCCGACAGAAACCUUCCGCGAGUAUAUUACUCGUUGGAGAUCAGAGGCUGCCAAGGUGAGGCCACCACUUGAAGAAGAACAAAUGAACAAGUUCUUUGUCAGAGAUUAGGAUCCACAGCAUUACGAAAGAUUGAUGGUUAUAGAGAAUCAUAAGUUCUCAGGCAUCAUCAAGUUAGGGGAAAGGAUAGAACAAGGAAUCAAGAAAAGAAUGGUGACAAAUUUUGAGGCACUGCAAGCCACCAACAAAUCCUUUCAAUCAGGAGGUAUCUCAAAGAAAAAAGAAGUGGGUGCCAUGAUGGUAGCCCAAGGCCCUAAGUCUCCCCUUACAUACCAAACACCUCCACCCACAUAUCAACCCUCACCUCCAAAAUACCAAUACUCUGCCACCACCUACCAUACCUAUAACACCCAACCUGCAUAUUACCAUUCACCUCCUCCCGCCCGCCAAAACUACCCAAAGCCGCAACUAAACUUUGACCGCAGAGCUCCCAAAUAAUACACCCCUAUCGCUGAACCCAUAGCCCAACUGUAUGAGAGACUAAAGGCUGUUGAUUACAUCACCCACAUUCCUGUUAUUGCUAUUAAAAACCCUUCCCAAUGGGUUAACCCAACAAAACUUGUGCCUACCAUUCAGGUAUGAAGGGUCAUACCAUUGAGGAAUGACGUAUGUUGAAGGACAAUUACAUAAUAACUCUCUUCCUGAUCAUAGGGGUGAGGGAGUGAAUGUGAUAGAAACCGAUGAAGAAUGGGAUCAGGAGGGAUCCAUCGAACUUAUUCGAGAAGGGGAUGCUCCUAAAACAUCUCCUGUCACCCUCUCGCCGGUUGUGGUGAAAACCCAUUUACCAUUUGAGGUUGAGGUAGCUACGCCCUUCACCGUGAUGGUAGCUCCAACACCACCCUAUAAGUUUGAUUUUGUCCCAUGGGAUUAUGUGGCGGAAGCAAAAAGAAAAGGAAAAGCCAAGAUGGAAGAGACUGGUACUGCAUAAGGAAUGACUAAAACUGGCAUAGUCUAUACACCUGAGAAUCUUGGAGAACAAGCAAAUAGACCACAUCUAAGCCACAUGUCAUGUAGACGGGCACUGAUGAUCUUUGGAGGAUGGUAUAAGCGAGGGAAUACUCUAUUGUUGAUCACCUGAACAAGACUCCUGCCCAUAUAUCCAUCUUGUCAUUGUUGCAAAAUUCAGAUGCCCACAAGAAUACCAUGAUGGAGGUAUUAAGUGAAGCUUAUGUGCCCACCGGUAUCACUAGUGGAGAUUUGGCUAAAAUGGUAGGGCAGGUACUAGAGAGUUAUAAGAUUACUUUCCACAAAGACGAGCUACCGCCAGAAGGGUUGAGUCACAACAAAGCAUUGCACAUCACUGUGAAAUAUGAAAACAAGUUCAUUGCCAGGGUUCUGAUAGAUGGGGAUUCGAGCUUGAACAUAUUCCCGCCGAUUACUCUAAAAAGACUGGGUAAAGGCCUGCAUGAGAUACGGAUGGGAAGCAUGAAUGUGAAGACGUUCAAUAGAUCUUAGAGAGCCACUAUCAGAGAAAUCAACCUUGAUCUACAGAUGGGCCCGACCUAGUUCGAUGUCGAAUUCCAAGUGCUAGACAUAUUCGCCACCUACAACUUGUUAUUGGGACGACCAUGGAUACACACAGUUAGGGUAAUCGCUUCUACUCUGCAGUAGGUUAUGAAGUUCGAGUGGAAUAAUCAAGAGGUGAUUAUUCACGGAGAUGGAAGUAACCCUAUCUAUACCAAUCAAAUUGUGCCAGCUAUCGAGAACAUGAGAAAAUUGGGAGGAGAAACAUGCCAUCGCAUUCGAUAACUGGCACAAUUUGAUUGGUGUAGAUAGGGUUACUUCCAUCUCCAUGAAUAAUCCCCUCUUGAUUAUUCCACUCGAACUUCUGAGAAAAUUGGGAGGAGAAACAUGCCAUCGCAUUGAGCGAGUAAAGCAAUUUAGAAGGGUUAGUGGUGGAGCAAUAAGAUAGAGAGCAUACUGAUGUGGUUGGGGUAUGAACCAGGCAAGGAUCUUGGCUCAAAACUUCAAGGGAUCACAGAAACAAUACGACCACAAUAUCUUGGCACAACCUUUGGCCUCAGGUAUGAAUAUAUCGUGCAAGAAUAUCAGGAUUGGAUACCGUCGUGGCGUGCCGUUUACUAUCCAUUAGAACAACCCAUACCACCGAUGCACCAGACAUUCUGCAAGAUUGAUGUAAUUUGGGGAUCUAAAGAAGAUGAGGUUUAAGAUGAUAUGAAGAAGAUAUUUCUGGACGAGGAAUAUAUGGACUGCAGUGCGAUCUUAGAGAGGGAGGAGGAGGAAGACCUUACUAUUCAAAAAGUAGGAGAAUGAGCUAUUCUCAGGAAUUAGAAUUGUAACGACCCGACCGGCCGUUUGGCUUUCUAGGUCACCGUUCUCCUAAUUAAGACUCCCAAUAUGCGAUUUUACAGUUUUAUAACUCAUGGGGAUGGUUGGUUCGGGUUUAGAAGGGCUCAGUUUGAAAUCGGAACACUUAGUUCCUUAAUAGUGGCCUAUAACAGUCAAGUUUGACUUGAGUCAAUGUUGUGAGUAAACGACCUCAGAACCAGGAUUUGACGGUCCCAAUAGGUUUGUAUGAUGCUUUUGGACUUGGGCGUGUGUUCGAUUCGUGUUUCAGACGACCCGGGAGCGUUUCAGCGCUUAAUAUUGAAAGUUGGCGCGUUGAAGGUUCUUUAAGUUUGGUUUGGAGUAGACUUUGGUAUUAUCGGAGUUGGAUUUUGAUUCCGGAAGUGGGAAUUGUUUUGUAUGGUGAUUUGUGACUUGCACACAAAAUUUGGUGUCAUUCCGUGUAGUCUAAGUAUGAUUCCGCGCGUUCGAAGUAAAUUAAAGGCUUGAAGUUCAUAAACUAUUUUGAUUUGGUUUUGGGGUGUGAUUCUUAGUUUUGAUGUUGUUUUACGCAUUCCGAGGGUUCGAGCUAGUCUGUUUUAUGUUUAUGAACUUAUUGGUAUGGUUGGACGAGGCCCCGGGGGCCUCAGGUGCUAUUCGGACGAUGUAUGGAACAUGUUUGAACUUGGAAGGAUAGCUGAAGCAGCAACGAUCUGGUGCUUUCGCACAUGCGAAGAAUUGGCUAUAGGUGCGGCACUGCAGAAGGUGCACGAUCGCAGAAGUAGGUAAGAUGAGUCUGCAGGUGCAGACAUGGGGCCGCAGGUGCGCGAUCGCAGAAGCGGCCUGAAGAUGAAGGGGGCAGUGGCGCAGGCGCGAGGGAUCGACUACAUCUGCGAGCCCGCAGAUGCGAAGAAGGUGUCACAGAAGGGAAAUGAGGCCAGCAGGGGAGGACCGCAUCUGCGAUGCAAUUUUCGCAAAUGCGGAGCCGCAGAAGCUGAACCACUGGGGGGCAGAAGGCUGCAUUUAAGUUGGGACUUAGGCUCAUUUUUCUUCAUUUCUCUCACUUGUCCAUCAAAGUUAGAGCUCUUUGAGGAGAGAUUUUCACCUAGCACUUGGAGGUAAGUAAUUUCUAUACAAUGUGAGUUUAAAUCAUGCAUUAUGGGUAAUUGUAACAUAGAAAUUGUGGAAAUUAUAAGUUUAGUGGAAAAACCUAGGUCUUUGAUAAAAAAUGGGAUUAGACCCCAAAAACGAUUAUGGAAUCGGGUAGAAAUUAUAUAUUUGGGUAAGUGAGGCUAUGGGUAAUAUUUAUCUUCAAAAAUUCCCGAAUCCGGGCAAGUGGGCACGUGGGCCCGGGGGCAAAUUUUAGGAAUUUUCCAAUUUGGGUUGGGUUAUAACUCUAGAAGCUAAAUUAUGAACUUUUGAGUAUAUAUUGAUUAAUUUAUAUAAUAUUUGACUAGUUUCAGAUUGUUCAGCAAUGACUUGAGGCUUUUAGAGCGAAUUUAUGGACCGGAAAGUGAGCUUGAGGACGGGGUAAGUCUCUUGCUUAACCUUGUAAGAGGAAAUUUACCCCAUAGGUGUUUUAAAUUACUAUUUGCUACUAAUUGUGGGUGCUACAUACGCACGAAGUGACGAGAGUCCGUGCAUAGCUACAAUCAUGCUUAUGUCCGGGUAGUUUUAGGACUCUAUCAUGAUUUAUUAUUUGCACUCUACUUGUUAAUUUAAGUGUUUAAAUUAUAUUGAAACUUGAUAAAGGAUUUGUAAAGACCUAACUUCAUUUACUUUGAGUUUUUUUGGCAGGUCACUUGACCGUUGAUAGAAAUUUGUGCCUCCUUGUGUAUUAGUCUCAUAGUAGCCGUUAAAUCGGAGUUCGUAAAGUAUUCUCUCUUCUUGUGGAGAAGGCCGAACGCCUCAACAGUAUAAUAGAUGCAUCUAUGGUUCGCGCCGGUCGACCCUCAGUAGUGUACACAUUAUUCUGGAUCGGGUCGUACGACCUUGACAUAAAUCGUGUGUGGUAAUUCUCGGAGUCCGAUUACACUUGAUAUUACUUUCAUGACUUGAGAAAUUAUAGUUUACUUGAUGGGACAUAUUUGUUGAAGUUAAUAUGUGCUAAAUGGGGAUUUUAAAUUGACUUCUAGUUAAAGAAUCACUUAUUUACUGUUUGUUAUUGUGUUAUUAUUAUUGAUGUAUUCCAUGCCUAUUUAGAAUUUCUGUAGUUUAUUUAUUGGCCCAUUGUAAGUAUCGAUGUCGAUCCCUCGUCACUACUUCUUCGAGGUUAGACUAGAUACUUACUGGGUAUAUGUUGUUUAUGUACUCACGCUACACUUCUGCAGUAAUUGUGCAGGAUUUGAGGCAGGUGCAUCUAGCAGUCAUUCAGGCCCCUACCCCCGUUACUCCGAGGCAUAGUGGUGAGCUGCUCUCUACGUCCGUUCUGCAGCACCCGCAGUCUCUCUUUUGUAUUUAUUUUAUUUCUAUCUUAUUGUAGACAGUAGUGUAGGAGGUUUGUAUAUUCUACUAGUUGCUCAUACACUUGUGACAUCGGGUUUUGGGAAUAUUCUAGUAGAAACAUCAUAGGUUUGAGUAUUAAAUUCACUGUAUUUACUGUCUUGUUUGUUUAUGCUUUACUUUACUAUAAAUUCUUACUAAUCAUUCUCUUAAUAAAUAAAAUCAACUACUUUGAAAUUAUUAAAAAGAACAACUACAUGACUAGUUCAUGCGUUGGCUUGCCUAGCAGCAUUUCGUGAUAGGAUUGCUGCACCAUCCCGGGCUCGCCGAGUACCUGGGUAGCCUUGGCAGAAUUAGCAUGAAUUGUUUUAAAAUUGUUUUUGGGCAUUUAAGACAUUUUUAAUAUUUUGUUUUGAAAUAGUUACUCGAGACAUCGAGUCGUACUUGUUGACAAUUUUAAGUUUUAUUAAUGCAUUAUUGCUUUUCAUUUAUUUAUUGUUAUCUUUCUACAUUCUUUUUCAGCAUAAUUAUUACAUAUCCUGAUGAACCUACGACUGUGACAUGUAAUGAGAUAACGCAACAUAAGGAACUCGCAUAAGCAUUCAUAUAUCGAUGUUAGAAGAUGAUAUAAUACCUGAGGAAAUUGUCAAAGAGGUAGAGAAUUUUGAGAACAAACCAAAGUCCAAUUUGGAAGAAAUUGAGGCAGUUAACUUAUGGGAUUCUGAAACAGUCAAAGAAACUCGCAUAAGCAUUCAUAUAUCGAUGUUAGAGAAGGAAGAGUAUAUAAGGUUUCUAAAGGAAUAUGAGGAUAUUUUUGAAUGGUCCUACGAUGACUUGACUAGGUUAAGCACAUCCAUAGUGAUGCACGAGCUACCUACCAACCCUACAUGUCCUCCGGUGAAACAGAAGCUCCGGAAAUUCAAGCCAGAUAUGAGUCUGAAGAUAAAGGAAGAGGUUACCAAGCAAAUCAAAGCCAAGGUCCUUCGAGUGGUCGAGUACCCAGCCUAGCUAGCCAACAUUGUGCCGGUUCUAAAGAAGGACGGGAAAGUCAAAGUGUGCGUUGACUAUCGAGAUCUGAACAGAGUAAGUCCUAAGGAUGAUUUCCCAUUGCGCAACAUACACAUACUGAUAGACAAUUGCACCAAGCAUGAACUCUAAUCCUUUGUGGAUUGCUUCGUAGGAUACCACCAGAUUUGGAUGGACGAAGAGGACACUGAAAAGACAACCUUCAUAACACCAUGGGGGAUAUAUUAUUACAAAAUGAUGCCAUUUCGUUUGAAGAACGCUGGGGCCACCUAUAUGAGGUCCAUGACUAAUCUUUUCCAUGAUAUGAUACACAAGGAAAUAGAGGUGUACGUGGAUGACAUUAUUAUCAAGUCUAAGAGAAGUUUGGAUCAUAUAACAGACACGAGGAAGUUUUUCGACCGGCUUCGAAAGUACAAUCUGAAGCUAAAUCCUGCAAAAUGUGCUUUCGGAGUCCCUGCUGGGAAGUUGCUGGGUUUCAUCGUCAGUCGCUGCGGUAUUGAGCUAGACCCGUCAAAAAUCAAAGUUAUUCAAGACUUGCCACCGCCAAAGAACAAGAAGGAUGUGAUGAGUUUUCUAGGACACCUCAAUUACAUCAGCCAUUUUAUAGCACAGUCAACGGUGACAUGUGAGUCGAUCUUCAAAAUGCUGAGGAAAUAUGAUGCGACGAACUGGACCGAAGAAUGUAAAAAGGCUUUCGCCAAAAUCAAGGAUGUUACACCAUGUGCGUCCCAAGGUGAUACAUAAUGAAUAUGAGACUUAUUAAUCAUGAUUUAAAUUAUUUUAAAGUCAUAAUAUGGCUAUAUAUGAUAUUUGGAUAGAAAAUAUGAAGUUUGGGAAAAAUCGGAUUAAAGUUGCGGAAAAAUCGACUAAGGAUUUGCUCUGUAACAUAGCUUUUUGAGAAAUAUAUUUUGUGUUCCAUAUAAGGUCUUUUUGGUACAUAUUAUAUACCAAAUUGAAUGUAUUGGAAUUUAGUUUCCAAUGAACUUAACCGUUCGUUCAUACGACAUCCUUAUAAAAAUAUAUAAGCGUCGGAAAAUGGGCGAAUGAGAGGGUGCCAAGCUAGCACCUUUUGACUUUUCAAAAGUUGAUAUAUAUGUCUUAACUCGUCUCUCUCUUCAUUUAUACAUAGAACCUGACCAGAGAACACCAUAAAACCCGUCCUUGAGCUCUCUAAUAGUGCUUCAAAUAAUACUAACAUCCCGGGUACGAAAUCGAGAAACGAUAACAUCGGGACGAUCCUUACGACGUAAGUAUCGCUAUAUCGCCUCUCUUUUUCUUUGUAGUUUGAGUUUUGGAAUAUAUUUAAUAGUUAAUAAAAUGCCUAAUUUCUGUAUUUAAGUGUUUAAAUAUCAAGAAAGGUUGAUAAAUUCGUUUCCUAAUAGUUAGACCUCAAGGGACGGUGAUCGGAAACCGUGAGUUCGAGUUAUUUAACUUGUAGUGGACUGUUUUGUGGGCUGUUUCGUGUUGCUUUUGGGCUGUCUAUUGUACUGCUGAUUUAUGGAGUUUGGAAGGAUAAAAGAGCGUGGAGAAACGUCACAUGUGGUAGGGUAGUAGGUUGGUCGCUCGUUGUUAUAGUUACAGGCUAAUUGAUAACUUGUUGAUUGGGUAUAUUUGGGUUUUUUGUUGUAUUGAAGGUCCUGAAUUGUAAUUAGGUUAGUUUUGAGUUGCUGAUUGUAUUGUGCUUGUAUCUCGCCUAUAGUAGGAUUGAGGGAGCAGUGAAAUCAGGGGAAAUGCUGCCCGUGUUAUUUUAGAAUCGAGUUAUCGUUUGAGAUACGUAAUAUACUACCGCCAUCUAAGUUGUACACAUAUUUCUUUGUUAUAGGGUUGGCGCGCUAGUUGUCAUAAGCUUGUUGUUGAGUUUCAUUGAUGACUUGAGGUAUGUUAAUGCUAUUCCUUCUUUAUUUUUGGCAUGAUCCAAAUGAUACAAAUAAAACGAGCAAAAUACGCAACUUUCAUAAAUGACUCUAUUCAUAGAAAUACUAGGGUGUCUAUAUUCUUGAUUCCCCAUGUGAAUUAUUAUUAUAUCCUUUGUUCACGGGUCUCAAAAAAAUACGUAUUUGAUAAAGUUUGUCCGAAAGGCAUAUUGAUUUUAUGAUAUUCGAGAAAUCUUAUUAAUGUAUUUCUUAUGCAUUUCAUGCAUUUAUACAUGUACAUUGACCCAUGACCAGAAGGCAUUAUAUACGCGUAUAUUAUGUGUAUAUGGGAUAUGGAAAAAAGGUUACGACGUUAUAUACGCACCACCACAUGAUCAACUGGUAUACGUUAAUGAUUUGCCCACAAUGGCCGAGAUGAUUGAUGGGAUGCCCUUAGAGGCUUGAUGAUGUUAUGUACACCUAUACCUAUGCAUGAUACGACAUUUACACACACGUGCAUGGCAUUAUAAAUGUUUCAGAAUUCAUAAAGUUAUUUAGACUCAUAGGUGGAAUUCUUUACUCCAUGUUUCAUCUAUGUCUUUUGUGUACUGAUUUUCAUGCCUUACAUACUCAGUACAUUAUUCAUACUGACAUUCCUUUUGCCUGGGGACGNNNNNNNNNNNNNNNNNNNNNNNNNACGUAGAACUCGGGCACUCGUCACGGCCCAUCGGUUUGGGUCGUUACAAAGGAGUACUUGUCUAAGCCGCCCGUGUUGGUCCCGCUAGAGCCAGGAAUACCUUUGUUGUUGUACCUGUCUGUGUUGGAUGGAGCCUUUGGUUACGUCCUGGGGCAACAUGAUGAAACCGGGAGAAAAGAGCAGGCGAUAUAUUAUCUGUGUAAGAAGUUCACACCUUACGAAGCCUGGUACUCUUUGUUGGAAUGUACCUGUUAUGCUUUGACAUGUAUAGCCCAGAAAUUGAGACACUACUUCUGUGCAUACACUAUGUACCUCAUAUCCAGGAUGGAUCCACUGAAAUACAUCUUUUAGAAACCCAUGCCUACGGGUAAGUUAGCAAAGUGGCAUAUAUUUAUAAGUGAGUUUGACAUCAUCUCUGUGACUCAGAAGGCAGUCAAAGAGCAAGCAUUGGCCGAUCACCUAGCGGAGAACCCCGUAGACGGGGAGUACAAACCAUUGAAGACGUAUUUUCCUGACGAGGAAGUAUCAUUUGUAGGGGAAGAUAUUGCCAAAAUAUAUGACGGUUGGAGGAUGUUUUUUGACGGAGCCGCAAACUUUAAAGGAGUGGGUAUUAGAGCUAUUUUAGUAUCAGAAACUAGUCAACACUACCCGGUGUCGGCCAAGCUCAGGUUCCCAUGCACUAAAAAGAUAGCAGAAUACUAGGCUUGCAUCUUGGGACUCAGAUUAGCCAUCGACAUUAAUGUUCAAAAGUUGUUGGUAAUUGGAGAUUCAGAUCUAUUGGUACACCAAGUACUAGGAGAAUGGGCUACUAAGAACACUAAAAUAUUGCCAUACUUGCAUUGUAUGCAAGAUUUAAUCAAGAGGUUCACGAAGAUAGAAUUCAAACACGUGUCAAGAAUUUAGAACGAGUUUGCAGAUGCGCUGACUACCUUGUCUUCCAUGAUAUAACAUCCAGACAAGAAUUUCAUUGAUCCUAUCCCGAUAGAGAUUCGUAAGCAGCCAGCUUAUUGUGCUCAUGUUGAAGAAGAGUUUGAUGGAAAGCCAUGGUUUCACGAUAUCAAGGAGUAUUUGGAUAAAUGAGAAUAUCCAUAAAAUGCUACACACACUCAGAAGAGCACACUUCAAAGACUGGCCAACCACUUCUUUCAGAGCGGAGGGAUUCUGUAUAGAAGGACUCCUGACUUGGGAUUGCUGCCAUAUGUCGAUACCAAUGAGGCAUCUAGAUUUCUCGAAGAAAUACACGUCAGAACCUACAGACCCCACAUGAAUGGGUUCGUUCUAGCCAAGAAGAUAUUGAGGACACGGUAUUUUUGGAUGACUAUAGAGACAUACUACAUCAAGUAUGUACAAAAGUUCCACCAAUGCCAGGUACAUACUGAUGUAAACGAGUGCCACCCAACAAACUCAGUACAACGAGUUCACCCUGGCCAUUCUCUACCUGAGGCAUGGAUGUCAUCGGGCCAAUUAAACCCGCUGAUUCAAACAGACAGAGGUUCAUUUUGGUG